Molecule: long non-coding RNA, 143357 nt
Filed under: Triticum aestivum (bread wheat)
Lineage: Eukaryota; Viridiplantae; Streptophyta; Magnoliopsida; Poales; Poaceae
Description: long non-coding RNA (TAES_LNC027006)
Rfam family: MIR1120/MIR1122 microRNA precursor family (bases 140577-140663)
Source: RNAcentral
UUCAACGGCAGCAUCAUCAACCACCGGAUGAUGUAUCAAAAUUAGAAUGAAAAUAUUACAUAUUAAAAGUCAAAAACAAAACAGCAACAAGCAAAGAAUAUGCAUCCAUAGAACUUAGAGCAUGGUCAUGUUUACAACGGUUAAAACUACUACUCCUUCCGCCUCAAAAUGUAAGAUUAUUUUUUGCACUAUCAUAGUGUCAAAAAUGUUAUUAUAUUUUGGGACAGAGGUAGUAUAAUACUGCUGAGCAGAAGUCUAGAACAGCAUAGGACACCUUCAGCCUUCACUUUGCCUGCCUCAUACCAACAUCAAAACACACUUUGUGCUGACCAAAUUGGCAAAUUGUGCAUGCCAAGGUUUCAACGACAGCAUCACAACCACUGGAUGAUACAAGUCAAAAACACAAUAGCAGGCAGGCAGAGAAUAUGCACGCAUUGAGCAUGUUCAGGUUUACAGUGGCUUAACUUAACACACUGGACUAUAAUGCUAUACUAAGUAGUACUCCCUCCAUUCCUAAAUACUUGUCUUUCUAGGCAUUUCAACAAGUGACUAUAUACGGAGCAAAAUGAAUGAAUCUAUACUCUAAAAUAUGUCUACAUACAUCCGUAUGUAGUAGUCAUUUGAAAUGUCUAGAAAGACAAAUAUUUAGGAACGGAGGGAGUAGAAGGCACAGGACACCUUCAGGCCUUCACUUAAACCGCAGUUUGUCAGGAUGCCGGCGAUGGUCUUCAUGUGGAGUUCUUUGGAGCAGCCUCACAAGAAACUGGCCAAGCUGAAGAACUGAGUCUUCACUUAAUCGCAGUUUGCAGGAGGCCGGCGGUGGGCUUCAUGCAGAGUUCUUUGGAGCAAAAAGCACCCUCACAAAAAACUGGCCAUACUGAAGGAUUGAGUCAUCGGGAGAACUGACGGGUCCAACAUACUCAUCAUGAAAAGUCCACUGAAACAGCGAUUCAUCGACUCUUAGAAGAACAUCCAAAUUUUCAUUUCUCUUAACCGCGACAAUAUGUUGGAACAGUUUCACACUCCCAGAUAUCUUGUCAUCAAACAGCACAAUCUCAUCGUCAUAGCCAGUGCUUAAAGCAGUGAACUUCACGUGAUGAGGAUGGUCAACCUCUGCAUAGACUUGUACUACCGCCUCAAUACUUCGUGCAAUGAUCAUGUAUUUCAGGUCCAAGUUGCAAUCAACACCAGGAAUCCGACCACCCAGCAUAAUAUCAAAAUUUGCACGGACUUCAAUCUCAGCAUAUGCAGAAAGUAUAUGCUUGUCAGCUGAUCCAUUCCCCUCCUUCUUUACCCAGAGAUCAACUUCUAGUAGUGCCUCGUCCAGUACAUAUAUUCCUCGACACGGGCUACAAAGAGGCAAGUCAAAGGAUUCCUGCAAUUUGAUAUCUUAUUAGAACCCAACAAGCUACAUCAACCUUCAAAGAUAUACUCCCUCCGUUCCUAAAUAUAAGUCUUUGGAGAGAUUCCACUAUGAACCACAUACGGAUGUAUGUAGAUGCAUUUUACAGUGUAGAUUCAUUCAUUUUGCUCCGUAUGUAGUCCAUAGUAAAAUCUCUACAAAGACUUAUAUUUAAGAACGGAGGGAGUACAUUAGUACUGUACCAACAGAACAAACUCACAUAAGACAUGCGUGUUCGUCUAAAUCAAAUAUUGGGUGAAAGGAAGCAAGCAUGUGACUUUAAUGUCAUUUUAUCCCUUUGACCCCAUUCAUCUCGGCAGCUUAAAGAUUAAUGGGUACAAAAUAUUCACACACAUUAUAACCCCUCUCUCAGUCCCAAAAGAAUGGGUACCUCGCUAUCAUACACAAAAAGCUUGCUGGUUUAAGUUAUAACCAUAUUAUUACCAUGUCUCGUUCCCAAAAGUUUAAGACAGGGAAAAUCACAAUUAGUAACCACAGACGCCUAGUAUCUUGCUGAUUAAAGUUAUAACUAUCUUAAUGCACACAAGCAGUCAACUCAUGACUUGUGAAAAGAAAUAGAUAAAGUGCUAAACUGAAGUAUAUUAACCAGAUGACGAUUUGUAUGUACUUGUAUUAGUACGCACAUCAUAUAAAAACUAAUGUGAUCUGUUAAAUGGCAGUGCUUCUUAACAGCGCAAAUGCUUGCCAUUGAUUAUUUAUUUUUACAAAAGAUGCAGCUCAUCUCAUAGAUCAUUUAAUGGACCCAGGCAAAUAAUAAAUAGAUCCAAAACAAAUCAACUUAGAUGACUGACAUAAAAUAUCAUAGAGUUGAGCUGUUGAACAUCAUAGGUCAGCAUCCAGCAAUUUUGUAAACAAAGCAAGCUUUAUUUACCUGAUUCACAAUCUCUACAGCAGUAUCUCUAGGACAGUUAAAGAGGUAAUUCCGUCGCUGGUCCAAGUCAUCGCGAACAGCAAGUAUUCCAUACACACUAAUGGGAUAGGAGAGCCCAGAGCUUGGUAACCUCAUUGAAAAGAACUGUAGCAUCUGUUGUGGUGUGCGAUAUCCAAGAGUUGAUGGAGCUGCAAAUAUAUAUUAGGAACCAGAGUGAGUUGUUAAGCAGACAGCACAAAAACAUAUUACUCUACUACGAAUGAGUGGCACUUACUGGUAGAAGUAUCAUGGGUCUUGUAAACACUGUGGUAGCAGUACCCCUCCAUGAAGCAUAGAGAUGUUGUGGGAGGGAGCAGUUUCAUAGGAAAAGGAGGCAAAGUAGUAGAAUCGUCGUGGUGCUCCCGGGCCAGAAUGUCAUCAAACAGUUUCGAGUAUUCUCCCAUCUGCUUGCAGUACCUCUCAAUCCAUUCCUGCUCAAUUUCCUCUGCUUCGCUCUCAGGAUAGAGCUUUCCUGGAGAAUCAUUGUGUCAUAGAUCGGCAGAUGAUCUGUGGGUGGUCACGAGUUUUGUUUUCAACUGAAUAGAGAAUUAGAUACCUGGGCAGAUUAUCUUCGUGUUUGGUUUUUUGUCCUUGUAAACGAGUUGGCCAUUGCAGUUGUCGUCAUCAUCAUCGCUAUCGACUACUUCAUUCCCUGAAGAAUUAGUGUGGAAUCCCAGGAAGUUAACUUAUUCAUGGUUGAAAUUUCGGGGAAAUUUAAUCUGGAGGCACAAAUGGAUACCUGGGCAAUCUUUCUCCUCCCCUUCAAUCACUCGGCCAUCGCCCUCGCUCCAGUCGCUCCAGUCUGAUUCGCUCUGCUCCCGUGGGAACUUGAGGUCCAGAGCAUGCCAGGCAACCUGACCAGGAUCUGAAUGUGUGCAAUUACAUCAAAGUAAUUGAUCAGCUCAAGCAAGAUCCAUCCGAAACCUUCCUGAUGGAGCGUGAAUAAAUAAAGUGAAGUAAAGGAGUGUGCACAUUGUACGCACCGGUGACCAUGCGCGCCGGCUGGCCAUGGGGGUCGAGUUCGCCUACCUCCACCUCAUCCAGCGUAUCAUGGAGGUGCUCCGUGCAAGGGCUGGGGUGGCGGGCGGCGUGAGGCGAACCCGUUGUUUCCCCUGAUCCGCGGCAGGAUCGCUUCUCCGUUGGCGCCAUGGCAACGCCAGGGGUUCCCUUGGCGGCGGCGGCGGCGCGUUGUGUCGGCAGUCGGUUUUCGGUUCGUGAUGGUUGGCAGCGGCGCGUUGGGUUGGGAAAGAUUUACGGAUUAUUUUUAGUGAAAUAUACUGUAGUAUACUCGAGAUUAUAUUACUACAUGCUAUAAGGAAAACAUUACAAGGAGACAUACACACUAUGAGUACAUCCACACAGGAUACGGAAGAACACCAAAUCCGACUUGACCACAUAGUCGCCCCCCUAACUCGCCUCGUCGCCGCCGGAGAGAGAAAAAGAGCUACCCAAAGGCCCAAGACGCAUCUAACCCAACCAGGCCCAUCAGGAAGAAGAAAGUCCGUCAGAAAAUAUGCCCUAGAGGCAAUAAUAAAGUUAUUAUUUUAUAUUUCUUUUUUCAUGAUAAAGAUUUAUUAUUCAUAUUAGAAUUGUAUUGAUCGGAAACUUAAAUACAUGUGUGAAUACACAAACAAAUAUCGUGUUACUAGUAAGUCUCUACUAGACUAGCUCGUUGAUCAAAGAUGAUUUAGGUUUUCUAACCAUAGACAUGUGUUGUCAUUUGAUAACGGAAUCACAUCAUUAGAAGAAUCAUGUGAUGGGCAAAACCCAUCCGUUAACUUAGCGUAUGAUCGUUUAGUUUAUUGCUACUGUUUUCUUGAAUGUCAAAUACAUGUUUCUUCGACCAUGAGAUCAUGCAACUCCCGGAUACCGUAGGAAUACCUUGUGUGCUAUGAAACGUCACAACGUAACUAGGUGAUCAUAAAGAUGCUCUACACGUAUCUUCGAAGGUGUUUGUUGAGUUGGUAUGGAUCGAGAUUGAGAUUUAUCACUCUGAGUAUCGGAGAGGUAUCUCUGGGCCCUCUCGAUAAUACACAUCAUAACAAGCUUGCAAGCAAAUGACUAAGAAGUUAGUUACAAAAUGAUGUAAUUGCGGAACGAGUAAAUAGACUUGCCGGUAACAGGAUUGAACUAGGUAUGAAGAUACCGACGAUCGAAUCUCGAGCAAGUAACAACCGACAAACAAAGGGAAUUAUGUAUGUUAUCACAACUGUUCAACCGAUAAAGAUCUUCGUAGAAUAUGUAGGAACCAAUAUGGGCAUCCAGGUUCUGCUAUUGGUUAUUGAUCGGAGAUGUGUCUCGGUCAUGUCUACAUAUUUCUUGAACCUGUACGGUUCGCACGCUUAACGUUCGUUGACGAUAUAGUGUUAUAUGAGUUAUAUAAUUUGGUGACGAAUGUUGUUUGGAGUCCCAGAUGAAAUCACGGACAUGGCGAGAAGCUCCGGAAUCGUCCGGAGGUAAAGAUUGAUAUAUAGGACUAUGAUAUUCAGACACCGAAAGAGAUUCUGAGUGCACCGGUAAUGAGGACAUUACCUAUGUAAAUACCAGCAAAGAUAUUAGGUGCACGUACAUUAUUUAGGAUUAUUGAAGGCAUUUGCAAAAUAAAUAUCAUGAUGAGAGAUUAUGCACUUGAAGUUUACACGAGCUAUACAAGUGCACCAUGCACAUGUAGCCAAGGAAAUGCUCCUCUACAUGCAUGCGACAGAAAGAUGGAAGGAGGAGCCAGCCUUGCAUGCUACGAUGCUCAUGUACAUCACGUUGGGGCCACACAUCUUGUCAACCGAAGGAAACAUCAAUUCCGACUAAGGCGUGCAGAAGUUGGACUCCAUACGACCUGCGUUUCAUAAACAAGGACCCAACGCGGCCGCCACUCCUCUUAAUAAAUAGCUAGCUAAAAUUAGGGUUUAGAUUUAAGGUUUUGUUUAGAGAAGUUUAGAUAUUGCUACUUUUAUUUGUCUUCGCUCGUAGUGGCUAGUGCGACCGUCAAGACAUCCUAUCAGAACCUCAUUUUGUGAGAUUAUUCCAUCUAGCAUAUUCGCAAUUUCAGAUUGCUUUGCUAUUAUUUUCUUGCAUGUUCUUUAACUUGCUUGCAGGAAAAAUCCUUCGUGGAUAGGUCGAUCGUGCCGUUGGCCCGGUCGAUAACGUCGCGGAGUUGGUUCGGCGAUUGUCGUGGAUAUCAGUCAUGUAUGGUUCUCUCUGUACGGUUGGUAGCCGGAUCGUGAGGGUUAAGUCCCAAAAAAAUUAUUGUUAUCCCCUCUCAUUGAAAGAUCGGGUCCCCAAUUCACAUCAAGUGGUAUCAGUUUUCAGGUUCAUCGGUGAGAGAUUUACAAUUUUAUUAGGUUAGAUUGUUUUUCAAUUCUACAACCCAAAAAAAGCCAAAAAAUUAGAUUAGUUCAUCCGCUGCACCCAUCUUUUUAACCUUUAGCAGUUUUUGCAUCUAGUAUUUGUGUAAUUGAAUUUUUGGUUGCAUUCAUCUAAUGCUAGUGCUGGUCUAGAUUAGUCCGAGAGAAAAUUCUCUACUAGAUUGAAUUAUCCUUUGUUUCUCCAUGGCCUACUUCCCAUAACUGGCCUUACUAAAACUUACAGAGGAACUUUCUGGCGUAAAACACCUAUAAUGGGGCAAUCUGACUAGCUGGUCAAAAUCCGUUCCGCGGUGUUUAAGUGAUGCUGGAAGGUCUAAAUCAACUGCUUCUCAAGAAUGGCUGGUAAUACCACUUAAGGGCAGAUAGACUGUCCACCAAGUGCCGUGUUCCCUAGAGUUUGGUUCAAAGUCUAAGGUAUCUCCGCCGCCUUCAUAAGAGCGGGAAGACAAGCAAAGAAAGCUUCAAGGUUUCCCUUCCUGCAUUCAGAGCUUAUCAAUUCGUCCCAUGCUAUAUAGUGAAGCAAAGCCUACUUUUUGGCGACUUUCACUUUCAACCCGAUUCACCGCCUACGUACCCUUUACGUCCAGUCAUUCCAUUUUUCCCGCAUUUUUUGAUUCCACUUCUGUAUCAGAAAUUAGUGUCAAGGGAUGGAGUUACUGUUUCGUUAUCUAUGUCUCACGUUGUUUGCUCUGGGCUGGGCCACCUCAAAUGGCCUGAGCCGCAUGCGGGGAGACCCGCAUGUACGUUUUCAGGAGGAUCCGGCUGGCCGGCGCCCACCCGACUAGAGGGACUGAGAAAUUAAUCGAGUACAAAACUUAUCUUCAAGCUUUACCUUAUUUUGAUCGUUUAGAAGGUGUUUCUUCCAUCAAUCAUCCAGAUUUACGUCGUAUAGCAACAGAUUUUGUGCACAAUAUUUUCCGUCGCGAAUUCGUCCAUGAUCUGAAUAGGUAAACGAAAAACAAAUCUUCCUUUGUUCGGCUGCGCGCCACACCAAUACAUCCGCGUCGUUCACCGCUUUUCGGGUGUAUUCAGUUUUGCACACGCGCCUGCGCGAGCUGCACAUGCACCCCAUGUCCCAGCUUCUUGCCGCUAGACAGGAGCAUCCCGAUCCUAUCUUGUCAUCCAUCGGUACUUGAUUGCUUCCACCAUUAUUAGCACAUGUUCCAUCACCCAUCACCUCUUUUAGCACACGUUCCGUCACCCAUCACCGCGAGUUGUGUUGUGCAAUUUGCAUUUGCAUCUCUAAGAGCAACUCCAAUGGGGCGACCCGAACGGAUGACCAUUUCGUCCGCUUUUUGUCCGUUUGGGUCGGCCGCCCGCCCGGCAUCCGUCAUGUUUUAAAUAUGGGUCGGCAGGCGCCCAACGCGCUGACCUUUAUAAGCCAGCGUGGCUGCCUGCCCUCCUUUUUUUGUAUGAUUGCAUAGUUCAAAAUAAAGACGUUUUGGACUGAAUAAAAUAGCGUAGUUUAUUACAAGACAAAUGAAAAUAAAAAGGUCUCACAUAGCUCUCACAUAGUUUUGCAAACGAAUAAAAGAAGAUACAUCUAUUGUUUGCCAACACGAGCCCACAUAUGCUCAACCAAAUCAUCUACAGUUGCACAUGACUUUCCCAAUCACGCAUGUCUCGAUGAAAUUGGAUGAACUAUUCAAACGUUGCUGCUACUCCAUGCUCAGGCACAACAUUCUCACCCUAAAACUGAAACCCUUGAUCAUACAGACGUUCCGGGCGCUCAUCUUUUACGAUCAUAUUAUGCAUGAUCACACAAGCAGUCAUCACCUCCCACAGUUUUUGUGUGCUCCAGGUAUUAGCAGGAUACCGAACAUUGCCCCAUCGAGAUUGCAAAACACCAAAGGCACACUUGACAUCCUUCCUAGCACUCUCUUGCUCUUGGGAAAAUCUUUUCCUCUUCUCUCUGACAGGGUUGGGUAUUGUCUUGAUAAUAGUGGUCCACUGAGGAUAGAUACCGUCACCCAGAUAGUAUCCUUUGUCAUAGGUGUGGCCAUUGACAGUAAAGUUCACUGGUGGGCUAUUGCCUUCGGCAAGCCUGGCAAACACCGGUGAGCGCUGAAGCACGUCGAUAUCAUUGUGUGAUCCGGCCAUGCCAAAGAAAGAGUGCCAGAUCCAGAGAUCUUGAGACGCCACAUCCUCAAGUAUGACAGUGCAAGCCCUGACAUGGCCCUUAUACUGCUCUUGCCAAGCAGAAGGGUAGUUCUUCCACUCCCAAUGCAUGUAGUCUAUACUAUCAAGCAUCCCUGGGAAGCCCCUGCUGGCAUUCAUUGCCAACAAACGUGUUGUAUCUUCAGCAGUCGGCUCUCUCAAGUACUCAGUGCCAAACACAACAAUAACAACCUUGCAGAACUUAUAAAAGGACUCUAGGCAAGUAGACUCACUCAUAUGAACGUACUUGUGAAUGAGAUCACCAGGCACCCCGUAUGCAAGCAUUCGGAUGACGGCAGUGCAUUUCUGAUAAGAGGAAAAACCAAUCUUGCCAACGGCAUCCUCUUUGCACUUAAAAUAGUCAUCGUAGCCGACUACCCCCUCUCUAAUAUGGAAGAUGCCUAUGUGACGCCCGGAUAAUUAGACUACAGUAAUCCCAAGCUAAUGAUGCCACGUCACCUCCAUUACUGUGAUUAAACUCACGUUGAUUCGAACCCGAUUCAAAUUCAAAUUUAAAACAUAGGCAAACAACAAAAGUUUUCAAACUUUAAAACUAAAAUGUCCGGAGUGAACUAAAUAAUGCAGCGGUAAUUAUGAUGGAGAAACCUAACUUUAAUAAAAUGUUUAAGUGUUCAAAAUAAUUAAAAUUGUAGGUUAAAUAAUAAAAUAAAUGCCUUUUGAAUUUUAUAAAAUAUUAAACUAUUUUAGUUGGGAUAAGAACUAAUGUGGCAGUAGUUUAUUUAAAAGUACCAAUUUAGGUGUUAGUGAUAAUUUUUACUAAAACUAAAAUAAAACAGAAAAGAAAUAAGAUAAAAAAAGGAAAAGGGCAGAAGAUAAAAACAGAAGACUAAAGAAAAGAAAAGGCCCCCCCCCCGGCCCCUCGGCCCACUAGGCCACCAGGCUGCCAGGCAGCCCAUGACCCACCCCACUCUCCCUGGCCUAAAAGGCCACUCCCCCGACCCCAAACCCUAAAGCACCCCCACUNNNNNNNNNNNNNNNNNNNNNNNNNNNNNNNNNNNNNNNNNNNNNNNNNNNNNNNNNNNNNNNNNNNNNNNNNNNNNNNNNNNNNNNNNNNNNNNNNNNNNNNNNNNNNNNNNNNNNNNNNNNNNNNNNNNNNNNNNNNNNNNNNNNNNNNNNNNNNNNNNNNNNNNNNNNNNNNNNNNNNNNNNNNNNNNNNNNNNNNNNNNNNNNNNNNNNNNNNNNNNNNNNNNNNNNNNNNNNNNNNNNNNNNNNNNNNNNNNNNNNNNNNNNNNNNNNNNNNNNNNNNNNNNNNNNNNNNNNNNNNNNNNNNNNNNNNNNNNNNNNNNNNNNNNNNNNNNNNNNNNNNNNNNNNNNNNNNNNNNNNNNNNNNNNNNNNNNNNNNNNNNNNNNNNNNNNNNNNNNNNNNNNNNNNNNNNNNNNNNNNNNNNNNNNNNNCUUCUGGAUCGGGGCAACAACCUCGGCGCCGGCGCCCCACUGCUUACCCCGCCGUCCCCCCGUCGCCAGGCGCUCGUCGGACCCCGUCGGCGCCAUCCUGUCGUCUCUCCCUCGCCCUUCCCCUUGCUCAAGAUCGUGCCCGAAGGCUGCAGACGCCGCGGCCACCGCCGCCCCGCUUGGACCUCGUCGGACGCCAUCGCCGGACUGCCUCCCCGUCGUCCUCUCCGUCGCCUACUCGUCGCCGUCUUCCUCAACGGCUCCAACGGGCCUCGCCGCCCCAGAUCCCCUGCAACGGGGGUGAGCAACGAACCCCCCUCUCCUUCUCCCCCCUGCUCCUGGCUGCGCCUGGCCGCGCCAAAGUGCGCGUGCGCCCGUCCCCCUCACCUCUGACCGAGCUCGCACUUCGUCGGAGCCCGCACUUCGUCAGAGCACUUCGUCGGGGCGCUAGCUCCUCGAGCUGCGGCUGUGUCGUCCGCGAGCGCGCCAUCGAACCUCCCCGUUGCUCGCCCUGCCCGACCACCGCUCCCAGCGCCCACCUCCGCAACCGGCUCCUGCCCCGCGCCCCGGCACAACCCCGCCGUGGCCUUGCCACUACCGCCUUCGGCGGCUGGAUUCGCUGCACCUGUGGCCGGCGCCCCCCCUGUCGAUCUGGGCGUAUGCCCAGUCGGGCUGGGCACCAGCGCCCGUAACGCCCGACCCAGUAUGGCCCUCUGGGCCACUGCCAACGGGGCCCACGCCCCAGAACGUUUUAUUAAAAAAAAGGAAUUAAAAUUAAUAAUAAUAAAAAUAAUUAAUUAAUUAAUUAAUUAAGGAAUUAAUUAAGUUAAUUAAUCAUAAUUAGAUUAAUCAAAUUAACUAAUUAGUCUAAUUAAACUGUGAUUAGUUUAGCUAAAACCUGAUUAGCCUAAACAGGGUAUGACAGGUGGGCCCCGCUGGACCCACACGUCAGUUUGACCAGUCAACACCCCUGUUGACUGCUGACGUCAUGCUGACGUCAUGAUGACGUUAGCAAACACUGUUUUGGAUAAGGUUGGAUUUAAAUGAAUAAAUAAAAUCAAAAAAUGAUUUAAAUCUUUAGAAAAUCAUAUCUUUUAAUCCGUAACUCGGAUGAAAAUACUUUCUACAUGAAAGUUGCUCAGAACGACGAGACGAACCCGGAUACGCAGUCCGUUCGUUCGCCACACACCCCUAACCUAUCGAACUCGCAACUUUCCCCCUCCGGCUCCUCUGCCCGAAAACGCGAAACACCGGGAAUACUUUCCCGGAUGUUACCCCCCCUUAACCGGUACCACCUCAUACCACGUUAGGGCACACCUAGCACCGCUCAUUGUCACGUCACGCAUCGUCGUGUUUAUGUUUGCAUUGUAUUCAUUGUUUCUUCCCCCUCUUAUCUCCGGUAGACUACGAGACCGACGCUGAUGCCACCGAGUACGACUACGUCACCGACGACCCCUCCUUCUUGCCAGAGCAACCAGGCAAGCCCCCCCUUUGAUCACCAGAUAUCGCCUACUCUUCUCUAUACUGCUUGCAUUAGAGUAGUGUAGCUUGUUACUGCUUUCCGUUAAUCCUAUUCUGAUGCAUAGCCUGUCAUUGCUGCUACAGUCAUUGAUACCUUACCCGCAAUCCUAAAUGCUUAGUAUAGGAUGCUAGUGUUCCAUCAGUGACCCCACACUCUUGUCCGUCUGCCAUGCUAUACUACUGGGCUGUGAUCACUUCGGGAGGUGAUCACGGGCAUAUACUAUAUACUUUACACUGUUACAUUACUGGUGAUACUGUUUGGAGAUGGGGGCUGAAGGGGCAGGCGGCUCCAUCCAGGUAGUGGUGGGCCUGAGUUCCCGACGGCCCCCGACGGUUACUUUGCGGCGGAGCGACAGGGCUGGUUGAGACCACCUAGGAGACAGGUGGGCCUGGCCUUGUUCGGCAUUCGCGGAUACUUAACACGCUUAACGAGAUCUUGGUAUUUGAUCUGAGUCUGGCUAUGAGCCUAUACGCACUAACCAUCUACGUGGGAGUAGUUAUGGGUAUCCCGACGUCGUGGUAUCAGCCGAAGCCCUUCAGACGUUAGCGACGGAGCGGCGCGUGCCGGAUUGGAACGUAAGCCUGCUCUUGUAUUAAGGGGGCUAGUUCUGCUUUCGGCCGCGUACGCAACGUGCAGGUGUGCUAUGGGCGAUGGGCCCAGACCCCUGUGCGCUUAGGUUUAGACCGGCGUGCUGGCCUCUCUGUUGAGCCUAGGUGGGGCUGCGACGUGUUGAUCUUCCGUGGCCGGGCAUGACCUAGGAAAGUGUGUCCGGCCAAAUGGGAUCGAGCGUGUUGGGCUAUGUGGUGCACCCCUGCAGGGAAGUUAAUCUAUUCGAAUAGCCGUGAUCUUCGGUAACAGGACGACUUGGAGUUGUACCUUGACCUUAUGACAACUAGAACCGGAUACUUAAUAAAACACACCCUUCAAAGUUCCACAGACAACCCGGUGAUCGCUUUUCCGCAGGGCGACGAGGAGAGGAUCGCCGGGUAGGAUUAUGCUACUGCGAUGCUGCUGGAGAUGCUACUUGGAGAUGUUACUUGGAGAUACUACUUGGAGGACUCAAUCUACUCUCUUCUACAUGCUGCAAGACGGAGGUUGCCAGAAGCGUAGUCUUCGACAGAAUUAGCUAUCCCCCUUUUAUUCUGGCAUUCUGCAGUUCAGUCCACCGAUAUGGCCUUUUACACAUAUACCCAUGCAUAUGUAGUGUAGAUCCUUGCUUGCGAGUACUUUGGAUGAGUACUCACGGUUGCUUUCUCCCUCUUUUCCCCUUUCCCUUCUACCUGGUUGUCGCAACCAGAUGCUGGAGCCCUGGAGCCAGACGCCACCGUCGACGACGACCCCUACUACACUGGAGGUGCCUACUACUACGUGCUGCCCGCUGAGGACGACCAGGAGUAGUUAGGAGGAUCCCAGGCAGGAGGCCUGCGCCUCUUUCGAUCUGUAUCCCAGUUUGUGCUAGCCUUCUUAAGGCAAACUUGCUUAACUUAUGUCUGUACUCAGAUAUUGUUGCUUCCGCUGACUCGUCUAUGAUCGAGCACUUGUAUUCGAGCCCUCGAGGCCCCUGGCUUGUAUUAUGAUGCUUGUAUGACUUAUUUUAUUUGUAGAGUUGUGUUGUGAUAUCUUCCCGUGAGUCCCUGAUCUUGAUCGUACACAUUUGCGUGCAUGAUUAGUGUACGAUUGAAUCGGGGGCGUCACAGCCUACUCAUACGAAAACGGCGGUGGAAUUUCUGAUGUUUGAACAACGGGUUUGUUGUAUCAAAGUAGUCCUUCCAAAGAAGGAAAUGCCCGCUCUCUCGGUUGCGAUUCAACGCCGGAAGGUGGCCCAGAAUGGAGCCACGGAACAAUGGCCGCUGGCUGUUGAGGUGGUGAUGGACCAACACGACAACCAAUAUCUCCUCCUCGUCAUCAGAGGACGAAUCGUCGGAGUCGCAAAGGAAAUUGUGAAAAAAGAACUCGUCGGCGGAGUCCAUUUUGUACCUUGGCAAACUGUCGAACAACUUGCGGGCGUCGACGAAGGAGACGGCUAACAAAGGGAGUCGCGGCGCGCACGGACCAGCUAGCUGUCCUGCCGGCGUCCGACGAGCGUGCCGNNNNNNNNNNNNNNNNNNNNNNNNNNNNNNNNNNNNNNNNNNNNNNNNNNNNNNNNNNNNNNNNNNNNNNNNNNNNNNNNNNNNNNNNNNNNNNNNNNNNNNNNNNNNNNNNNNNNNNNNNNNNNNNNNNNNNNNNNNNNNNNNNNNNNNNNNNNNNNNNNNNNNNNNNNNNNNNNNNNNNNNNNNNNNNNNNNNNNNNNNNNNNNNNNNNNNNNNNNNNNNNNNNNNNNNNNNNNNNNNNNNNNNNNNNNNNNNNNNNNNNNNNNNNNNNNNNNNNNNNNNNNNNNNNNNNNNNNNNNNNNNNNNNNNNNNNNNNNNNNNNNNNNNNNNNNNNNNNNNNNNNNNNNNNNNNNNNNNNNNNNNNNNNNNNNNNNNNNNNNNNNNNNNNNNNNNNNNNNNNNGCGGCUGUGUGGUGGGGGGGCGUGGGGGGGGGGGAAGCAGUCAGCUCCCGGCGGCAAGACGGCGGUGGCACGCGAUGUGGGAGUGGGCGGUGUAGCUGGGCGGAUGUGGAGGCCCCGACAGCUGGCAGAGUCGCCGGCAAAAAUGGGCGGCAACAUCGGCGAUGGAGGAGGAGGGCGAGGGUUGCUGUUGGAUGGGAAAGGGCAAUGUGACACAGACCAACGGGCCCGGGGGAGGAGAGGGCGAUCAUGCGCGCGUUCGUCGUGUGUUCGCGCCGACGCAAAUCCUGCUAAAAAAUGGGCCGGAAAUGGGUUGCCCGCGGACGAAAGGCGGAUGCGCGUCCGUUUGGGUCGGCGCAUUGGGCCGCCUUUUCUGUCUGCGUCGACCCAAACGGAUGGCGGCGGAUGAAAUGGGUCACCCCAUUGGAUUUGCUCUAAGAGCACACAAGUUUCUUGUUAGUCCUAUCUCAGUCCAUGCGUAUACUUGUUGGUAACUGGCCUGGUAAAAAAAUAGAAAAAAGCAAAAAAUGCGAAAAAAUAGAGAAGAAGAAAAGACAAAAAGUGAAAAAAAAUAAGAAAAAAGAAAUUGAAAAGAAAAAAAACAAAUCAGUCCGGCUAGUGUCUAUUCUGGGCUAUUUUGUUCUGUUUUGGGCUAGCAUCUAUAGUAUUAUUUUUGUUACCACACUUUGACACUCCACACUUAUCAUAUGUUUUGAGCUUUGUUAUAUAUUUGUGUGCUUUCUCCUACUUAGCAAUUUUCACAUAUAUUUGAUUCAGUACCUGGGCUUAGAUUGUUUUCUCUCUUGCUAGUCGACUGCCAGCACUAGUUAGGAGUUUGAACAAUUAUUCAACUUGCAUUGUUUUCUGAUAAAUUGAUCCACUGCUAUUCUGAGUUGAGAAUACUCUGCCAAGCUACAUUUUUUCCUACCAACAAGUACAGAUUUCGGUUCCGCUGAUUCCUACUUAUCACUCCAACCAAUCUUCAUCGAUUGUUUGAAGCCAACACCAACGCGCCUAUCACCACCUGUUGCAUUGGUAAGAACAAGUAAAAUUUGAUACUAAGCUUGAGUGUGAGCGAUUUUUUCCACCAUGUCCUACUAGUUGAUAGGGUUUAUACACUGUGUUUUUUCUCUUUCGCUAACUAUGAUCAACCCCCACUUGAGGGUCUCACCGCAGAUGUGGAAGUCACUAGUGAGCGUCGCCCAACUUGAGGGUGCUCAGAUUGCGGCCGAAGAGAGGCUCAAGGCCAUAGAGGAUGCAUAGGGUGUUGCGAACACACAACUACAGGACAUCUUUUCACGUUUGGACGAGUUGCGGACUACACCCCCCCCGGUCAACAACAACGUUGAUCCUCGCAACUCCACAGGUGGCGCCGCUAUUUCUCUAGCUUGGUGUGUGCCAACUGGUCAUCCACAACACCCAUCUACUGCCACUGAUGCCGCCACCAUAUACCAGCACCAACAAAUUCAUCCCCGCAUCACCGAGCAACAUGGGGACGACUAUGAGGAUUAUUUUGGUGACACCGAAGACGACCAAAUGGUCAACCACCACAAUGACCGUGCUCAUCGACAACUACGUUUCAACCGUCAAGGUAUGGCACGAGGUCCACACAUGUAUGGUGUUCGAGAUUACGACCACUCCCAUGCUAAAAUUAAAUUUACUAUGCCUACUUUUAGUGGUAAAUAUAAUCCAGAUGCUUAUCUUGAUUGGGAACUUUCAGUUGAACAAAAAAUUGCAUGUCAUGAUAUUCUUGAGAACCAAAGAGUAAGGGCAGCCACUAGUGAAUUUACAAACUUUGCUUCUAUUUGAUGGAGUGCGUAUUGCCAUGUUAAUGAGAACAAUAUACCUACUACUAGGGAUGCUUUAAAACGAUCUAUGUGGCAACAUUAUGUUCCUUCGUAUUAUGCUCGUGAUAAACUAAGUGAAUUGCAACGUUUAAAACAAGGUACUAGUUUUGUAGAGGAUUAUUAUCAAGAAUUGCAAAUUGGUUUAAUGUGAUGUGGAUUAUUUGAAAUGGAAGAUGCUAUGAUGGCUAGAUUUUUAGGUGGUUUGAAUCGUGAUAUUCAAGAUAUAUUGGACUACAAGGACUACAAUUCUAUUACUCAUUUGUUUCAUUUUGCUUGUAAAGCUGAAAGGCAAGUAGAGGGACGACACAACAAGGGAGGAGGUAACUUUUCUGCAGGUCAUCACUCAACAUGGACACACUCUCCAACUGUCCCAACCACUACUGAGGCACCACCACAUAUCUCGAACAAUGGUGCACUUCCAACAAGUUUAAAACCAGCUCCACAAUCCUCGGCGCUUCGAAAGGAACUUCUCUAGCACCUACCACUUCGUCUGGAUGCACACGGGACAUGAAGUGUCAUAUAUGCAAAGGUGGCGGGCACUUGAUGAAGGACUGUCCAAACAAACAUACAUUCAUUGUGCGGGAAUAUGGUGAGUACUCAUCUGCGAGUGAUAUGGAUAAAGAUACGCGUGUUAUGCUUGCCACUAAUAAUGCAUGUGACACUAAGGAGCAUGACAUGGAGGAGAUACAUGUUAGUGCUGAGAUGGCAGAUAAAUACCCAAGCCUUAUAACCAUGCGAGUACUUAGUGCCCAGGUGGGGCAUGCUGAGAUGCCUCAACGCCAUAAUCUUUUUCGAACUAAGUUUGUUGUCAACGGACAUUCAGUUCGUGUGGUCAUUGAUGGUGGGAGCUGCAAUAAUUUGGCGAGUAUAGAGAUGGUCGAGAAACUUUGCCUCACCACUGCAAGACACCCGCGUCCAUAUUUCAUCCAAUGGUUCAACGAUUGUGGUAAGUUGAAGGUAACACGUCAUGUGAGAGUUCAUUUUACACUUAGUUCGUAUCAUGAUUAUGUUGACUAUGAUGUUGUACCUAUGCAAGCUUGUUCUUUAUUGUUAGAUCGACCUUGGCAAUAUUAUAAUAGUGUCACCCAUCAUGGUAGAACAAAUUCAUAUACUCUCGUUUUUGAAGAAAAAACUAUUAACUUGCUUCCAAUGACCCCUGAUGAAAUAAUAAAUAAUGAGAAACCUAAAUCAACGGAUCAUACUACACAUAGUAUGCUUGCUGUCAAUACUGAUUUUUUUUGUUGGGUGUCCAAACUUCUGAUCUGGACAUGACGCGUGCCCAGAUAGUUAGUCUGCAUCCAUGUCAUUCAUAUACGGACUCUGUGUGGGAUAAAAUGACUUUGCCUAUACAUGUUGCAUCUAUUUUUGCCAUAUCCUAUGAUGAGUUUCAGGAUUAUUGAAGGCAUUUGCAAAAUGAAUGUCAAGAUGAGAGAUUAUGCACUUGAAGUUUACACGAGCUACACAAGUGCACCAUGCACAUGCAGCCAAGGAAAUGCUCCUGUACAUGCAUGCGUCAGGAAGGUGGAAGGAAGAAGCCAGCCUUGCAUGCUACGAUGCCCAUGUACAUCACGUUGGGCCACACAUCUUGUCAACCGAAGGAAACAUCAAUUCCGGCUGAGGCAUGCAGAAGUUGGACUCCGUACGACCCACGUUCCGUAAACAAGGACGCAACACGGCUGUCGCUCCUCUUAAUAAAUAAAUAGCUAAAAUUAGGGUUUAGAUUUGGGGUUUUGUUUAGAGAACUUUAGUUAUUGCUACUUUUAUUUGUCUUCGCUCAUAGCGGCUAGUGCGACCGUCAAGACAUCCUAUCGGAACCCUAUCAUGUGAGAUUAUUCCAUCUAGCAUAUUCACAGUUUCAGAUUUCUUGACCAUUAUUUUCUUGCAUGUUCUUCGACUUGCUUGCAAGAAAAAUCCUUCGUGGAUAGGUUGAUCGCGCCGUUGGCUCAAUCGAUAAUGCCGUGGAGUUGGUUCAGCGAUUGCCGUGGACAUCAGUCGUGUACAGUUCUCUCUGUACGGUUGGUAGCCGGCUCGUGAGGGUCAAGUCCCACAAAAAUUGUAGUUAUCCUCUCUCAUCAAAAGAUCGGGUCCGCAAUUCACAUCAACCGUCCAAGUCCCACAGAAAUCAUAGUUAUCCGACUGUCUACUACAGCUAGUUGUGCCCGACUCCGACAAGGGAGGGGUGAUGACGGUGGAGCGCCUUUGGCUCGCUUCAGUGCUUGUAGUCGUCGCUAGGUGGUCAAUGGAUCAGGAUGUAAUUUUUAUUAUUUUUGGUGUUCAUUGUACUACCAUGAUUAAAGAUUAAUAGAUCGGAAGUUUUCUGGCAAAAAAAUUGAGUUGAUGUUUUCGUUUUUGUAUUCCCCCCAUCAAAACAAGGUAUUAUAUGUUUUGAUAGAAUAACUAACCGGAAUUGUUUUCCUAAAUAUCAUCAAAAAGCUCAUUUUCUAAAAUCUUACCUCUAAUUCCUGAUACAUCUCCAAUGUAUCUACUUUUCCAAACACUUUUGCCCUUGUUUUGGACUCUAACUUCCAUGAUUUGAAUGGAACUAACCCGGACUGACGUUGUUUUCAGCAGAACUGCCAUGGUGUUAUUUUUGUGCAGAAAUAAAAGUUCUCAGAAUGACCUGAAAUCCACGGAGCAACCUUUUGGAAUUAAUAAAAAAUAUUGGCAAAAGGAUCAGCAUCAGGGGGGCCACACCCUAUCAACGAGGGUGCAGGGCGCCCCCUUUGGGCGCGCCCAUGCCUCGUGGGCCCCCUGGGACUCCACCGACCACGACCCUAACUCCGUAUAUUCACUUUUGGGGAGAAAAAAUCAGAGAGAAGGAUUCAUCGCGUUUUACGAUACGGAGCCACCGCCAAGCCCUAAUCUUCCUCGGGAGGGCUAAUCUGAAGUCCGUACGAGGCUCCGGAGAGGGGAAUCUGUCGCCAUCGUCAUCAUUAAACAUCCUCCAGCACCAAUUUCAUGAUGCUCACCGCCGUGCGUGAGUAAUCACAUCGUAGGCUUGCUGGACGGUGAUGGAUUGGAUUAGAUUUACCAUGUAAUCGAGUUAGUUUUGUUAGGGUUUGAUCCCUAGUAUCCAUUAUGUUCUAAGAUUGAUGUUGCUAUGACUUUGCCAUGCUUAAUGCUUGUCACUAGGGCCCGAGUGCCAUGAUUUCAGAUCUGAACCUAUUAUGCUUUCAUGAAUAUAUGUGAGUUCUUGAUCCUAUCUUGCAAGUCAAUAAUCACCUACUAUGUGUUGUGAUCCGGUAACCCCGAAGUGACAAUAAUCGGGACCACUCCCGGUGAUGACCGUAGUUUGAGGAGUUCAUGUAUUCACUAAGUGUUAAUGCUUUGGUACGGUAUUUUAUUAAAAGAAGGCCUUAAUAUCCCUUAGUUUCUAAUAGGACCCCGCUGCCACGGGAGGGUAAGACAAAAGAUGCCAUGCAAAGUUCUUUUCCAUAAGCACGUAUGACUAUAUUCGGAAUACAUGCCUACAUUACAUUGAUGAACUGGAGCUAGUUCUGUGUCACCCUAUGUUAUAAAUGUUGCAUGAGGAAUCGCACCUGACAUAAUUAUCCAUCACUGAUCCAUUGCAUACGAGCUUUUCACAUAUUGAUCUUUGCUUAGUUACUUUUUCGUUACCACUGUUAUGAUUACUACAAAAUUGCUACUAUUACUUCUGUCACCGUUACCGUUACCUCCAUACUACUUUGCUACUAAAUACUUUGCUGCAAAUAUUAAGUCUUUCAAGUGUGCUUGAAUUGACAACUCAGCUGCUAAUACUUAAGAAUAUUCUUUGGCUCCCCUUUUCCGAAUCAAUAAAUUUGGGUUGAAUACUCUACCCUCGAAAACUGUUGUGAUCCCCUAUACUUGUGGGUUAUCAAGACAAUUUUCUGGCGCCGUUGUCGGGGAGCAUAGCUCUAUUAUUUGAGUCACUUGGGAUUUAUAUCUACUGAUCACUAUGAGGAACUUGAAAGAUGAAAGAACCAAGAUUUUUCCCUCAACUACGAGGGGAGGUAAGGAACUGCCAUCUAGCUCUGCAUUUGAUUCACCUUCUGUUUUGAGUAAACUAGCAACACCUACUGUCACUGUCAAAACCAGCGGAUCUCGGGUAGGGGUUCCUGAACUGUGCGUCUAAGGUUGAUGGUAACAGGAGACAGGGGACACGAUGUUUACCCAGGUUCGGGCCCUCUCUAUGGAGGUAAUACCCUACUUUCUGCUUGAUUGAUCUUGAUGAAUAUGAGUAUUACAAGAGUUGCUCUACCACGAGAUCGUGAUGGCUAAACCCUAGAAGUCUAGCCUAUAUGAUUGUGAUUGCCUCUACGGCCUAAAUCUUCUGGUUUAUAUAGACACUGGAGGGGACUAGGGUUAUACAAAGUCGGUUACAGAGAAAGGAAUUUACAUAUCCUAACCACCAAGCUUUCCAUCCACGCAAAGGAGAGUCCCAUCCGGACAUGGGAAGAAGUCUUCUGUCUUGCAUCUUCAUAGCCCAACAGUCCGGCCCAUGUUAGUAGUCCGGCCGUUCGAGGACCCCUUAAUCUAGGACUCCCUCAGUAGCCCCUGAACCAGGCUUCAAUGACGAUGAGUCCGACGCGCAGAUUGUCUUCGGCAUUGCAAGGCGGGUUCCUUCUCCAAAUACUCCACAAUAGUCUUUGAACCCGGAAAAUGUGUCCGACUCUGCAAAACAAAUACCACACACAACCGUAGAGAGUAUAAUAUUUCACGAGUCCAAUCCGCUGACAACCUUUUGUAGCGUGACAUCACGUUACCGCCCGACCAUUAUUUGAACCGUUUUUUAGCCUGGCGCUCAAUAUUUCGAGGUGUGGUUUCAUUGGAACGUUUUGUCAAAGCAGAGAUCAUGUCCCCUUAUUGCGGGAUUCUCAUCAAUACGGGCAUGGGUAACCCAACCGUGCCAUUUGCAUGACCCUUGGGGAAUAGGAGAUUUUUAAGGCGAUUGGGGAGGCGCAUGAUUUUCACUGCCUUUAUAAAGGGAUAAGGAUUCACCCUUUUCACCCACACCUUCUCUCUCUCUUGCCCAUCCCAUUCUCGAGCUCCAGCACCCAAGUUCUCAUCCUCCCCGCCCCUAGAAAGCACUCUAGCCAUAUCCGGAUCUAGAGCACUGGGCAAGUGGAUGGCCUCCUCCAUCAGGGAGAAGGACAUUACGAAGCUCCGGGAGGCCGGGUACUUGGCUAAGGAAAUCGCCCAUCGUCUUCCGGGCGAGGGACAGAUCAUACCCACUCCGGAGCCCCAUGAGAGGGUGGUAUUCAUCUCCCACUUCGUCUGCGGGCUGGGAUUCCCUCUCCACCCAUUUGUCCAUGGACUGAUGUUCUACUACGGGCUGGACUUCCACGACCUGGCCCCCAACUCCAUCCUCAACAUCUCGGCAUUUAUUGUUGUGUGCAAGGCCUUCCUCCGCAUCCCACCUCACUUUGGACUAUGGCUAAAGACCUUCAAUGUGAAGCCAAAGGUGGUGAGUGGUCAACAAGCAGAGUGCGGAGGCGCCAUGGUGGGCAAGAUGCCCAACGUUACAUGGCCCAAAGGUUCCUUCGUGGAGAUUGUCAAAGGGUGGCAAUCAAAGUGGUUCUACAUCACAGAGCCACAUGACACCACCUGGGCCGCGGCUCCCUCAUUCCGGACUGGAGUCCCGAUGCGGCUCACCUCCUGGCAAGAGAAAGGCCUGACCUGGUCUUCUCUGGACGAGCUGACAGCGGUCCAGACGCGCAUUCAGAACAUGAUAAACAAGAAAAUAAAGCUUGUCAACAUGAUCCAGGUGAUGCUUAUUCGCCGGAUCCUUCCGUGCCAACGCCGGACUUGCCAUCUAUGGGAGUUCGAUCCGGCCAAGCACCAGACCCUACUGGAGCUCUUGGCACUAUGCACGAAGAUAUCUGGAAGGUGCUCUUCAAGGCCAACGAGGCGCGGCCGGCCACGACCAAGGAUAGCGAGCACGACUUAACCCACCCUGCUAGUCCGGUAAGUUUUUCAUGUUUUUAAGGUGUACCCUUUACUUGCAUACUCGAGGAAGGCGCCUAAGCGUCCCUAUUGAUUCUUUCAGGCCUGGACAGAGAAGGUAGAGAGGAUUAAGUGUAUAGCUCCGCUGCCCGAGGACCCAGAAAUCCCGCUUCUGACGAAGAUGCUGGUUCCGGUGCCUUAUCAGGCGUCGGAGAAGAAGGCCAAGAAGAAGGCCAAGGGGACUAGAGGUGGUCUCCAUCGCAAGGGCACUUCAGACGCGACGUCCGAAGACACCGAGACUCAUUCCUCCAUCGCCGAGAAUGACGAGGAAGAGGAGGAAGAAGAAGAAAGUUGUUCCCCCCUGGGGGGAGAAAGAAGAGGCCAGUCUCCACGCGUCUAGAGGCCGAGGCGCCCAAAAGGGGAAAGGUUCCCUUCCAGACAGCUCCACUGCGGCCAUGAUACGUCUCGAACGUAUCUACUUUUCCAAACACUUUUGCCCUUGUUUUGGACUCUAACUUGCAUGAUUUGAAUGAAACUAACCCGGACUGACGCUGUUUUCAGCGGAACUGCCAUGAUGUUGUUUUAUGUGUAGAAAACAUAAGUCCUCGGAAUGUCCUGAAAAUCCACGGAGGCACUUUUUGGAAAAUAUAAAAAAUACUGGCGAAAGAAUCAAGACCAGCGGGCCCACACCCUGCCCACGAGGGUGGGGCGCGCCAACCCCCUGGGCGCGCCCCCCUGUUUCGUGGGCCCCCUGAGGCUCCGCCGACCUCAACUCCAACUCCAUAUAUUCUGUCUCGCGGAGAAAAAAUCAGAGAGAAAGUUUCAUUGCGUUUUACGAUACGGAGCCACCGCCAAGCCCUAAUCUCUCUCGGGAGGGCUGAUCUGGAGUCCGUUCGGGGCUCCGGAGAGGGGGAUUCGUCGCCGUCGUCAUCAUCAACCAUCCUCCAUCACCAAUUUCAUGAUGCUCACUGUCGUGCGUGAGUAAUUCCAUCGUAGGCUUGCUGGACGGUGAUGGGUUGGAUGAGAUUUACCAUGUAAUCAAGUUAGUUUUGUUAGGGUUUGAUCCCUAGUAUCCACUGUUCUGAGAUUGAUGUUGCUAUGACUUCGCUAUGCUUAAUGCUUGUCACUAGGGCCCGAGUGCCAUGAUUUCAUAUCUGAACCUAUUAUGUUUUCAUGAAUAUAUGUGUGUUCUUGAUCCUAUCUUGCAAGUCUAUAGUCACCUAUUAUGUGUUAUGAUCCGACAACCCCGAAGUGUCAAUAAUCGGGAUACUUCUCGGUGAUGACCGUAGUUUGAGGAGUUCAUGUAUUCACUAUGUGCUAAUGCUUUGUUCCGGUUCUCUAUUAAAAGGAGGCCUUAAUAUCCCUUAGUUUCCGCUAGGACCCCGCUGCCACGGGAGGGUAGGAUAAAAGAUGUCAUACAAGUUCUUUUCCAUAAGCACGUAUGACUAUUUACGGAAUACAUGCCUACAUUACAUUGAUUAACUGGAGCUAGUUCUGUAUCACCCUAUGUUAUAGCUAUUACAUGAGGAAUCGUAUCCGACAUAAUUAUCCAUCACUGAUCCAAUGCCUACGAGCUUUCCACAUCUUGUGUUUCGCUUAUUUACUUUUCCGUUGCUAUUGUUACAAUCACUACAAAACCCAAAAAUAUUACUUUUGCUACCGUUACCUUUAUUAUCAUACUAGUUUGCUACUAAAUACUUUGCUGCAGAUACUAAGUUAUCCAGGUGUGGUUGAAUUGACAACUCAACUGCUAAUACUCAAUAAUAUUCUUUGGCUCCCCUUGUGUCGAACCAAUAAAUUUGGGUUGAAUACUUUACCCUCGAAAGCUGUUGCGAUCCCCUACACUUGUGGGUUAUCAGGCGACCGACAGCAGCUCGGAGUGGCGCCCCAGGGCCAAGCCCCUGGCCCAAUCGUAAGUAUCCGAACACAUUCAUAUAUCUGGCCUCUCUACUUCAUUGUUUUGACAUGUUGAAUCAUGUAUUUGCAGUCCGACUCGGUCCAACCUCGAGCGGUCCUUAUCUUCGGAGGAUUCGCUGGACCCGGAGGCGAUGGACAGCGGGACCCUUCCAGCGGCCUCCUCUCCCAAGGACAUGGAUGGCACCAUGGCGUCGUCCCGAAUGAUCCCAAGCCCGGGAGAGAUUCAGGAGGCCGUCAGGGAGGCGCCGGAGGGUGAAGCCUCGGCUGCCGGACACAUGGGGGAGCGGACUCCCAUGGAUACUGACGAUGGGGGCCAUAUCCAGUUCGGCCCCCAUAUAUCCGAAUACAGUUCCGGAGACGCAUAUGGCUUCGGAAUCAGGCCAGCCGCCUCUUUCGAAAGAAGGAGGUGUGCCUGUAACCCACAAGUAUAGGGGAUCGCAACAGUUUUCGAGGGUAGAGUAUUCAACCCAAAUUUGUUGAUUUGACACAAGGGGAGCCAAAGAAUAUUCUCAAGUAUUAGCAGCUGAGUUGUCAAUUCAACCACACCUGGAAACUUAAUAUCUGCAGCAAAGUGUUUAGUAGCAAAGUAAUAUGAUAGUGAUGGUAACGGUAACAAAGUAAAGACAGCAAAAGUAAUGUUUUUGGUAUUUUUGUAGUGAUGAUAACAGUAGCAACGGAAAAGUAAAUAAGCGUAAACCAAUAUAUGGAAAACUCGUAGGCACCGGAUUAGCGAUGGAUAAUUAUGCCGGAUGCGGUUCAUCAUGUAACAGUCAUAACAUAGGGUGACACAGAGCUAGCUCCAAUUCAUUAAUGUAAUGUAGGCAUGUAUUCCGAAUAUAGUCAUACAUGCUUAUGGAAAAGAACUUGCAUGACAUCUUUUGUCCUACCCUCCCAUGGCAGCGGGGUCCUAAUGGAAACUAAGGGAUAUUAAGGCCUCCUUUUAAUAGAGAACCGUAACAAAGCAUUAGCACAUAGUGAAUACAUGAACUCCUCAAACUAUGGUCAUCACCGGGAGUUGUCCCGAUUAUUGUCACUUCGGGGUUGCCGGAUCAUAACACAUAGUAGGUGACUAUAGACUUGCAAGAUAGGAUCUAGAACACACAUAUAUUCAUGAAAACAUAAUAGGUUCAGAUCUGAAAUCAUGGCACUCGGGCCCUAGUGACAAGCAUUAAGCAUAGCAAAGUCAUAGCAACAUCAAUCUCAGAACAUAAUGGAUACUAGGGAUCAAACCCUAACAAAACUAACUCGAUUACAUGAUAAAUCUCAUCCAACCCAUCACCGUCCAGCAAGCCUACGAUGCAAUUACUCAUGCAUGGUGGUGAGCAUCAUGAAAUUGGUGAUGGAGGAUGGUUGAUAAUGACGACAGCGACGAAUCCCCCUCUCCGGAGCCCCGAACGGACUCUAGAUCAGCCCUCCCGAGAGAGAUUAGGGCUUGGCAGCGGCUCCGUAUCAUAAAACGCGAUGAAACUUUCUCUCUGAUUUUUUUCUCCCUGAAAGCCAAUAUAUGGAGUUGGAGUUGGCGUCGAAGGGCCACCAGGGGGCCCACGAGGUAGGGCGGCGCGCCCAGGGGGAGGGGCGCGCCCCCCACCCUUGUGGAUAGGGUGUGGGCCCCUGGUCUUCAUCUUUGGCGAGGAUUUUUUAUUAUUUAUUCUAAGAUAUUCCGUGGAGUUUCAGGUCAUUCCGAGAACUUUUGUUUUCUGCACAUAAAACAACACCAUGGCAAUUCUGCUGAAAACAGCGUCAGUCCGGGUUAGUUCCAUUCAAAUCAUACAAGUUAGAGUCCAAAACAAGGGCAAAAGUGUUUGGAAAAGUAGAUACGAUGGAGACGUAUCAACUCCCCCAAGCUUAAACCCUUGCUUGUCCUCAAGCAAUUCAGUUGACAAACUGAAAGAGAAAAAGAAAAACUUUUACAAACUCUGUUUGCUCUUGUUGUUGUAAACAUGAAAAGCCAGCAUUCAAGUUUCAGCAAUUAUUAUGAACUAACCAUACUCACAAUAACACGUAGGUCUCACAAUUACUCAUAUCAAUAGCAUGAUCAGCUAGCGAGCCAUAAUAAUAAAACUCGGAUGACAACACUUUCUCAAAAUAAUCAUAACAUGAUAUAACAAAAUGGUAUCUCGCUAGCCCUUUCUGAGACCGUAAAACAAAAAUGUAGAGCACCUUUAAAGAUCAAGGACUGACUAAACAUUGUAAUUCAUGGUAAAAAAGAUCCAGUCAAGUCAUACCCAAUAUAAACCAAUCAUAAUAAAUGCAAAUGACAGUGUGCUCUCCAGCGGGUGCUUUUUAAUAAGAAAGGUGAUGACUCAACAUAAAAGUAAAUAGAUAGGCCCUUCGCAGAGGGAAGCAGGGAUUUGUAGAGGUGCCAGAGCUCGAUUUUGAAAUAGAGAUAAAUUAUAUUUUGAGCUGCAUACUUUCACGGCCAACGCAACAACUAUGAGAGGGCUGUAUCUUCCAUACUACAUGCAUUAUAGGCGGUUCCCAAACAGAAUGGUAAAGGUUUAUACCCCCCCCUCCUCCACAAGCAUCAAUCCAUGGCUUGCUCGAAACAACGAGUGCCUCCAACAUUCAACGGGUCCCAGGGGGAGUUUUGUUUAAUUAUUUUGAUUUGUUUUGAUGUUUUUGGAUCAUGGGACUGGGCAUCCCGGUUACCGGCCCUUUCUCGUGAAUGAGGAGCGGAGUCCACUCCUCUUGAGAAUAACCCACAUAGCAUGGAAGAUAUAAGCAGCCCUAGUUGCACAUGAGCUGCUCGAGCAUACAAAACAGAAUUUCAUUUGAAGGUUUGGAGUUUGGCACAUACAAAUUUACUUGGAAUGGCAGGUAGAUACCGCAUAUAGGAAGGUAUGGUGGACUCAUGGGACAACUUUGGGGUUUAAGGAGUUUGGAUGCACAACAGUAUUCCCGCUUAGUACAGGUGAAGGCUAGCAAAAGACUGGGAAGCGACCAACUGAGAGAGCGACAACAGUCGUAAACAUGCAUUAAAAUUAAUUUACACCGAAUAUAAGCAUGAGUAGGAUAUAAUCCACCAUGAACAUAAAUAUCAUGAAGGCUAUGUUGAUUUGAUUCAACUACAUGCGUGAACAUGUGCCAAGUCGAGUCACUCAAUUCAUUCAAAGGAGGAUACCAUCCUAUCAUACCACAUCAUAAUCAUCUCAAUAGCAUGUUGGCACGCAAGGUAAAACAUCAUAACUCAUAGCUAAUCAAGCAUGGCACAAGCAACUAUAAUCUCUAAAUCUCAUUGCAAAUAUGUUUACUUCAUAAUAGCUGAAUCAGGAACGAUGAAUCAUCAUAUUUACAAAAACAAGAGAGGUCGAUUUCAUACCAGCUUUUCUCAUCCCAAUAAGUCCAUCAUAUAUCAUCAUUAUUGCCUUUCACUUGCACGACCAACGGUGUGUAUAAUAAUAAGAGUGCACGUGCAUUGGACUAAGUUGGAAUCUGCAAGCAUUCAACUCAAGAGAGAAGACAAGUAAUAUGGGCUCUAAGUUAAAUAAACGGUCAUGCAUAUGAGAGCCACUAAGCAUUUUCAAUAUAGUCUUCUCGACCCCCAAAGAAAGGAAAAGAAAUAAAAACUAUUUACACGGGAAAGCUCCCAACAAGCAAAAGAAGAACGAGAAAUGUUUUUGGGUUUUCUUAUUAAUUAUUACCACUACAGCAGGAAAAAUAAACUACUACCAAUUUUUAUUUUUUGUUUUUCUUAAGGUUUAUUAAACACACAAGAAGAAAGCAGGAAAAGGGAAAUAAACUAGCAUGGAUAUUACAGUGAAAGAGUAUGAGCACCGACAUCUAGCAAUGAGUGUGUGUGAGCAUAAAUGUAAUGUCGGUGAGAAAUACGUACUCCCCCAAGCUUAGGCUUUUAGCCUAAGUUGGUCUAUUGCCAGGGAUAGCCUGGCGGAUACCCAUAGGUGUAGCUGGGGUCAUACGGUGACGCAGAGGCUACGGCCUCCUGAGCUGCAGCGUGGCGUCGAGCUGCCUCCACUCUCCUCUCGUACUCAUCUGCCUCCUCUCUGGUAAUAAUAUAUUUUCCUCUUGCCUGAAAAUCAAAGAAGGUAGGAGCAGGAAGAGCAACACGGACCACAUGCCGUUUGUUAAAGAUUAGUCGAUACUGGAAAGGUGGUCCAGUCCUCUCAAUAAAUUGGUGGGAAACAUAGAAUCAAGAUCUAAAUAAGCAGGAGGUAACUCCAAGUCACCCUCACGAAUGUCUACAUCAAGAAAAUUAGCUAAGCGGGUUGCAUAAAUUCCUCCAAAGAAAUCUCCGUUAUGUCUAUUAUGAUGCAACCUACGAGCUACAGUGGCUCCCAUAUGAUAAGAUUGGUCCCCUAACACAGCACUUCUGAGAAUGCUGAGAUCAGGCGCACACAUGUGGCAUGCUUCAUCCUUAGCAGCUAUACAUCUACCAAUGAAGAGAGCAAAAUAAUGUAUAGCAGGAAAGUGAAUGCUCCCUAUAGUGGCCUGCGCUAUAUCUCUAGAUUCCCCCACAGUUAUUCUAGCAAGAAAGUCUCUAUAUUUAGAUUUAGGGGGAUCCCUAAUACUACCCCAAGAUGGAAGCUUGCAUGCAAGAGUGAGAUCCUCCAAGUCCAUGGUAUAAGAUUUGUCAUAAAGGUCAAACAUGACUGAAGGAGAAUUACGCGAAGAUGAAAAAUCAAACCUCCCCACAAAUGAACUUGUGAGGUCACGAUACUGUGGGCAUUUAUCAGCUUCAAAGUCCUCAAGACUGGAAUUACACAAAUAUGCGUAGAAUUCUUCUUUAAUUCCCACUUGAUUCAUAAAAUUUUCCGAAGGCCAUUCACAGGGCCUCACGAGUGCGUCUCUUGGUGGUUCCUCGUCACCAUCACGCAUUGCAAGCAUGGGGCCUUUCUUCCUUGAGGAACCACCUUGGAACAUCUUCCUAAGCAUAUUGUUUUCUCUGAAAAUAAUUCUGAAAUUUUUAGUAACUUCAAAUAAAAGUGAACCAACUUCAAUAAAACUGAUAGCAACUACUCAGACAAGUGCCUAGAGCAUAUAUCAAGCAUUAGAACUACUUGGAACCAUAUACGUUUGACAUGCAAGCUCAAGAACAUGGUCACCUAUGCAGCACAAAUUUGCAAUGAAUAAAGCACUAGAACAAAAACUAAUUGGACCAAUGGAGGAGUCACAUACCAAGGAACAAUCUCCCCAAGCAGUUUUGCGAGAGGUGCUUUGAGCAAGGAGAUCGAAAAUCACAGCAAAAGCGGCUGGAACACGAGCUUGAGUUGGUUUUUCGGGUUUGUGCGAGACAGACGAAGAAGAUGGGUGCAGGGAUAAGUGGAGGAGGGCCACCGUGGGCCCACGAGGCAGGGGGGCGCGCCCAGGGGGGUAGGGCGCACCCUCCACCCUCGUGGCCAGGUGGCAGCUCCUCCCGCGGUAAUUUUUGCACAGUAAAUCCUCAAAUAUUCCCGAAAAAAUCAUAUUAAAUUGGCAUGGCAUUCUGAGGACUUUUAUUUUCGGCAUAUUUUUAUAUUGCACGGAUAAGUCAGGAGACAGACAGAAAAAAUAUUAUUUUACUUUAUUUCUACUAAAUAACAGAAAAUAUAAAGAGGGUACAGAAGGUUGUGCUUCUAGUUUCAUCCAUCUCAUGAUCAUCAAAAUCAACCCACUAACAAGGUUGAUCAAGUCUUGUUAACAAACUCAUUCCGAAUAAUCACGAAACCGGAGAAAUUUCGAAUGACACUAAGUUACCUCAACGGGGAUAUGAAAAUCCCCAACAAUAAGAAUAUCAUACUUUUUCUUGACAGUAGGAAGAGGAAAUUCAAAACCUCCAAAUAUAAUCGAUGGAACUUUUCCAAUAGAGUUGAUACUAUAAACUUGAGGUUGUUUCCUCGGAAAAUGUACCGUGUGCUCAUUGCCAUUAACAUGAAAAGUGACAUUGCCUUUGUUGCAAUCAAUAACAGCCCCUGCAGUAUUAAGGAAAGGUCUUCCAAGAAUAAUAGACAUACUAUCAUCCUCGGGAAUAUCAAGAAUAACAAAGUCCGUUAAAAUAGUAACGUUUGCAACCACAACAGGCACAUCCUCACAAAUACCGACAGGUAUAGCAAUUGAUUUAUCAGCCAUUUGCAAAGAUAUUUCAGUAGGCGUCAACCUAUACAAGUCAAGUCUACGAUAUAAAGAGAGAGGCAUAACACUAACACCGGCUCCAAGAUCACAUAAAGCAGUUUUAACAUAAUUUCUUUUAAUGGAGCAUGGUAUAGUAGGUACUCCUGGAUCUCCAAGUUUCUUUGGUAUUCCACCCUUAAAAGUAUAAUUAGCAAGCAUGGUGGAAAUUUCAGCUUCCGGUAUCUUUCUUUUAUUAGUAAUGAUAUCCUUCAUGUACUUAGCAUAAGGAUUUGUUUUGAGCACAUCAGUUAAUCGCAUACGCAAAAAGAUGGGUCUAACCAUUUCAGCAAAGCGCUCAAAAUCCUCAUCAUCCUUUUUCUUGGAUGGUUUGGGAGGAAAAGGCAUGGGUUUCUAAACCCAUGGUUCUCUUUCUUUACCAUGUUUCCUAGCAACAAAGUCUCUUUUAUCAUAACAUUGAUUCUUUGAUUGUGGGUUAUCAAGAUCAACAACAGGUUCAACUUCUACUUCAUUAUCAUUACUAGGUUGAGCAUCAUCAUGAACAUUAUCAUUAACAUUUCCACGAGGUUCAUGUUCAUUACCAGAUUGUGUUUCAGCAUCAGACAUAGAGAUAUCAUUUGGAUUAUCAGGUGGUUCAGCAACAGGUUCACUAGAAGUCUGCACAGUUCUAUCAUUUUUCUUUUUCUUCCUCUUAGAAGAACUAGGUACAUCAAUAUUAUUUCUCUGAGAAUCUUGCUCGAUUCUCUUAGGGUGGCCUUCGGGACAUAAAGGUUCCUGAGUCAUUCUACCAGUUCUAGUAGCCACUCUAACAGCAUAAUCAUUUUUCUUACUAUUCAUUUCAUCAAGCACUUCUUUCUGAGCUUGAAGUACUUGUUCUACUUGAGUGGUAACCAUAGAAGCAUUUUUGCUAACAAGUUAAAGUUCACCUCUAAUAUUAGCCAUAUAAUCACUCAAGCGUUUAAUCAUAAAGGUAUUCUGUUUUAAUUGUCUACCAAAAUAAGCAUUAAAGUCAUCUUGCUUAAACAUAAAGUCAUCAAACUCAUCCAAGCACUGACUGGCAAUUUUAGUAGGAGGGACUUUAGCUUUAUCAUACCUAUAGAGAGAAUUUACCUUUACUACCUGUGUCGGGACAUCGGGAGGUUCUUCAGUAAAUAAGUAAUUGAGAUCAUAUACUUCUUCAACAGGCGGUAAAUUAAGACCAUGUAUUUCUUCAAUAGGAGGUAAAUUCUAACAUCUUCAGCUUUAAUACCUUUUUCUUUCAUAGAUUUCUUUGCCUCUUGCAUAUCUUCGGGACUGAGAAAUAGAACACCUCUCUUCUUCGGAGUUGGUUUAGGAAUAGGCUCAAUAAUUGGCUCAGGAGCUGGCUCGGGAGGUGCCCAAUUAUUUUCAUUUGCCAACAUAUUAUUCAAUAGAAUUUCAGCGUCAUCCGGUGUUCUUUCCCUGAAAAGUGAACCAACACAACUAUCCAGGUAAUCUCUGGAAGCAUCGGUUAGUCCAUUAUAAAAGAUAUGAAGUAUUUCAGGUUUCUUAAGAGGAUGAUCAUGCAAAGCAUUAAGUAGCUUGAGAAGCCUCCCCCAAGCUUGUGGGAGACUUUCUUCUUCAAUUUGCACAAAAUUAUAUAUAUCCUUCAAAGCAGCUUGUUUCUUAUGAGGAGGGAAAUAUUUAGCAGAGAAGUAAUAAAUCAUAUCCUGGGGGCUUUGCACACAACCAGGAUCAAGAGAAUUAAACCAUUUCUUAGCAUCACCCUUUAAUGAGAACGGAAAUAUUUUGAGUAAAUAAAGGUAGCGCGAUCUCUCAUUAUUAGUAAACAGGGCAGCUAUAUCAUCUAACUUACGAAGAUGUGCCACAACAGUUUCAGAUUCAUAGCCAUAAAAAGGAUCAGAUUCAACCAAAGUAAUUAUAUUUGGAUCAACAGAAAAAUCAUAAUAAUCCUGAUCAGGAACACAGAUAGGUGAAGUAGCAAAAGCAGGGUCGGGUCUCAUCCUAUCUCUAAAAGAUUCUUUACUCCACUUAACUAGCAACCUCUUACGUUCAAGACUAUCCUGGCAAGCAAGAACAACUUCAAUAGAUUCAGCAUUAAAAAGAUAACCCUCAGGAAUAGCAGGCAUAUUUUCAUCAUCACUAACAUCAUCGUGUUCAGUUUCAAUAAUUUCUCUUUCUCUAGACCUAGAAAUUUGUUCAUCUAGAAAUUCACCAAGGGGCACAGUAGUAUCAAGCAUAGAAGUAGUUUCAUCAUAAGUAUCAUGCAUAGCAGAAGUGGCAUCAUCAAUAACAUGCGACAUAUCGGAACGAAUAGCAGAAUCAGGUUUAGGUGUCACUAGCUUACUCAUAACAGAAGGUGAAUCAAGUGCAGAGCUAGAUGGCAUUUCCUUACCUCCCCUCAUAGUUGAGGGAUAAAUUGUUGUCUUAGCGUCUUUCAAGUUCUUCAUAGUGUCCAACAGAUAUAAAUCCCAAGUGACUCAAAGAAUAGAGCUAUGCUCCCUGGCAACGGCGCCAGAAAAAGGUCUUGAUAACCCACAAGUAUAGGGGAUCGCAACAGUUUUCGAGGGUAGAGUAUUCAACCCAAAUUUGUUGAUUCGACACAAGGGGAGCCAAAGAAUAUUCUCAAGUAUUAGCAGCUGAGUUGUAAAUUCAACCACACCUGGAAACUUAGUAUCUGCAGCAAAGUGUUUAGUAGCAAAGUAAUAUGAUAGUGAUGGUAACGGUAACAAAGUAAAGACAACAAAAGUAAUGUUUUUGGUAUUUUUGUAGUGAUGAUAACAGUAGCAACGGAAAAGUAAAUAAGCGUAAACCAGUAUAUGGAAAACUCGUAGGCACCGGAUUAGCGAUGGAUAAUUAUGCCGGAUGCGGUUCAUCACGUAACAGCCAUAACAUAGGGUGACACAGAACUAGCUCCAAUUCAUCAAUGUAAUGUAGGCAUGUAUUCCAAAUAUAGUCAUACGUGCUUAUGGAAAAGAACUUGCAUGACAUCUUUUGUCCUGCCCUCCCGUGGCAGCGGGGUCCUAAUGGAAACUAAGGGCUAUUAAGGCCUCCUUUUAAUAGAGAACCAUAACAAAGCAUUAGCACAUAGUGAAUACGUGAACUCCUCAAACUAUGGUCAUCACCGGGAGUGGUCCCGAUUAUUGUCACUUCGGGGUUGCCGGAUCAUAACACAUAGUAGGUGACUAUAGACUUGCAAGAUAGGAUCUAGAACACACAUAUAUUCAUGAAAACAUAAUAGGUUCAGAUCUGAAAUCAUGGCACUCAGGCCCUACUGACAAGCAUUAAGCAUAGCAAAAUCAUAGCAACAUCAAUCUCAGAACAUAAUGGAUACUAGGGAUCAAACCCUAACAAAACUAACUCGAUUACAUGAUAAAUGUCAUCCAACCCAUCACCGUCCAGCAAGCCUACGAUGCAAUUACUCACGCACGGCGGUGAGCAUCAUGAAAUUGGUGAUGGAGGAUGGUUGAUGAUGACGAUAGCGACGAAUCCCCCUCUCCGGAGCCCCGAACGGUCUCCAGAUCAGCCCUCCCGAGAGAGAUUAGGGCUUGGCGGCGGCUCCGUAUCGUAAAACGCGAUGAAACUUUCUCUCUGAUUUUUUUCUCCCCGAAAGCCAAUAUAUGGAGUUGGAGUUGGCGUCUGAGGGCCACCAGGGGGCCCACGAGGUAGGGCGGCACGCCCAGGGGGGAGGGGCGCGCCCCCCCCUCGUGGACAGGGUGUGGGCCCCCUGGUCUUCAUCUUUGGCGAGGAUUUUUUACUAUUUAUUCUAAGAUAUUCAGUGGAGUUUCAGGUCAUUCCGAGAACUUUUGUUUUCUGCACAUAAAACAACACCAUGGCAAUUCUGUUGAAAACAGCGUCAGUCCGGGUUAGUUCCUAUUCAAGUUAGAGUCCAAAACAAGGGCAAAAGUGUUUGGAAAAGUAGAUACGACGGAGACGUAUCAGUGCCUAUUCCACCGGUGACUUCUGUCCAUCCAGAGGCACCGGAUAAUUUGUUGGAAGCGCUGCGAGGCGCUUCCAUUGUUGAGGAACUCCAUACCCUUAUGGGUACGGUGACUGAGAGGAUUCAGUCCGCGAAGAGCGGACUGACCGAAGCCUGCACAAGCCUUCUAAUAGGCUUUGAGGUUAGCAAUUUAAUAAAAAGAAUGUCACAGUAUAGAUAGUAGCCAUUGAUACUAUGUCCGGUGUUUGGAAAGAAAAGCCGAUUAGAGGAUCAAAUAAUUUUCACAGGAGACUAACCUAACAUGUCUAUGUGAACAAACAGGCCUUGCUGCUGGCUACGACCUCUCAUACUGCUGAAGUCUCUAGACUGAAGCAGAGUCUGGAGCGGACCAAGGAGGAGCUCGUCCGCAUGAAAAAGCAGUUGGAAGAUAAUCAAGGUAUGCAAUAACCUUGGAUAUAUUCAGGAAGGAUGAAUGGUUUGUGCUGACUAAAGUGCCAUUUGAUUUGUUAGGGGCGGCGACCUAGGUGGAGACCCUCAAGAAGGCGCUGGCCGAGGCUAAGGAGAAAGCGGCCAAGGAAAAGGCCGCCCGUGAAAAGCACGAUGCCAGGGUUAGUGAGGUCCAGCAGGAGCUCCGGGACGCCGUGAUGCGAGUCCUUGGAGCACAAACUUGCGGAUCAAGAGUCCGAACUGGACGAGGCCUGCCAAAACAUACACGAUGCCCGGGUUGAAGCCCAAGGCGGCCUCCAGGAAAUCCAGGAGGCCAGGAAAAUCGCGGCAGGUAAGGCCUUUAUUAUGCAGAGCAAAUAUGUGAAGAGAAGGUUCCUCUUACUGACCCGGAUUUGGAGUUCUCCAGGGGCGUGUGCGGAUCUGCCGUGCAGCGUUUUAGGCGUUGUGGAAUUCUUCCGGGCCGAAGAGGGGGGCUUCACGGAUUAGCUAUUUUGGUCACAAUACAUUGCGCUAGAAUAUCCGGUGCCCUUUAGCGAUCAGCUCAAAUAGUUGGUCGAGUUGCACAGGAUGGCCGAACUAGCCAUGAAUGAUUUGAUAAUCCGGCUAUGGCCUGCCGAAGCUAUGCCCAGCAGCUACUUCGGCCUCGUGAAGCGGCUAGUCAGUUCCUGCCCUCGGCUUGAUGCCAUCAAGCGGUCGGUCUACAUUGAAGGCGCGCGCAUGGCCUUCGCCCGAGUCAAGAUGCAUUGGGUGAAGAUGGACGCCGUGAAGGUUGCGACCGAGGGACCGCCCGCGGGCAAGGAGCACGGCACACCCGAGCUGUAUUUUGACAGUGUCCUGGACGGAUCCCGCCGUGUCAAUAGAAGUUUUAGGCGCAGCCCCUAGUGUUUGUAAGUCUGAACUUGGGAUGUUGUAAAUACCUGAUUGGAUAAAAACCAAUUCAUUGCGUAAUGCGGAAAAAAUCGCUAAAGAUUUGAAAACCUCUCAAACAGCUUACCGGCUCACGCCGCAUCAUGACAGUCAGUUUUUGGCUUUCUCUACUGAGGUGCUCAUACGGAUGAACCAGGACACAAUCGCAGUAGUUCUCCCUUUACUACCCUAGCCGAUAUAGCGGAACAUAAGGUAGCAAGCACAGGAGCCGGGCAACCCAACUAUUGACCAAAGACAUGAUUCGGAGCCGAUGCAUAUAAUGCUAUAAGUUCGAAGUGCCGAACUACACUGUAAAAUAGUGUCCGGACUUUGUUGCAGUAUUAUGGAGCGUAAUGAAGCCCCUAGCGAAUUAAGGCGUACCAGAGUGUACAGGUGCAAUUUGAUAAAAAUAUCAAGAAAAAGAAAAAAAGGAAAUAAUAGGCUAAUGCUGCAAAAAAUGGGCCGCAAACUAUUUUUCAUUGUAGUUUGAUUAAUACGUCAAAGCGUAUUUUGUACAAGUAGCGCGAUAAGCAACAGGACUAUUUAACAUGCCACAAUCAAGGGAGAGCUGCGUGCGGGUCCUCAAAAACAGGUAUAGCGAUCGUUUAAAGAAACCACCUGGAAAUUCCCCCAUACGUCAAUGCUUCUUGCCGUCUUGGUGUAUCCGUCCCUCUAUAGGUCUGUCGAUCAGGUCACCAGGAAGGACCUGGGAAGAAAAGAGACCUAAAAAGAAAAAGAGAAGGUAAAAGUAUGCGGGUCCAGGAGCGGUUGAGCCGUACUAUGGACCAUGAUCUAGCUGUGCCUCCGUCUAUGCUCAUGGUAUUUUAAGUGCAUAGUUAUGUAUGCGUGGUACGAAUGUUGCCGCUUGGUCGGGACUGGGACGGAGGCUGGAUUGCUAGUCAAGCUCUUGACGAGCUGGACUGUCCUGCUGCAGGGUAGUUCGGACUCGUUUGACAGUAUCCGGGAGCUUGGCAGCUGAAUUAAGGUUCUGCCUGAAAAGGCCGCUUUGUACUUCUGCUGCAAGGGCCGCGGUGUGCUCCUCGGUAUGGAGGGAGCGUUCCAUGUUUCCAUUGACUGUUAUGACACCGCAUGGUCCGGGCAUUUUGAGCUUGAGAUAAGCGUAGUGCGGCACCGCAUUGAAUCGAGCGAAUGUGAUUCGUUCGAGCAGUGCGUGAUAGCCACUGCGGAAGGGGACGAUAUCGAAGAUCAAUUCUUUGCUUCGGAAAUUAUCCGGGGAUCCGAAGACCACUUCCAGUGUGAUUGAGCCCGUAAAGCAGGCCUCUACACCUGGUAUGACACCUUUAAAGGUGGUUUUGGUGGGCUUGAUCCUUGAGGGAUCGAUACCCAUUUUGCACACUAUAUCCUGAUAGACCAGGUUCAGGCUGCUGCCACCGUCCAUGAGGACUCACGUAAGGUGGAAUCCAUCAAUGAUUGUGUCGAGGACCAGUGCGGCUGAACCGCCAUGAUGGAUACUGGCCGGAUGGUCCCUGCGAUCAAAGGUGAUGGGGUAGGACGACCAUGGGUUGAACUUUGGGGCGAAUGGCUCCAUCGCGUGAAGUCCUUGACCGCGUGCUUGUGCUCCCUCUUGGGGAUAUGGGUAGUGUAUAUCAUGUUCACCGUUUUUACUUGGGGGGAAACUUCUUCUGACACCCUGUGUUCGGUGGCCGGGGCUCCUCGCCAUUGUCCUCGCUUUGUGACCCCUUCUCCUUGUUCUCGGCAUUUAACUUGCCGGCCUAUUUAAAAACCCAACACUCUCUGUUGGUAUGAUUGGCUGGUUUAUCAGAAGUGCCGUGGAUUUGACAUGGAUGAUCAAGUAUGCGGUCCAAACUGGACGGGCCUGGAUUGUUUCUUUUAUAUGGCUUCUUCCACUGAUCGGACUUAGAGCCACUGAAUCCGGCAUUGACCGCCGUGUCUUCGGUGUUAUCACUGUUGCUUCGACGCUUGUGUCUGUUGCGUUGGGGCUUGCCGUUGCUGUUUCUGGCUUCAGAAGUGCCAGGUUUGCUUGCAUUGUUAUUGCUACGGGCUAGCCAGCUAUCCUCGCCCGCGUAGAAGUGGGUCAUAAGCGUCGUGAGGGAUGCCAUGGACUUCGGUUUUUCUUGGCUGAGGUUUUGGGCGAGCCAUUCGUCAUGGAUGUUGUGCUUAAAGGCCGCUAGGGCUUCGACAUCCGGACAGUCAACGAUCUGGUUCUUUUUAGCUAAGAACCUAGUCCAAAAUUUCCUGGUUGACUCUCCGGGCUAUUGAACUAUGUGACUUAAGUCAUCGGCAGCUGGAGGUCGGACAUAUGUACCUUGGAAGUUGUCGAGGAAGGCAUCUUCCAAGUCUUCCCAGCUGCCAAUGGAGUUUCCGGGCAGGCUGUUCAACCAGUGCCGAGCUGGUCCCUUGAGUUUUAGCGGGAGGUAUUUGAUGGCAUGAAGAUCAUCACCGUGGGCCAUAUGAAUAUGGAGAAGGAAAUCCUCAAUCCACACUGCGGGGUCUGUUGUCCCAUCAUAUGAUUCGAUGUUCACGGGUUUAAACCCUUCUGGGAAUUCAUGUUCCAUUACUUCAUCAGUGAAGCAAAGGGGGUGUGUGGCGCCUCUAUACCGGGCCAAGUCGUGACGUAGCUCUGAUGGAGUUCGUCUACGGUCUUCGGUCCGGGCGUGGUUAUGUUUGUCACGUCCGGUCAGAUGGCCAUAUCGCGCAUCGGGGCACGCCCCCGCGAUCCAUAGAUCGAUCUGGUCUGUCCUGCUUUGUUUUCCAGGUCAUGCCGCAGGUCAUGUGUGUAUCCCCGAGCUGUUGUAUUUUUGUUUUUAUGACGAGGUAGUGCAGGCUGGUGUUCGGCUCGAGCUGCCGCUUUGUCCUGGCCACGUGGUGGCCGGUCGGCCGCAUUAUGCGCUGGUAGGACAGGCUCCAGCGCCUCGUCAUCGAAUUUGGGUAACAAUUUGUGCUUCGGGUAGCUUUUAGUUCGGUACUCGAGGCCGUAUUCCUCGGCUGCCAGGACAUCAGCCCAUCUACCGUUGAGCAGAUCUUGAUCAGAUCGAAGCUGCUGCUGCUUCUUUCUCAGGCUCCUUGCAGUGGCUAUUAGCCAGUACUUAAAGCACUCCUGUUCGACGGGCUACUCAGGCACGAUAAAGUCUUCGUCACCGAGAUGCACCUUGUCCUCAGAGAGUGGAAGGUAGUUACUGUCCUCGGAGUCUUUGUUCGUGGCCUGCUCGUUAGGGCUAACUCACCCAUCUUCCCGUUUGUCCUGUUCGGAGGUUGGCUCAACGGGGUCUUCAUUGUCUUCGGCAUCGUCCGGAGUAUUGUUUUCUCCUAUGACAGUAUUGUUGCUUUUACUACGGUGUGGCUUAGAGCGGCACCGCUGAUGCCGGUGCUUUGGCUGUAUCUCAGGAGGCUUGUCCUCGAUUGGAUUUUCAUUGUCGUCGUUGUUCUCUUUGGGUGUAUCCACCAUAUAUACAUCAUACGAGGAGGUGGCUGUCCAGCGCCCUGUAAGUGGUGGUUUUUGUGCCUGCUCCUCUCUGACAUCGUCGUCCAUACCGUCGAUGUCUUUGGAGUCGUAGUCGAGCAUGUCGGUUAAGUCCUCGACAGUGGCUAUGUAGUGGGCGGUGGGUGGGAAACGAAAUUCUCCGUCAUCGGCUUCCAAUUCAAGCCGGAUAUAGUUUGGCUGAGAGUCUCCUGUCAAGGAGAGGGCUUUUAGUGAGUUUAGCACAUCGCCUAAAGGAGAGUGCCGGAAGAUGUCCGCAGAGCUGAACUCGAAGAUCUGUGCCUGAUCAGGUUCGAUGGGCGCAGAUGUACGCGGUUCGAAACUUACGGUCGAAAACGAAUCCGAGGUUCCGAUGACAUAGGCCCCGCUCGAGGUUGGACCUGUGUGCGGCUCCAGCGCCUCUAAGUCUGCGGCUUCCGUGGCGGGGUUGAGCAUCCCGUCCUUGGAUGGCGCAAUCUGCUCCGGAUCUAGGGCCAGAGCGGUUAUAGGCGCUAUGUCCCGAGCAUGAUCUGAUGACAGAUUUAGGUCAUGUUCAUCGUGGUGGCAGGGAGCGGCCGUCUUGGGCUCGAACCCGUCGAAGAUCAAGUCUCCAUGGAUAUUGGCCACGUAAUUCAAGCUUCCAAACCUGACCUGGUGGCCAGGGGCAUAGCUGUAGAUCUGCUCUAGAUGGCCAAGCGAGUUGGCCCGUAGUGCAAAGCCGCCGAAUACGAAGAUCUAUCCAGGGAGGAAAAUCUCCCCCUGGACUGCGUUGUUGUAGAUGAUUGAUGGAGCCAUCAAGCCUUUUAAUGACAAUGCAGCGGAACUCUCAAUGAAAGCACCAAUGUCGGUGUCAAAAUCGACAGAUCUCGGGUAGGGGGUCCCGAACUAUGCGUCUAAGUUUGAUGGUAACAGGAGAUAGGGGACACAAUGUUUACCCAGGUUCGGGCCCUCUCUAUGGAGGUAGUACCCUACUUCCUGCUUGAUUGAUCUUGAUGAAUAUGAGUAUUACAAGAGCUGAUCUACCACGAGAUCAUGAUGGCUAAACCCUAGAAGUCUAGCCUAUAUUAUUGUGAUUGCCUCUACGGACUAAACCCUCCGGUUUAUAUAGACACCGGAGGGGACUAGGGUUAUACAAAGUCAGUUACAGAGAAAGGAAUCUACAUAUCUGAAUCACCAAGCUUGCCAUCCACGCAAAGGAGAGUCCCAUUCGAAAAUGGGAAGAAGUCUUCUGUUAUGCAUGUUAAUAGUCCGACCGUCUGAGGACCAUGUUAAUAGUCCGACCGUCUGAGGACCCCUUAAUCCAGGACUCCCUCACCUACACCUGUAUUGAUUCUGAUAUGUCGCAUUUUAGUGAUGAUGCCACUUCUGCUAUGCAUGAUGCUUAUGAUGAAACUACUUCUAUGCUUGAUAAUACUAUGCCAUUAGGUGAAUUUCUUGAUGAACAACUUGCUAGGGUUAGAGAGAAUGAUAUUAUUGAAACUGAUAAUAUUGAUGAAAGUGAUGAUGAAGAUUCUCCCCCUAGAUAUGAAUUGCCUGAUGUGCCUGAGGGUUAUGUUAUGGAUGAAGAAACCGCUAGAGACCUUUUUGCUUGCAAAGAUAGAUAUUAUCUUAAGAAACUGUUAGCUAAGCUGAAAGAAAAGUCUCUGAAUGCUAGAAUGAAAUAUGACCCUGCUUUUGCUACUUCACCUAUCUGUAUUUCUGAUAAGGAUUAUGAUUUUUUCUGUCGAUCCUGAGUUAAUUACUUUGGUUGAAUCUGAUCCUUUUUAUGGCAAUGAAUCUAAAAGUGUUGUGGCACCCUAUUCACUCAUGAGGAAAAAAAUCGUUAUUACUAUAUCCUUAAGUUAUUUUUGUUCUCAUUAAAGGGUGAUGCUAAGAUAUGGUUUAAUUCUCUUGCUCCCGGUUGUGUGCGUAGUCCCCAGGAUAUGAUUUAUUACUUCUCUGCUAAAUAUUUCCCCGCUCAUAAGAAACAAGCUGCCUUAAGGGAAAUAUAUAAUUUUGUGCAAAUUGACGAAGAGAGUCUCCCACAAGCUUAGGGGAGGCUUCUCCAAUUACUUAAUGCUUUGCUUGAUCACCCUAUCAAGAAAAAUGAAAUACUUGAUAUCUUUUAUAAUGGACUAACCGAUGCUUCUAGAGACCACCUGGAUAGUUGUGCUGGUUGUGUUUUCAGGGAAAGAACUGUUCAGCAAGCUGAAUUGCUAUUGAAUAAUAUAUUGAGCAAUGAUAAUGAUUGGACACUUCCUGAACUAACUCCUAAGCCAACUCUAAAGAAAAGGGGUAUCCUUUUUCUCAGUCUUGAAGAUAUGCCAGAGGCAAAGAAAUCUAUGAAAGAAAAAGGUAUUAAAGCUGAAGAUGUUAAGAAUUUACCACCUAUUGAAGAAAUACAUGGUCUUGAUAAUCUGACAUAGGUAGUAAAGGUAAAUUCUCUCUAUAGAUUUGAUGAAGGUGAUAUUCCUCGUUAUAAGUCUGCUAGUCAAUACUUGGAUGAGUUCGAUAAUUUUAUUUUUAAGCAAGAAAACUUCAAUGCUUAUGUUGGUAGACAAUUGAAACGUAAUGCUUAUAUGAUUGAACACUUGAGUGAUUAUAUGUCUAGAGUAAAAGGUGACCUUAAGCUUAUUAGUAAACAUGCAUCCAUGGUUACCACUGAAGUAGAACAAGUACUUAAGGCACAAGAUGAUUUUCUCACUGAGUUAAAUGAUAAGAAAAAUGAUAAUGCUGUUAGAGUUAUGACUAGGGGUGGUAGAAUGACUCACUAACCUUUGUAUCCUGCAGGCCAUCCUAAGAGAGUUGAGCAAGAUUCUCAGAGAACUAAUGUUGAUGCACCUAGUCCUUCUAAGAAAAAGAAAAGGAAAAAUGAUAGGACUUUGCAUGCUUCUAGUGAACCUGCUAUAGACACACCUAAGAAUCCCAAUGAUAUUUCUAUUUCUCAUGCUGAAACACAAUCUGGUAAUGAACAUGCGCCUAGAGAUAAUGUUAAUGAUGAUGUUCAUGUUGAUGCCCAACCUAGCAAUAACAAUGAUGUAGAUAUUGAACCUGCUGUUGAUCUUGAUAACCCACAAACAAAGAAUCAACGUUAUGAUAAGAGAGACUUCGUUGCUAGGAAGCACGGUAAAGAAAGAGAACCAUGGGUUCAGAAACCCAUGCCUUUCCCUCCUAAGACAUCCAAGAAAAAGGAUGAUGAGGAUUUUGAGCGCUUUGCUGAAAUGAUUAGACCUAUCUCUUUGCGUAUGCAUUUGACUCAUAUGCUUAAAAUGAAUCCUUAUGCUAAGUAUAUGAAAGAUAUUGUUACAAACAAAAGAAAGAUAUCGGAAGCUGAAAUUUCCACCAUGCUUGCUAAUUAUACUUUUAAGGGUGGAAUACCAAAGAAACUAGGAGAUCUAGGAGUACCAACUAUACCAUGCUCCAUUAAAAGAAACUAUGUUAAAAUUGCUUUAUGUGAUCUUGGGGCUAGUGUUAGUGUUAUGCCCCUCUCUUUAUAUCGUAGACUUGAUUUGAAUAAGUUGACACCUACUGAAAUCUUUUUGCAAAUGGCCGAUAAAUCAACUGCUAUACCCUUAGGUAUUUGUGAGGAUGUGCCUGCUGCAGUUGUAAACGUUACUAUUUUAACGGACUUUGUUAUUCUUGAUAUUCCCAAGGACGACAGUAUGUCGAUUAUCCUCAGUAGACUCUUUUUGAAUACUGCAGGGGCUGUUAUUGAUUGAAACAAAGGCAAUGCCACUUUUCAUGUUAAUGGUAAUGAGCAUACGGUACACUUUCCAAGGAAACAACCUCAAGUUCAUAGUAUCAAUUCUAUUGGGAAAAUUUUAAUGAUUACUAUUGGAGGCUUUGAAUUCCCUCUUCCUACUGCCAAGAAGAAAUAUGAUAUUUUUAUUGUCGGGGACAUGCAUAUCCCCGUUGAGGUAACCUAGUGUUAUUCGAAAAUUUUCUGGUUUUAGGUUAUUCGGAAUAAGUUCGUUAACAAGACUUGAUCAACCUUGUUAGUGGAUUCCUUUUGAUGAGCAUGAGAUGGAUGAAGUUAGAAAGCACAACUCUCUGUACCCUCCUUUUACUUUCUGUUAUUUAGAUGAAAUAAUGCAAAAAUAGUAUUUUUCUGUCUGUUUUUUGAAUUAUCCAUGCAAUAAAAAAGAUACCCCGAAAAUAAAAGUUCUCCAAAUGCCCUGAAAAUGAAGUAUGAUUUUUUUGUAGAAUAUUUAAGAAUUUCUAGCACUGAGAAAACACCAAGGGGGCCCACCAUUUGUCCACUAGGGCACAUGGCGCGCCCCCCACCUCGUGGGCCCCACAUGGAACACCUCCACUUAUUCCAGCACCCACUCACUUCGUCUUCCUCCAGAAAAAAUCCUUCCAUAGCUCAAACCCGUGUUCGAGCUCAUCUUGUUGCCAUUUUCGAUCUCCUUGCUCAAAGCUCCAUUCACAAAACUGUUUUGGGGGAUUGUUCUUUGGUAUGUGACUCCUCCAAUGGUCCAAUUAGUUUUUGUUCUAGUGCUUUAUUUAUUGCAAAUAUUUGCUGCUAAGCUGACCCUAUUCUUGAGCUUGCAUGUCAAAUUUAUUUGGUCCCAAAGUAGUUUUAAUGCAUGAUAUAGCCUCUAAGCACUUGUGGGAGUAGUUGCGAUCAAUCUUGUUGAGUUUGGUGCACUUUUAUUUUGAGUCACUAAAAAUUUUAGAUUUUUUAGAGAAAAUGAUGAAGAGAUUGUUGAGGGGCUGUCGGUGUCAAAACCGGCGGAUCUCGGGUAGGGGGUCCCGAACUGUGCAUCUAGGCGGAUGGUAACAGGAGACAAGGGACACGAUGUUUUUACCCAGGUUUGGGCCCUCUCGAUGGAGGUAAAACCCUACUCCUGCUUGAUUGAUAUUGAUGAUAUGGGUAGUACAAGAGUAGAUCUACCACGAGAUCAAGGAGGCUAAACCCUAGAAGCUAGCCUAUGGUAUGAUUGUUGUUCGUCUUAUGGACUAAAACCCUCCGGUUUAUAUAGACACCGGAGAGGGCUAGGGUUACACAGAGUCGGUUACAAUGGUAGGAGAUCUACAUAUCUGUAUUGCCAAGCUUGCCUUCCACGCCAAGGAAAGUCCCCUCCGGACAUGGGAUGAAGUCUUCAAUCUUGUAUCUUCAUAGUCUUGGAGUCCGGCCAAUGAUGAUAGUUCGGCUAUCCGGACACCCCCUAGUCCAGGACUCCCUCAGUAGCCCCUGAACCAGGCUUCAAUGAUGACGAGUCCGGCGAGCAUAUUGUCUUCGGCAUUGCAAGGCGGGUUCCUCCUCCGAAUAAUUCAUAGAAGAUCGUGAAUACCAGGAUAGUGUACGGCUCUGCAAAAUAAAUUCCACAUACCACCGUAGAGAGAAUAAUAUUUACACAAGUUCAAUCUGCUGACGCAUUUCGUGGCAUGACGUCACACCACGGCCAAGCCUUUACUAGAAUCGUUUUUGUCAUACCACCUCAGCGCGUUUAGCGAAGCGGUUUCCUUGGCACGUCUUGUCGAAGCAGAGAUCGUGUCCCCUUAUUCCGGGAUUCUCAUCAAUACAGACGUGGGUAACCCAACCGCGCCAUUGAUUGCGGCGCUUGGGAGAUAAGCGAGUUUUACCAGGCUGGGUGGGACGCAUAGUUUCGUCCGCCCAUAUAUAAGGGGAUAAGGAUCCACCUUUUUACCUACGCCUUCUUCCUCCUUUGCUUAUCCAUCUCCGUGCACUCGAGCUCCAACGCCCAAGUCCGCACAUCUCACCUCAACCUUCUCCAGCCAUGUCCGGAGCGGGAGGCAAGUGGAUGGCCUCCUCCGUUACGGAGGGGCACAUCAAGAAGCUGCGCAAUGCCGGAUAUUUGUCCAGCGAUAUCGCGCACCGGCUCCCCGACGAGGGGCAGCUCAUCCCCACCCCCGGGCCCCAUGAGAGGGUGGUAUUCCUUCCCCAUUUCCUCCGCGGACUGGGCUUCCCACUCCACCCCUUUGUCCAGGGGCUCAUGUUCUACUAUGGCCUGGAUUUCCAUGAUCUGGCCCCGAAUUUCAUCCUCAACAUCUCGGCGUUUAACAUCGUGUGCGAGGCCUUCCUCUGCAUCCAGCCCCACUUCGGCUUAUGGCUAAAGACCUUUAAUGUCAAGUUGAAGGUUGUGAAGGGCAGCCAAGCGGAGUGCGGAGGCGCCAUGGUGGGCAAGAUGCCCAACGUCACUUGGCUCGAGGGCGCCUUCGUGGAAACCAUCAAAGGGUGGCAAUUGGGGUGGUUCUAUAUCACCGAGCCGCGUGACCCUGAAUGGGCAGCGGCCCCCGAAUUCAGAUCUGGCAUCCCCAUGCGGCUCACUUCCUGGAAAGAGAAGGGCCUGCUGUGGGGUGAUUCGGAAGAGCUGACCGGACUCCAAUCCUGUCUCCAAACCCUGGUGAACAAGAAGCUCAAGCUUGUCAAUGUAAUCCAGGUCAUGCUCAUCCGCCGGAUUCUCCCCUGCCAACAGCGGGACUUCAGCUUGUGGGAGUUCGAUCCGGCACAGCACCAGACCUUGAGCGGGCUCUUCGACACUACGUACGAAGAGGCCUAGAGGGUGCUGUUCAAGGGCACCGAGGCUCACGCAUCCGCUACCGAAGAUCGCGGAUUCAGCUCGCAGCGUCCGGCUGGCGAGGUAAGCUAUGUUAUCCUUUAUGGGACACUUGUUUUUCAUAGUUUGACUCUAUGCGGGAUCUAAACUCCCAAUACCUUUAACAGUCCCGGCAGAAGACGUCCGGACAGGUUAACUUUCCGGCUCCCCUUCCAGAAGACCCAGCGAAUGCCUGUUUGACAGGGCUGCUGGCCCCGGCGCCUUACGUGGUGCCGGAGAAGAAGGCCAUGAAGAAGGCCACAGGAACCCGGAGGAGUUCCCGGCGUCAGGUGUUAUUGGAUUCAUCGUCCGAUGACUCCGAGGCAGACUCCUCCCAUGAGGACGAGGAGGAGAAGAAAGAGGCCUCUCCCCCAGCGGGGGGAGAGAAGAAGAGGAAGGCUUCCCCAACGGGGGAGGCCGAAGGGUCCAAGAAGGGAAGGACCCUUCCCCCGGACUGUUCCACCAACACCGACGACGACGACGAGGAGUGGCCCUCAAGGGCCAAGCCCCUGGCGAGAUCGUAAGUAUCCGGACUCCUGAACAAUUCAUAAUUUUUCUUUUUGUCACACGGUGUCUUUCUAACGCCAUAUACAACCCUGUAGUCCGCCCAAGGACGAUCUUCCCGCUUCGUCGACCGUGUCCUUGGGUACGUCGGAUGUGAAUAGCACUUCACUUCCGACCGCCUCCUCCCCUCGUGAUGCCGACGACGCCGAGGUGGGAUCCCAGAAAGGGACCCACCAGGAGGAGGAGGCCUCGGAGGUGCCGCAGGGCAACCUCCCGGACUUUGGACUGGACUCCGCACCGGAACCUUCAGUUGUUCCGGAGUCCGGCGGGCGGCCCCUUCGUAAGAAGGGCAAGACUGUGACGCCGGCGGCCUCCGUCCAACCGGAGGCGCCGGAUAACUUGCUGGAGGUACUCAACGGCGCUUCCAUCGACGAGGAACACCGCACUGUCAUGAGUGCGGUGAUUCAGAAGGUUCAGCUCGCCAAAAGCGGGCUGACCGAAGCCUGCAGCAGCCUUCUAACAGGCUUUGAGGUAAGAAUUUUAAGAUAUGUAAUAUAGUACCACAUAGACAGUAGCCCCUGAUGCUCGGUUCGGUGUUCGGAAAGAAAGUCGGACUGAGGAUCUAAAAAGAUAUACGCAGGAGUCUUAACAAAAAUAUGUCAAUAUGGGAAUGCAGGCUGCGCUGCUGACCUCUGCCGCACUGACUGCGGAGGUCAAUGCCUUGAAGAAGAGCCUCGAGCGGUCCGAGGGCGAGCUCGGCCGUGCCAAGAAGCAGCUCGAGGACAAGGAAGGUGAGUAACACCUUAUUAAAGUUGUACCUUACAGAAAAGGAUUUGGUUGCAAGAGGAAUGACGAGGAUAACGUGGGUACUCCAGGGGCUACGAACAAGGUGGCGACCCUGAAGGAGGCGGUGUCCGCGGCCGAACGCAAUGCGGCCGCGAAAUGCGCCGAGCGAGAGAGGCAGGAGGCGCGGGUGUCGGAGGUACAGCAAGAGCUCCAGGAUCUCGUGGAAAAACACGAGAGUUUGGAGCGUGACUCGAAGACUCGAGAGUCCGAGCUUGCGUCGGCUCUUGAGAGUGCCAAAGCCGCUAAGGCCGAAGCCUAGAAGGCCCUCCAAGAAAUCGAGGCAUUGAAGAAGAUAGCAGCGGGUAAGGCAUUCUUCAUGCAAAGCAAGCAUGUAAAAGUGAAUUACCUGUUACUUACCCGAAUUUGGAGCUCUCCAGGAGCGUUCGCAGAUCUGCCCCGUAGCGUGUCCGAUGCUGCCACUUUCUAUAGAGCCGAGGAGGGGAGCUCGACGGAGAAGGUGUUCUGGUCUCAUUAUGCUGAGGCAGGACAUCCGGUGCCCCUUAGCGACCAGCUGAAGCAGCUGGUCGAGCUCCACAAGGUGGCCGAACAGGCCAUGAAGGGCCUUAUAGUUCGGCUAUGGCCCAAAGAGGCCAUGCCUGGGAGCUACUUCGGCCCGGUGCGGCGGCUGGUGGAUGCGUGUCCCUGGGUUGAAGUCAUCGAGCACUCCGCCUGCAUUGAAGGUGCCCGUCGGGCCCUUGCCCGUGCUAAAGUGCACUAGGGCAGGAUGGACGCUGAGAAGCUUGUGACGGACGCGCCACCAUUGGGCAAGGAGUAUCGCACGUCCGAGAUGUAUUAUAAGGGUGUCCUGAAGGGUGCCCGCAUUAUUGCGGUGAGUUCUCCAAAGAUGUAAUUUUUUUAGUAGACUCGCAUUUUGUUAUCCUAUGCGCUGAAAACUUCGUUCAUAUGCGCUAAGCAAAACUUUUUAAUUUAAAAUAUUACCUUCUGUGCGGCCGUUUAUCAAAUCUGAGAGAUGGCAAGUCAUUGGCUUCGGCCCCCCAUGCCACGAGUGCUGGGGUGUUCGGGAUAAACUUGAGCGCUCUUGUUCCCAUUUUUGGGUCCAUCUAGGGAGGCGCUCAACACAACGAACGAGGCAACCGGACUUAUAAUGCUUGAACACUCUCACUUAGCCAUAGAAUUCUAUAAUUUUAAAUUUCGGCGAAGCCCCUAGUGUUCGGAAGGCCGAAUUCGGGGCGCUAUCCACGCCUGGGCCGGACAAAGCCGGUUCCUCGCUCUAAGCGGCAUAAGUCUUUAGGGACUCGAAAAAACCUCUCGAACGGCGACCGGCUCUCGCCCCAUCAUGACGGUCAGUUUUAGCUUUCUCCACUGAGGUGCUCGCCCAGCUCAACGGGGGCACAAUCGCAGUGGUUCUCCCAGCGCUACCUUAGCCGAUAUAACGGAACGUAAGGUACCAAAACAUGGGAGCCGGGCAAACCCAACUAUUGACCCAAGACAUGAUUCGGAGCCGAUGCAUAUAAUGCUAUUAGUUUGGGGUGCCGCACUUAUGAAAGUGUUCGGACUUAUCACACCAUAGUAUGGGGGACUUUAAGCCCCUGGUGUAUUUAGCCGUACCAAAGUGUACGGAUGCAACAUGUCAUAAGUGAACAUAUGUGUAAGAAAGGAAUGCAAUUAUAGGCAAAAAGCGAUGCAUUGUUUAUUCACAAAAAAAGGUACUGCCAUGAAUGCAGGACGAUACAAAUAGUGCGAUAAGCAAGGGGUGGGACUAUUUAACAUGUCCCCCUCCAGGGGUAGGCUGCGGAAUGGUGUAUAAAAUAGGUAUAAUGCUCGUAAUGGAGACCACCUGGAUGUUCGUCGUGGCUUUUCUUCUUCCCUGGCUGUUGUAUCGUGAGUCCGGCGGGUCUAAUGCCGGACAAGGCCUCUGGUAAACGGAGUCCUGAGGAAAAAGAGAAAAAAAAAGAUGAUGACCUAUUUUGGAGCCCCUGGUGUGGUUGAGCCGCACUCUGGGCCUGCCGUGGUUGUGCCCCUCCCCCUUUGCCCAUGGUAUUUCCAGAGCGUAGUGAUGUACGCGGAGUACUGGUUUUGCAAUUUUGUAAGGGCUGGAGUUUGGGCCGCAUUGCUACGCGUGCUCGGAACGUGCCAGGUGGUCUUGUUGUAGGUUACUCCGGGCGCGCUUGACGGUGUCCGGUCGCUUAGCAGCCGGACUCGAGAAUUGCCUUAAGAGGCUACUCUGAACCUCCGCCGCGAGGGCCGCUGUGUGCUCCUCCGUUCAGAGAGAGCGUUCGGUGUUUCCGUUGACCGUGAUGACUCCUCGAGGGCCUGACAUCUUGAGCUUGAGGUAUGCGUAGUGCGGCACCGCAUUGAAUUUUGCAAACGCGGUUCCUCCGAGCAGUGCAUGAUAGCCGCUGCGGAACGGAACUAUGUCGAAGAUUAACUCCUCACUUCGGAAGUUAUCUGGGGAUCCGAAGACCACUUCCAGUGUAACCGAGCCUGUACAAUUGGCCUCUACACAUGGUAUGAUGCCUUUGAAGGUCGUCUUUGUGGGUUUAAUCCUUGAGGUGUCUAUGCCCAUCUUACGCACUGUAUCCUAGUAAAGCAGGUUCAGGCUGCUGCCGCCAUCCAUCAGGACUCUAGUGAGGUGAAACCCGUCGACGAUUGGGUCUAGAACCAAUGCGGCAAAUCCGCCAUGGCAGAUGCUGGUGGGGUGGUCCCUUCGAUCAAAAGUGAUCGGGCAGGAGGACCAUGGAUUGAACUUUGGGGUGACUGGCUCCAUCGCGUAUACGUUCCCGAGUGCACGCUUCCGCUCCCUUUUGGGUAUGUGGGUUGCGUAUAUCAUGUUCACCGUCCGCACCUGUGGGGGGAAACCCUUCUGUCCUCUAUUGUUCGGCGGCCAGGUCUCUUCCUCGUCAUCGCUAUGCAGCCCCUUGUCAUUGUUUUCGGCAAUUAACUUGCCUGCCUGCUUGAAUACCCAACAAUCCCUGUUGGUGUGAUUAGCUGGCUUUUCGGGGGUGCCGUGUAUCUGGCACGAGCGGUCGAGUAUUCUGUCCAAAUUGGAUGGACCCGGAGUAGUUCUCUUGAAUGGCUUUUUCCGCUGACCGGGUUUGGAGCCUCUGAAUCCGGCGUUGACUGUCGUAUCCUCAAUAUUAUCGCCGUUAAUGCGGCAUUUGUGCUUGGUGCGACGUGACCUGCCAUUGCGGUCCUUGGUAUCCGGACUGCCAGAAUUUUUGUUGAGGUUGUUACUGCGGGCUAGCCAGCUGUCUUCUCCCACGCAGAAGUGGGUCAUGAGUGAUGCGAGGGCUGCCAUGGAUUUCGGCUUCUCCUGUCCUAGGUGCCGGGCGAGCCACUCGUUGCGGAUGUUAUGUUUGAAGGCUGCGAGGGCCUCUGCAUCCGGACAGUCGACGAUUUGAUUUUUCUUGGUUAAGAACCGUGUCCAGAAUUCUCUGGCCGAUUCGUCUGGCUGCUAAAUUAUGUGGCUUAGGUCAUCAGCAUCUGGUGGUCGCACAUAUGUGCCCUGGAAGUUAUCAAGGAAUGUGGCUUCCAGGUCCUCCCAACACCCAAUUGAUUCUGCUGGCAAGUUGUUAAGCCAAUGCCGAGCUGGUCCUUUAAGCUUGAGUGGGAGGUAUUUGAUGGCGUGAAGAUCAUCACCGCGGGCCAUGUGGAUAUUAAGGAGAUAGUCCUCGAUCCAAACCGCGGGGUCUGUUGUGCCAUCGUAGGAUUCAAUGUUCACGGGUUUGAACCCUUCGGGGAUUUGGUGAUCCAUUACUUCGUCUGUGAAGCAUAGUGGGUGUGCGGUGCCUCUAUAUUGGGUUAUAUCACGACAUAGCUCAAGCGAGCUUUGUCUACUGUGUUCGGCCCGGCCGGGAUUGUUGUAUCCAGCGCGACGGUUGUUGUCGCGUAUCGUGGGGCGCCCACGUGAUCUGUAGAUCGAUCUUGAUUGUCUUGCCUUAUCCUCCAAUAUGUCUCGCAAGUCCGGCGCAUUCUCCCGUGGCUUUGUACUUUUUGAGCGAUGUCGGGGUACGGCUUUAGUGGAGGGCCUAGAGGCCUCUCUGUCGCGGCCACGAGGUGGCUGGUCGGCCGUAUUGUGCACUGGUGAUGUAGGUUUAUAUGCUUCCUCCUCUGAUCGAGGCAGCAGCUUGCGUUUGGGGUAGCUUUUGGAGGGGCGUUCGAGUUCGUACUCUUCGGCCGCAAGGACUUCAGUCCAUCUGUCGUCUAGCAAAUCUUGGUCAGCUCUAAGCUAUUGCUGCUUUUUCUUGAGGCUGCUUGCCAUGGCCAUAAGCCUGCGUUUAAAACGCUCUUGUUCGAUGGGAUCCUCAGGCACGAUGAAUUCGUCGUCGUCGAGGCUUGCCUCGUCUCCGCAGGGAGGCAUGUAAUUAUCGUCCUCUACCUCUUUGUCUGCCGCUCUCUCGUGAGGGCUGGCUUCUUCAUCCUCCUGUGAUGAAUCUUGCUGGAGGGGGUUGUCUUCGGCACUGUUCGGGGUGUUAUUGUAUCUGGUGCCAGAAUCUCCAUUCUUGCUGUGGCGGGAUUUAGAGCGCCCCGCUGAUGCCAGCGCUUAGGCUGUUUCUUGGAGGGGUCUUCCUCCACUGUUCCAUCGCCAUUCCCAUCCUUUGGGAUGUCUACCAUGUAUAUGUCGUAUGACGAGGUGGCUUUCCAGUGCCCCGCAGGCGCUGGUUCUUGGUCGUCUCCGACAUCGUCGUCCAUACCAUCGAUGUCUUCGGAGUCGAAGUCUAGCAUGUCGGUUAGGUCGUCGACAGUGGCUACAAAGUGGGUGGUGGGUGGGCUUUGAAUUUCUUCGUCGUCCACAUCCCAACCGUCCUGACCGUGGUCCGGCCAGGGCUCUCCUGAUAACUAGAGAUACUUUAGCGAAUUUAGGAUGUCGCCAAAGGCGAGUGUUGAAAGAUGUCCGCAGCGGUGAACUCCAUGAUCGGUGCCCAAUCGGAUUCGAUUGGUAGGGGCGCGGGAGGUUCGGAUUCCGACGAGGAAUCCGUCGCCUCGGAGUCACGAGCUUUACAAGGGAUAGGGUCGGUAUUCGGCUCCAUCGCCGUAGAGGUAGCAGCCCCUGAGGUGGUGUCUAGCCACCCAUCCUCGAUCGGCACAGUCGGCUCUGAGUUAAGGGUCGGAGCGGACUCUUGUGCAGCCUCCAGGGCACUGUCCGGCAGCAGAGCUAGAUCAUGCCCAUCGUGACAGUGCGGCGCGCUCGGCUGUGGCUUGAAUCCAUCGAAGAUCAAGUCUCCGCGGAUGUCGGCCGUAUAGUUCAAACUUCCAAAUCUGACUUGAUGGCCAGGGGCGUAGCUUUCGAUCUGCUCCAGAUGGCCAAGCGAAUUGGCCCGCAGUGCAAAGCCGCCGAAUACAAAGAUUAUGUCCGGGGAGAAAAGUCUCACCCUGGACCGCAUCGUUGUUGAUGAUCAAAGGAGCCAUCGGGCCUAUGGGCGAUGACACAGAGGAACUCUCAAUGAAAGCACCAAUGUCGGUGUCAAAACCGGCGGAUCUCAGGUAGGGGGUCCCGAACUGUGCGUCUAGGCGGAUGGUAACAGGAGACAAGGGACACGAUGUUUUUACCCAGGUUUGGGCCCUCUCGAUGGAGGUAAAACCCUACUCCUUCUUGAUUGAUAUUGAUGAUAUGGGUAGUACAAGAGUAGAUCUACCACGAGAUCAAGGAGGCUAAACCCUAGAAGCUAGCCUAUGGUAUGAUUGUUGUUCGUCCGAUGGACUAAAACCCUCCAGUUUAUAUAGACACCGGAGAGGGCUAGGGUUACAAAGAGUCGGUUACAAUGGUAGGAGAUCUACAUAUCCAUAUUGCCAAGCUUGCCUUCCACGCCAAGGAAAGUCCCCUCCGGACACGGGACAAAGUCUUCAAUCUUGUAUCUUCAUAGUCUUGGAGUCCGGCCAAUGAUGAUAGUUCGGCUAUCCGGACACCCCCUAGUCUAGGACUCCCUCAGGGGCUCUUCGGUCCGAAGCUCGAAGGGUAAGCAGAAUAAGGAGAACAAAAAGCCCACGUACAAUCUUCCUCGCACCGCCGAAAUCCGGCCAUGCGAAUGACCUUGUGAUGUGUUCCUAAGGGCCGCUGGAAUUUAUGAUGACUUUAUUACUUGGCUGAGAACGCAGGCCUCAUCGACUUCCUCCACGACUACCGCGAAUAGUAUCUCCUACUCACUAAUAUUUUUGUGCAAAAUUUUUAUUUCCAUGCUAAGAAAUCACCACCUUCAGUGGAGUUUCACUUAUAUGAUGAGGUUAAGGAGAUGUCACUCCAUGAUUUUGUCGGUUCUGCAAGAUACCCUUUGUGGGUAGCAUCGAGGAACUACAUCAUAGUGAUGUGGAUGGAUUUAUUGAUAGAAUUGUUGUAUGGGAAACAAGAAAGUUUCUGAUGCAAGAAUUACUAGUAUAUAUUUUCCUGUUCUACGUUACUUUGUGAUAUUUUCUAGUAGGUGCUUAAUUGGUCGCGGGAAUAGUGAAAAUCUUAGUGCUCCUGAUCUUGUUAUUUUGCGCCAUGCUUUGUUUCGUGAUACAACUUCAGCCUAGGCGCUAUUGUUGCUAAACGGUUAAGUCUAAACCGUACAAAGUGCCCCAUCUUUGGCGGUACCUUUGUUUCACGCCUUGCUAAACACUUUGAGAUACCUAUUAGGCAUUAUGAGAAAUAGGAAAAGUUGCUGCUCCAUAUUUUUCUAGAUUAUAAGAGUAUGGUAGCACAUGAAUUUAUUAUUAAGAAUAAGAAGAAGAUGCUUAAGUAUAACUUGAUAUUUGAUAAAACUCACUGUUAGACUAUUACCUUGCCUGCACCCUCUUUGUUUAACAUACUUUCAUGCACGUACCUAAUCUUGCCCGAGGCCAUUUAUGCAUACUGGAGACUGACACAAGUCCCAGAGUGUGAGCCUGAGCCACCACUUGACCCUUAUUGACAGUCUGUUUAUCAGUGGGAUCCGGAGGAGCUCGCCAACUAGUGGCACCCUGAGGACCCUCCUUAGUACACCGGAGAGGGUAGCUUCGAGCAGUGGCCAUAGACCAACUUAGGCCAAAAGCCUAAGCUUGGGGGAGUAUGUAUCUCUCACCGACAUUACAUUCAUGUUCACACACUCAUGCUAGUUGUUGGUGCUCAUACUUUUUCAUUGUACUAUCCAUGCUAGUUUAUUUUCUUUUCUUGCUUUCUUCUUGUGUGUUUGAUAAACUUUGAGAAAAAAAAACCAAAAAAAUUAGUUGUAGCUUUUAGCUAGUUUUACUUUCCAUGCUUGUAGUAGUAGUAAUUAAAAGAAAACUCAAAAAGAUUUCUCGCUCUUCUUUUGCUUGUUGGGAGCUUUCCCGUGUAAAUAGUUUUAUUUCUUUUCUUUUCUUUGGGGGUCGAGAGGACAAGACCACGACAAAAAUGUUGAGUGGCUCUCAUAUGCAUUAUUGUUGAUCUAACCAAGAGCCCAUAUUACCUUGUCUUCUCCUUUGUAUUAAAUGCUUGCAGAUUCCAGCUUAGUCCAAUGCACAUGCACUAUUAUUAUUAUCCACACCAUUCGCUCGUGCGAGUGAAAGGCAAUAAUGAUGAUAUACGAUGGACUGAUUGAGAUUAGAGAAGCUGGUAUGAACUCGACCUAUCUUUGUUUUUGUAAAUAUGAUUAGUUCAUUGUUCCUGCUUCAGCCUAUUAUGGAUGAAACAUGUUUGCAAUGACAAUUAGAGAUUAUAGUUGCUCAUGUCAUGCUUAAUUAGCUAGGAGUUUAUAAUGGUUUACCUUGCGUGCGAACAUGCUAUUAAAACGGUUGUGAUGUGGUAUGAUAGGGUGGUAUCCUCCUUUGAAUGAUUCGAGUGGCUUGACUUGGCACAUGUUCACGCAUGUAGUUGAAACAAAAUCAACAUAGCCUCCACGAUAUUUAUGUUCAUGGUGAUUUAAAUCCUACUCAUGCUUGCACUCAUUGUUGAUUAAUCUUAAUGCAUGUUCAUGAUUGUUGUCGCUCUCUAGUUGGUCGCUUUCCAGUCGCUUUCUAGCCUUCACUUGUACUAAGCGGGAAUACCGCUUGUGCAUCCACUUCCAUAAACCCCAAAGUUAUUCCAUAUGAGUCCACCAUACCUUCCAAUAUGCGGUAUUUACCUGCCGUUCCAAGUAAAUUUGUAUGUACCAAGCUCUAAACCUUCAAAUCAAAUUCUGUUUUGUAUGCUCGAAUAGCUCAUGUAUCAACUAGGGAUGUCUAUAUCUUCCAUGCAAACAAAACUCCCCCAUGAUUGUUGUUAGUUGGACGGCACCCGUUGUUUCGGACAAGCCAUGGAUUGAUGUUUGUUGGUGGUGGGGGAGUAUAAACUUUACCAUUCUGUUUGGGAACCGCCUAUAAUGUGUGUAGCAUGGAAGAUUUCGAGAUCUCUUGGUUGUUAUGUUGACAAUGAAAGUUUGCUGCUCAAAAUAUUAUUUAUCUCUGUUUCAAAAUUCGAGCUCUGGCACCUCUGCAAAUCCCUGCUUCCCUUUGCGAAGGGCCCUAUCUAUUUACUUUUAUGUUAAGUCACCAUCCUCUUAUUAAAAAGCACCGGUUGGAGAGGACCGUUGUCAUUUGCAUGUGUUGCUAUUUAAUUUACAUUGAGUAUGACUGGAUCUCUUUUACCAUGAAUUACAAUGUCUAGUCAGUCCUUGAUCUUCAGGGGUGCUCUUCAUUUAUGUUUUGCGGUCUCAGAAAGGGCUAGCGAGAUACCAUCUUGUUAUAUCUUGUUAUGAUUGUUUCGAGAACGUGUUGUCAUCCGAGAUUUAUUAUUAUUGCUCGCUAGUUGAUUAUACCAUUGAUAUGAGUAAACAUGAGAUCUAAAUGUUAUUGUGAAUAUGGUUAGUUCAUAAUCUUUGCUGAAAACUUGAAUGUUGGCUUUACAUAUUUGCAAAAACAAGAUCAAACAGAGUUUGUAAAAGUUUUUAUUUAUCACUUUCAGUUUGUCAACUGAAUUGCUUGAGGACAAGUGAAGGUUUAACCUUGGGGGAGUUGAUACGUUUCCAACGUAUCUACUUUUACAAACACUUUUGCCCUUGUUUUUGACUCUAACUUGCAUGAUUUAAAUUGAACAAACCCAAACUCAUGCUGUUUUCAGCAGAACUGCCAUGGUGUUAUUUUUGUGCAGAUAUAAAAGCUCUCGGGAUGACCUGAAAAUCCAUGGAGCAACCUUUUGGAAUUAAUAAAAAAUAUUAACGAAAGAAUCAGCAUCAGGGGGCCCACACCCUGUCCACGAGGGUGCAGGGCGCUCCCCCUAUCUCAUGGGCCCCCUGGGACUCCACGGACCUCAACCCCAACUCCGUAUAUUCACUUUCAGGGAGAAAAAAAUCAGAGAGAAGGAUUCAUCGCAUUUAACAAUACGAAGCCGCCGCCAAACCCUAAUCUUCCUCGGGAGGGCUGAUCUGGAGUCCGUUCGGGGCUCCGGAAAGGGGAAUCCGUCGCCAUCGUCAUCAUCAACCAUCCUCCAUCACCAAUUUCAUGAUGCUCACCUCCGUGCGUGAGUAAUCCCAUCGUAGGCUUGCUGGACGGUAAUGGGUUGGAUGCGAUUUACCAUGUAAUUGAGUUAGUUUUGUUAGGGUUUGAUCCCUAGUACCCAUUAUGUUCUAAGAUUGAUGUUGCUAUGACUUUGCCAUGCUUAAAUCUUGACACUAGGGCCCGAGUGCCAUGAUUUCAGAUCUGAACCUAUUACGUUUUCAUGAAUAUAUGUGAGUUCUUGAUCCUAUCUUGCAAGUCAAUAGUCACCUACUAUGUGUUGUGAUUCGGCAACCCCGAAGUGACAAUAAUCGGGACCACUCCCAGUGAUGACCGUAGUUUGAGGAGUUCAUGUAUUCACUAAGUGUUAAUGCUUUGGUCUGGUACUCUAUUAAAAGGAGGCCUUAAUAUCCCUUAAUUUCCAAUAGAACCCUGCUGCCAGGGGAGGGUAGGACAAAAGAUGUCAUGCAAGUUCUUUUCCAUAAGCACGUAUGACUAUAUUCGAAAUACAUGCCUACAUUACAUUGAUGAACUAAAGCUAGUUCUGUGUCACCCUAUGUUAUAACUAUUGCAUGAGGAAUCGCAUCCGACAUAAUUAUCCAUCACUGAUCCAUUACCUAUGAGCUUUUCACAUAUUGAUCUUUGCUUAGUUACUUUUCCGUUGUCACUGUUACGAUUACUACAAAACUGCUACUGUUACUUCUGUCACCGUUACCGUUACCUCCAUACUACUUUGCUACUAAAUACUUUGCUGCAGAUAUUAAGUGUUUCAGGUGUGGUUGAAUUGACAACUCAGCUGCUCAUACUUAAAAAUAUUCUUUGGCUCCCCUUGUGUCGAAUCAAUAAAUUUGGGUUGAAUACUCUACCCUCGAAAACUGUUGCGAUCCCCUAUACUUGUGGAUUAUCAAUUCCCUAUACCCAAGCAACCACAUAUCGCAAUGAAAGAUUGUAGUGAAUUUGGUAUAGCUUUAAGAGCAUCUCCACUCGUUCGCCCCCCUAGUGCAUAGGCCGGUGCUCUUUCAGGCGUUCACCCGGUAAUUUUAGGCCCAGGGGGCGAUCAAGGCCCCAGCCACGCCCCAGGUGCCGCUCCCCAAGAUGCAGCAUAUUCAAACUUGAUCCGUUCUGAUGUCUACUAUGCAACCUUCUUCUUGUAGAUGUUGUUGGGCCUCCAAGUGCAGAGGUUUGUAGGACAGUAGCAAAUUUCCCUCAAGUGGAUGACCUAACGUUUAUCAAUCUGUGGGAGGCAUAGGAUGAAGAUGGUCUCUCUCAAACAACCCUGCAACCAAAUAACAAAGAGUCUCUUGUGUCCCCAACACACCCAAUACAGUGGUAGAUUGUAUAGGCGCACUAGUUCGGCGAAGAGAUGGUGAUACAAGUGCAAUAUGGAUAGUAGAUAUAGGUUUUUGUAAUCUGAAAAUAUAAAAACAGCAAGGUAACUAAUGAUAAAAGUGAGCGAAAACGGUAUUGCAAUGCUUCGAAACAAGGCCUAGGGUUCAUACUUUUACUAGUGCAAGUUCUCACAACAAGGAUAACAUAAUUAGAUCAUAUAACAAUCCCUCAACAUGCAACAAAGAGUCACUCCAAAAUCACUAAUAGUGGAGAACAAAUGAAGAGAUUAUUGUAGGGUACGAAACCACCUCAAAGUUAUUAUUUCCAAUCAAUCCGUUGGGCUAUUCCUACAGCCCUAGAGUUCAUAGUAAAAUAACACCUUAAGACACACAUCAACCAAAACCCUAAUGUCACCUCAAGUAUCUGUGUGUAUGAUUAUACGAUAUGCAUCACACAAUCUCAGAUUCAUCUAUUCAACCAACACAAAGAACUUCAAAGAGUGCCCCAAAGUUUCUACCGGAGAGUCAAGAUGAAAACGUGUGCCAACCCCUAUGCAUAAGUUCACAAGGUCACUGAACCCGCAAGUUGAUCACCAAAACAUACAUCAAGUAGAUCACGUGAUAUCCCAUUGUCACCACAGAUAAGCACAUGCAAGACAUACAUCAAGUGUUCUCAAAAUCCUUAAGGACUCAAUCCGAUAAGAUAACUUCAAAGGGAAAACUCAAUCCAUUACAAGAGAGUAGAGGGGGAGAAACAUCAUAAGAUCCAACUACAAUAGCAAAGCUCGCGAUACAUCAAGAUCAUGCCAAAUCAAGAACACAAGAGAGAGAGAGAGAGAUCAAACACAUAGCUACUGGUACAUACCCUCAGCCCCGAGGGUGAACUACUCCCUCCUCGUCAUGGAGAGUGCCGGGAUGAUGAAGAUGGCAACCGGUGAUGGAUCCCCCCUCCGGCAGGGUGCCGGAACGGGCUCCCGAGAGGUGCUUCGUGGCUACAGAGGCUUGCGGCGGUGGAACUCACGAUCUAGGUUAUUUUCUGGGGGUUUCUGUAUUUAUAGGAAUUUUUGGCGUGGUCUCANNNNNNNNNNNNNNNNNNNNNNNNNNNNNNNNNNNNNNNNNNNNNNNNNNNNNNNNNNNNNNNNNNNNNNNNNNNNNNNNNNNNNNNNNNNNNNNNNNNNNNNNNNNNNNNNNNNNNNNNNNNNNNNNNNNNNNNNNNNNNNNNNNNNNNNNNNNNNNNNNNNNNNNNNNNNNNNNNNNNNNNNNNNNNNNNNNNNNNNNNNNNNNNNNNNNNNNNNNNNNNNNNNNNNNNNNNNNNNNNNNNNNNNNNNNNNNNNNNNNNNNNNNNNNNNNNNNNNNNNNNNNNNNNNNNNNNNNNNNNNNNNNNGGGGUCCGAGUUGUCCACGAGAUAGGGGGCGCGCCCAGGGGGUAGGGCGCGCCCAGGGGGUAGGGCGCGCCCUCCACCCUCGUGGAUGGCUCGGGACUCUUCUGGCCCAACUCUUUUACUUCGGGGGACUUCUUUUGGUCCAUAAAAAAUCAUCAAAAAUUGGCACGUCAAUUGGACUCCAUUUGGUAUUCCUUUUCUAUAAAACUUAAAAACAAGGAAAAAACAGAAACUGGCACUGGGCUCUAGGUCAAUAGGUUAGUCCCAAAAAUCAUAUAAAAUAUCAUAUAAAUGCAUAUAAAACAUCUAAGAUGGGUAAUAUAAUAGCAUGGAACAAUAAAAAAUUAUAGAUACGUUGGAGACGUGUCACGUUCCCGCUCCAAAAAAACGCCAUAAUCCUGCGAUCGGCACAACAGUUCGGCGAUCAAAUGAAAAGUUUGACACACAAAAAGAAAGGACACGCAAGGAAUGCAUCCGACGGCGGGGCCGGCCUCCAGCGUCAGUGUCGGCGUGUGCGGGCUGGGCAGCGUCAGCGUGGCUUCUGGGCUGGUCGGCGCGGCUUCUGUGCUACUGGUCACCGCGGAGGCAUCAUCACUUGGGUAGGGCUAUGGCAUUGGCGUCGGCGUGGGAGUUGGCGUAGGCGUUGCCGGUAUCUGGUUCAGGAUGAGGCACUCGUCUUCCUUGGGCACCCACUUGAUGCACGGCUCGUCGGUCUUUGGCCGCUCGUUUCUUCUUCUUCUUGCCUUUCCUUGUCGGAGCAGGCGUCGGCUGCUCCUCCUACUCCUCCAGCUCUUCCUCUCCGUAGUCGAGCUCGCCGUCCAUGUCAUCGAGAUCAAUUGAGUCGUCUUGGGCAGUGAACCCGGGGGAAGCAGCGGCGGCAACCGAGCCGGCUGCGAUGAUGUCUUCCAUGUUGGCCUCCGUCGCGUCAGCGUGGCCAAGAUGCGACGAGGAGGCUUGUGAGAAGAGCAGCUGGCUGCAGCAGAGAGGUGGUGUCGGGGAGGCUGCAUAGUCCGGCGGCGAGUAUGUGUAUGGAGGCUACUGCAUGCCGGUGAACGCGGGCGAGGGCAUGCGAUGGACCGGGCGACCAUGGGGGAAGGUGACGUCGGGGUUGAACCCGCCGUGUACGUCAUCGUCGGCAUAGCCUGGCGACGGCGUGCAACCCCAUGGUUGUGGCAAUGACGAGAAGCCGGCCGGAGAUCCGACGCUUUGCUGGCUCCAGGCCGCGUGCAGGCCGUGGCUGCCGGGUGGAUGCAUCAUCCCCGCGCAAGCUGCCUCGGCUUGUUCGGCCGAGCGCUCCGCCUGCUCCCCCGCCACCGCAGCCGCGAGUGUCGCCCUCUCCCGGGCCUUCUUGGCCCUGUUGCGCCUAUCGGCGGUGAUGGCCUCCCGGCACUGCACUUCCGCCUUCCAGUCGGUGUUGGUCAUGCUCGGGGGCUUGGACGGUGGCGCCCUCUGCUUCCUCUACCUCGGCUGGGCGGCGGCGGCGGGUGUGGUAUCCGUCACGGCGCGGGGGAACACGUACUUUUGCGGCGGCAUGGCGCCCAGCUUGGAAGGCAGGAGGAGAAGAUUGGUGGGAGGAAUGGAAAAUGAGAGGGAAGCUGAGGGGGGGAGGAAACGGCGGGAAAAGGGCCUCCUCUCGCUGACAGAGCGGCCCCACGCCCCUUUUCGCUUCUAUCGGCGCCCCCAGGCGACACCCGGGCGCUUGGGUUUGGCUUGGGAUCGCCAGCUAUUAAUUUGGCCCAAACCGGCGCUAAAUGAGAUCCUAGGGGCGCGACUGGGCCGAUUUCGGCUGCCGGCGCUAAAAAAUCGCAUUGGGGGGCCUGUUGGGAGCGCGGCUGGAGAUGCUCUAAUGAACAUGCUACCAUUCCAUGUGACAAACUAGCUAUCGAGCUUAUAUCAAAUGUUCUCUGUAAAUGAGAACAAGACAUCACGUAUAGAACCUAUAAGGGGUACUUCAACAUCUAUGGCGAAAUCCCUGUUCACCAUGUUGAACCUAGGCAGCGGCAACAACUGUGGAUAUCAUUCCCUUCUUGGGGCACUGCCAUGGCUUUCUCCAUGCUUCUCUUCGAGCGCCAGGUCUUGGAUCGAAUGGCGACGACGUCAUGGCAUUGAUACGUCUCCAACGUAUCUACUUUUCCAAACACUUUUGCCCUUGUUUUGGACUCUAACUUGCAUGAUUUGAAUGGAACUAACCCAGACUGACGCUGUUUUCAGCAGAAUUGCCAUGGUGUUAUUUUUAUGCGGAAAUAAAAGUUCUCAGAAUGACCUGGAACUCCAAGGAGUCACGUUUUGGAAUUAAUAAAAAAAUUGGCAAAAGAAUCAACAGAGGGGGCCCACACCCUGUCCGCGAGUGUGCAGGGAGCGCCCCCUACCUUGCGGGCCCCCUGAACCUCCACCGACCUCAACUCCAACUCCAUACAUUCACGUUCGGGGAGAAAAAUCAAAGAGAAGGAUUCAUCGCAUUUUACGAUACGGAACCGCCGCCAAGCCCUAAUCUUCCUCGGGGGGGCUGAUCUGGAGUCCGUUUGGGGCUUCGGAGAGGGGAAUCCGUCGCCAUCGUCAUCAUCAACAAUCCCCCAUCACCAAUUUCAUGAUUCUCACCGCCGUGCGUGAGUAAUCCCAUCGUAGGCUUGCUGGACAGUGAUGGGUUGGAUGAGGUUUACCAUGUAAUCGAGUUAGUUUAGUUAGGGUUUGAUCCCUAGUAUCCAUUAUGUUCUAAGAUUGAUGUUGCUAUGACUUUGCCAUGCUUAAUGCUUGUCACUAGGGCCUGAGUGCCAUGAUUUCAAAUCUGAACCUAUUAUGGUUUCAUGAAUAUAUGUGAGUUCUGAAUCCUAUCUUGCAAGUUAUAGUCACCUACUACGUGUUAUGAUCCGGCAAACCCCGGAGUGACAAUAGUCGGGACACUUCCCGGUGAUGACCGUAGUUUGAGGAGUUCAUGUAUUCACUAAGUGCUAAUGCUUUGGUCCGGUACUCUAUUAAAAGGAGGCCUUAGUAUCCCUUAGUUUCCAAUAGGACCCCGCUGCCACGGGAGGGUAGGACAAAAGAUGUCAUGCAAGUUCUUUUCCAUAAGCACGUAUGACUAUAUUUGGAAUACAUGCCUACAUUACAUGGAUGAAGUGGAGCUAGUUCUGUGUCACGUUAUAUUAGAACUGUUGCAUGAUGAAUUGCAUCCGACAUAAUUAUCCAUCAUUGAUCCAUUGCCUAUGAGCUUUUCACAUAGGUAUCUUUGCUUAGUUAUUUCUCCGUUGCCACUGUUACGAUUACCACAAAACUACUACUGUUACUUUUGCCACCGUUACCGUUACUUCCAUACUACUUUGCUACUAAAUACUUUGCUACAAAUAUUAAGUCUUUCAGGUGUGGUUGAAUUGACAACUCAGCUGCUACUACUUGAGAAUAUUCUUUGGCUCCCCUUGUGUCGAAUCAAUAAAUUUGGGUUGAAUACUCUACCCUUGAAAACUGUUGCGAUCCCCUAUACUUGUGGGUUAUCAAGACCUUUUUCUGGCGCUGUUGCCGGGGAAAAUAGCUCUAUUCUUUGAGUCACUUGGGAUUUAUAUCUGUUGAUCACUAUGAGGAACUUGAAAGAUGAAAGAACCAAGAUUUUUCCCUUAACUACGAGGGGAGGUAAGGAACUGCCAUCUAGAUCUGCACUUGAUUCACCUUCUGUUAUGAGUAAACUUACGACGCCUACACCUGCACCUGCUAUUGAUUCUGAUAUGUCGCAUGUUAUUGAUGAUGCCACUUCUGCUAUGCAUGAUGCUUAUGAUGAAACUACUUCUUUGCUUGAUAAUAAUGUACCAUUAGGUGAAUUUCUUGAUGAACAACUUGCUAGGGUUAGAGAGAAUGAAUUUAUUGAAACUGAUGAUAUUAAUGAAAGUGAUGAUGAAGAUUCUCCCCCUAUAUAUGAAUUGCCUUUGUGCCUGAGGGUUAUGUUAUGGAUGAAGAAACUGCUAGAGACCUUUUUGCUUGCAAUGAUAGAUAUGAUCUUAAGAAACUGUUAGCUAAGAUGAAAGAAAAGUCUUUGAAUGCUAGAAUGAAAUAGGACCCUGCUUUUGCUACUUCACCUAUUUGUGUUACUGAUAAGGAUUAUGAAUUCUCUGUUGAUCCUGAGUUAAUUACUUUGGUUGAAUCUGAUCCUUUCUAUGGCUAUGAAUUUGAAACUGGUGUGGCGCAUCUUACUAAAUUGAAUGAUAUAGCCACCCUAUUUCCUCAUGAGGAAAAAAUUCAUUAUUACUAUAUCCUUAAAUUGUUUCCUUUCUCAUUAAAGGGUGAUGCUAAAAUAUGGUUUAAUUCUCUUGCUCCUGCUUGUGUGCGUAGUCCCCAGGAUAUGAUUUAUUACUUCUCUGCAAAAUAUUUUCCCGCUCAUACGAAACAAGCUGCCUUAAGGGAAAUAAUUAAUUUUGUGCAAACUGAAGGAGAGAGUCUCCCACAAGCUUGGGGGAGGCUUCUUCGAUUACUUAAUGCUUUGCCUGAUCAUCCUCUCAAGAAAAAUGAAAUACUUGACAUCUUUUAUAAUGGACUAACCAAUGCUUCCAGAGACCAUCUGGAUAGUUGUGCCGGUUGUGUUUUCAUGGAAAGAACUGUUGAGCAAGCUCAAUUGCUAUUGAAUAAUAUAUUGAGUAAUGAUAAUGAUUGGACACUUCCUGAACCAACUCCUAAGCCAACUCCGAAGAAAAGGGGUAUUCUAUUUCUCAGUCCUAAAGAUAUGCAAGAGGCAAAGAAAUCUAUGAAAGAAAAAGGUAUUAAAGCUGAAAAUGUUAAGAAUUUACCACCUAUUGAAGAGAUACAUGGUCUUGAUAACCCAACACAGGUAGUAAAGUUAAAUUCUCUCUAUAGAUUUGAUAAGUGUGAAAUCCCAUCUACUAAGUUUGCCAGCCAAUGCUUGGAUGAGUUUGAUAAUUUUAUUGUUAAACAAGAAAACUUCAAUACUUAUGUUGGUAGACAAUUGAAACGUAAUGCUUAUAUGGUUGAACACUUGAGUGAUUAUAUGUCUAGAGUUAAAGGUGAUCUUAAGCUUAUUAGUAAACAUGCUUCCAUGGUUACCACUCAAGUCGAACAAGUGCUUAAGGCACAAGAUGAUUUUCUCAGUGAGUUAAAUAAUAAGAAUAGUGAUAAUGUUUUUAGGGUUAUGACUGGAGGUGGUAAAAUGACCCAGGAACCUUUGUAUCCUGCGGGCCACCCUAAGAGAGUUGAGCAAGUGUCGGGGGUUGGGUGCGACAUAUGCCAAAGGAUGGCUUAUCAUGGUGGGGGCGAGUAGAACGUCGCCGGUGCCUGGAAACGGGAUGAGGCGUAGACAUGCACGCCGGCGAAUCUUACCCAGCUUCGGGGCUCUCCGGGGAGAUAACACCCCUACUGCUGCUCUGCGGGGUCUCCGCAUGGUCACUAUGGCAAAGUGGCUACAAUGGCGCUCCUAGAGCUGUUUCGGGAGGCAAGAGGGAGCUCAACUGGCUCUCUCCUCCCCUGUCUAUGUGUCUAACUCUCUCAAAGGCCGAACCCUUUGCAUGGGCGCCCCGGGGGGUUUAUAUAGGCCUACCCCCCGGGGGUACAAUAGUAAUCUGACUGGGCGUGGCCCCCAGCCAUCUGUCUCUCAUGCCGCCGUCCUUCCUGCCGGUUUCUGGGGCCCGCCGACUGGUGGGUCCCGCGGACAAGCUGAACACUGUGCAGCACUCCUGAUGAUGCAGGCUUGGUCAUUGGGUCGUGGCAACAGUGCCGCCGUCUGUCAGGCGAUCACUGUCGCCACUCCCCAUCCAAUCUGGUUUAUGGCUUGCGGGGCCCUGGCGGGGAGACGGCCGACUCCGUGGAGGCCGACUCCCUUAGGGCCGUCUUCUGGCGCUCUGGCCGUCUCUGAUUCACCCACCGACGGGUGGCCCUGCGAUCUCUGGGCCGUACAGGCCGGCGUCGUGGGCACAGUGCUUCACGCACUGUGGCUGAGGUCAGGGGAGGCAUGGCAACAAUGUCGCGCCUCGCCGGAGAUCUCCCGGCGAUACGGCUCACUGUAGCCAUGCCAACCCCUCGUAGGCAGGAAGGGAAGGCCACAUCGGGGCCGUGCCCUACAUCGGUCUUUGUGAAAUGUCGCGGGCCGACUCCCAUAGUCGGCACUCCUGGAGGUCGCAAGCCGGGAGUCGGCUUGCUUUAAAGUCGUCAUCUGGGACUCGGCUUUUCGGAGGAACGCCCUCUGGGACUCGGCCUCUCCGAAGAUCGCCGGCUGGGACUCGGCCAGAGGGGCGCGGCCUGCCCCGAUGUCUUGAAAGAUCAUGGAUCCCGGGUCGGCCUACCCGUGGCCCAUUACUCCGACAGUAGUCCCCGAAGCUGGUGAAGCCCUGUGGGCGCCGUCUCGUGGGGCUUCAAAAGUUUCAAUCUUCCCAGCGCCGAUUCUGAGACUCGGCCGCUGUUUCUUCGGGCCGACUCGCCGAAGUCGGAUUUGUUCAACAAGGGGCCAUUAUUCGUAAGUCGCGGCGGGAAAACAGGCGGCGUACCGGAUACGCUUCCCUGCCGCCAUCGAGACGGUCCUAUCGCGUGGCGCCACGUGGGGAGGAUAGUCUGCCCACCCACGCGCGUGACGGGACGGGCCGCCAGGUGGGGCCCGCCAUUACCGCGCCUCGGCUUCCGAGCGGAUCCCCUGCGGCUGCGGACGGUUGGCAUCCCCACAUUGUUACUGCGCGCAGUAACUUCGUGGGGUAAAUCAUGGGCGGCGUGGGGCUUCGGGCGCAGUUAAUCCCACGCCCGCCCCCUCGGCUCCUCAGCCCGUAGGGCUAUAAAUAGGCGGGGAGGAGCGGGGCGGCACUGCGCGCACACCCUCUCCCCCGCUCUCCUGCCUUCUCUUCUUCCUCCGCCGCGAGCCGAAGCAUCCUCUCUCGUCGGCGAUGAGCUCUUCCUCCGCCGCGCCCCCCGCCUCGCGCUCCGGCGUAUGGGACGGCUCGGACGUGGAGGCAGAGCACAUCGAGUUUCUCCGCCGGACCCACCGUCUCCCGACCGCGGACCUGGUGCACGCCCGUCCCGCGCCGGCGGGAGAGAUCCGGCCCGCGCCGGAGGAGGGCGAGCGGGUCGUCUUCCGCUCGCACCUAAUGCGCGGGCUGGGGCUGCCGGCGAGUGGGUUCUUCCGCUCGUUUCUGGAGUUCCAUAAUCUUCAGCCGCACCACCUCACCCCAAACGCGGUGGUGCUGCUUUCCGCCUUCGCCACUCUAUGCGAAGGCUACCUCGGCGUUCUCCCCACCCUCGAGCUGUGGGGAGAAUUUUUCUCUUCGAAGCUCGGUCCUCAGGCUGCCGGCACGCCGGCUCAGUGCGGCACCUACAUCACGGUGCGGCGCUCGACGGCCGACAACCCUUUCCCUCCCAUCUCGUUGGUGAAGUCGGUGAAGAUGUGGCAGCGAUCUUACUUCUACGUGAAGAACAUCUCCACCGACGGCGACUAGGUCAAUUUGCCGCCCUUCGACCCCGAGCCUCUGACUGGCAGGCUCGCCAGUUGGUCCCACCGGUCCAAGUCGCUGUCCCCCUCCGGAGCCGGCUCCGUGGCGCGACUCCGAGUCCUGCUGCAGUCAGAGGGCCUCGUCGGAUCCGAUCUUCUGGCCGCCUUCGUGGGGCGCCGAGUCCUCCCGCUCCAGGGCCGGCCUCACCUCAUCUAUCAGAUGAGCGGCCGCCACGAUCCGAGCCGGCUGUGCACCAAGGAAAUGCCCCGCGGGGAGGUGGCGAACUUGGUGAACCACAUCGCGGACUGUGAGUUCACGGAGAACUGGCAGUUCGGCAAGGAGCCGUACUCGCGCGACAACCCCCCUCCAAUGGUAAGUCGCAUCCUUCUGUAGCUUGAUCCUCUUUGCAGCCGACUCCGGCCUCUAAUCAUCAUCGUUGGUUUCUUCUGGGCAGAAUCCCCUCACGGCGCCCGCAGCCGGCGCCAUGAGAGAGCCCCGCGACUACGUCCCAGAUCACGAGGACAAUGAUGUCGACGACCCCGACUUGGGGGCGGCGGCGCUGGAGGCCGACGCCGAAGGCGGCGGAGAGGGGGCAGACGGCGGCCUCAGGCCGUCGGCCACCUUCGCCGACUGGCCCGAGCACGACACCGACGUGGAAGUCGUCCCGCGCCAUUAGCCGAGGGCCGGCCCCUCCGGCCAAGUCGGUGCGAAGAGGCGUCACGCCGGGCCGAGCGCGCCCGGCGGCAAACAGAAGAAGUUCAAGGGGCGGCCACCGCGACCAAGCGGGAGGAGGCGGCCACGAAGGCCAACCGCUUCCGAAGGGAAGUGAGAAGGCCGCCGCUAGUUUCCGCGUAAGUCUUUUUCACUCUUUCGUUUUCUUUGUUGGAUCUUAUCCGAGUCUUCUUUGAUUUUUCCCUCCGGUCUUCUCCAGAGCUCCCCUCUCCCUUGAGAGAGCCGCCGUCCCCUCUGUCAUGGGGUCGGUAGAGACAUCCGCCAACAAUCGGCGGGUCGAUCCCGUCGCCGACCUUCGGGAGGCGACGAAACGGAAUGCGCGGGAGAAGCGCGACGAAGAGGAGGCCGACCGCCUGGAGAAAGCGGAGGCUGAGAAGGUGGCCGCCAAUGCCCAGAGGAGACUGGAGGAGGCCGAGACUGCCGCCGCGACAAAACAGCGCGCUGAGGAGGUCGCGCGUCGCCGAUCGGCUAUGCUCUUCCCUCCAUUGUCGUUGGCGCCGCUGGCUCCGGAGUUCACGGGGCAGACCGGAGAGGUCGGCGCCGAGAACCCUCUCGUGGAGGAGGGCGGCGACGUUUCAGGCUCGGACACCCACGCGCCGCCUCCGCUGCCUCCGCCUCCGUCUAGGAGGCCGCAUGGCAAGCAGCUGGUGGACCUGCAGGAUCCUCCGACUACGGACGAUGCCGAGGCGCGGCUGCUUCUUCAAGUUGCCGUUCCUGCGCGCCGCCGGCUUGAGAGGACGAGCUCGGCGCCGCGAGCUCGGGAGACUGGCGCAGCCAGCUCGGCGAAUCUGGACGUCGAGGCCUCCAGUGCCGCGCCCACCGGCUGGUUGCGCGGAGGCGGCACCGGCCUGCUGAAUCAGGCCCUCCUGGACGUCCAGUCAAAGCUGCGCGCGGAGAGCGACGCCCUCCAACUCUGCACCAGAGCGCAUCUGGCCAUGCGGACAUCCGUCCGGGUAUGUUUCCUUUCUCUUUUUUAAUUUCUGUCUUUCUCUGUGGGGGCGCGCCAGCGCACCCACUGGGUGUAGUCCCCGAGUUCCGGGCCGGCUGCUGAGGAGGCGGUUCGGAACUCCCUUUGGUGAGCUCCGAGUACUAACUUUUGCCUUUGCCGGCUUUUUGCAGGAAUAUCAUAAUCUCCGGGCCACUGCCUUCAACCGCAAUGUUGAGGAGCUGAAUAAGCGGACCGCCGACCUGACGGAAAGCCGAGGUGAGUUAUUUCUUCCUUCUUCGCGGGGGCGCGCUGGCGCACCCACGGGCUGUAGUCCCCGAGAUUCGGGCCGACUGCUGAGCAGUCGGGCCGGAUCUCUCCGGCAAUCUACUUUCCUUCUUCUCCGCGGGGGCGCGCUGGCGCACCCGCGGGCUGUAGUCCCCGAGAUUCGGGCCGACUGCUGAGGAGUCGGGCCGGAUCUCCCCGGCGAUCUACCUUACUGAUGACUUUCUUGUUUUCCUCUUCGCUCUUCAGGCGCCAAUGCCACCCUCCAGGAGCAGCUGGGCGAGGCCAACACUGCUCGUCGUGCCAAGGAAGAGGAGUGCGACAGGCUCGCCAAAGAGCGCGAUCUGCUGGCGACGCGGCUGGCCGAGCAGAAGGAGUUGCUCCGGAAGGCGCAGGACGAUGCCAAGUCGCGGGAGGUCGCCCUCAUGGCCGAGUUCGAGGUCGAACGCUCCGCCUGGACCGAUCGGGAGGCGAUGCUGACCUCCGGCUACCACGAGCUCGAGGACAUCGUUGAUGGUAAGUCUUUUUCGCUUCUUUGGUCUUCCGACUCUGUGUCGGGCUGAUUUCUGAUUUCCCGACUAUCUUCUUUUCUACCUUGUCAGACUUCUUUCCCGGCCAUUCACAAGCCGUCCCUCUGGCCAUCGAGGCGGCUCGGGAGGCGCGAAGGGCGAGGGGUGAGGUGAUUGCCGCCAACGCCCCCCGUACCAUCGACGAGCAGCUUCUGAGCAUCGGGGCUCGUCUUCAUCCUGCUCACCGCCUGCUGCGCCCUCUUCAGCGUGCCGGUGCCCAAGUGGUUGCCGCCCUGUGGCCGGACGUGCCUGCUCUUCGCACCGCCAGUCGGACCGCCGACUAGCUGGAAGUCGCCGCCGGCCGCCUUGAGGCUUGGAAGGGCUCCUCGGCCCGGGCCGGAGCACGCCGGGCCUUGGAGUUCGUCAAGGCGUGGUACCCGGGGUUGGACCUGGACCGCCUGGCCGCGUUUCGGUCAGAAGCCCAGGCCGAGCUGGAGGCCGUAGAAGGCACCCUUGUCGAGCGUGCGGCGGCCAUCGUCGAGUACACGGACACCAGCGUCUUCGUGCCCGAGCAGACUGAAGGCGGCGAGGAGGCACCGCCGGACUAGUUCGGGAUGAACCCGGAGUACGAGGAAGACUCGGCGGAGGUGAUCGACUCCAGCGCCGAGGAGGAGGACGAGUCGGAGGACGGAGGCGAGGAGGAGGCGCCAGAAGACGAAGCAGGCGGCCAGCCUCAGCCCGAUCGCGCCUCCAGCAACGAGCCGUGCGGGGACAAGGCGACCGCCGCCGGAGGCGACCAGGCUGAGACCGCCCAGCCGACUGCCCCGGCAUCCGACACCGCCGUCACCUCUAAUCCUCCGGCUCCGGAGGCCGCCUCCUAGACUGCUUCUGUUUAUCUGUCUUCAUUAAUCUUUUUGAAAGACUUUUUAGGUUCGAACAAUUCCACCCACGGGGUGUAUCCUGAAUUCUUAUUCGGAGAUUCGGCUGAGGGCCUUUGUAAAUAUUUAUCUAAUUUCCGCCUUUCCCUGCUUGUUGCUCCUUAGACUUUUUUUCCUUUGCCACUUUCCUUUAGUUGCCGCCUUGCCGGCUGGGCAGCCGCUCUGCGGACUGUCGCCAGGUCAAGUGCUUGGCUACUUCAGGAAGGCAAGUACUUAGCCAUUUAGAGUUUCUCCAGCAAAUCGGCUAGAAAGCGACAGGCCGACUAUUCGAGAGUCGGCUGUCCUUGAUAAAAGUCGAGACAGCAAGCUGAGUGCUCAUGAGUCGGCUCGGUGGGGGGAGGCUGGUAGCCGGCUUGGGCUAUGCGUAAGCUUUUAGGUCCUUAGCCAUUUUUCGUGCGUGCGCUCGUUCUUGCUUGUCCCCUGCCUACCGACAGUCGCUCUGCGAGCUGCGGCUUUCGACAGGAGACGACUUGAGCGCAACACAUUACUUGUCUGACCAUAGGAAGCAUUUCAUAGCGCAAGAUGGCGAGUCCCCGGGCCGACUAGUCGGACCCGGUGCCAGACAGUAUGAUAAAAAGGAGCAGCAUAUUCAGAAGCGUAAUUCUUAUCAUACAGAUAAUCAAAAAGGCAGUCCCCGAGCUCGUCCCGAGGGGCCUAAGGUCUUAGUACUUUAAUACAAAGAGGGUAGUGCGAUACAUACUGCAUCAACUGUAAAAUCUUCGAAGAAGAUUCGCAUUCCAUGUGCGCUCUGUUUCUUUGCCGGAGUCGUCCUUCUUGCGCGCUUGAGGCUUCUGAGCAUCGAUCAGGUAGUAGGCGUCAUUCCCUAGCACCUUGCUGAUGAUGAAGGGACCUUCCCAAGGCGCUGACAACUUGUGCUGGCCGGCUGUUCUCUGAAUCAGCCGGAGCACAAGGUCGCCCUCUUGGAACGAUCUUGGCUUGACCUUGCGGUUGUAGUAUCGGCGCAGACUCUGCUGGUAGAUGCCGAACCGACUGAGUGCCAACAGUCGGCCCUCUUCCAGCAGAUCAAUGCCGUCUUGGCGUGCUUCUUCGGCUUCCUCUUCGGUGUACAUGGAGACUCGUGGAGAGUCGAACUCUAUAUCCGUCGGGAUGACGGCUUCGGCACCGUAGACGAGAAAGAAAGGCGUGAAGCCGGUUGACUUGUUUGGGGUUGUGCGCAGACUCCAGAGGAUGGCAGGCAGCUCCUCGACCCAACAGCCGGCCGAACGCUCGAGUGGUUCGACCAAUCGAGGCUUGAUGCCGGACAGGAUGAGGCUGUUGGUUCGUUCCACCUGGCCGUUUGACUGCGGAUGGGCAACGGACGCUAAGUCCAGUCGGAUGCCCUGCGUCGCGCAGAAACGAGCCAAGGCGCCCUUGGCAAAGUUUGUGCCGUUGUCGGUGAUGAUGCUGUGCGUCAUGCCGUACCGCACCGUGAUGUCGGCAAUGAAGGUUACUGCUGUAGGCCCGUUUAACUUCUUGAUGGGCUUUGCUUCCACCCACUUGGUGAACUUGUCCACCGCGACAAGCAGAUGAGUUAGGCCGCCCCGGGCCGUCUUGAAUGGUCCUACCAUGUCCAGGCCCCAAACUGCGAAGGGCCAGGCAAUGGGGAUUGUCUUUAGCGCAGAAGCCGGCUGAAGGGGCUUGGAGCGGAACAUCUAGCACCCCUUGCAUUUUUGGACUAGCUCUUUGGCUUCUUCCAGGGCAGUUGGCCAAAAGAAACCGUGCCGAAAGGCUUUGGCCACGAGUGCCCUCGAAGCCGCAUGAUGGCCGCACUCGCCCUGAUGGAUGUCUCUGAGAAUCGCUUGGCCUUUCUCUGAUUCUACGCAGCGCUGGUAGACACCAGUGACACUGCGCCUGACUAGCUCUCUGUUGACUAUGGUGUAUGCUGCUGCUCGGCUCUGCACUUGCCAAGCCAAGAUCUCAUUUGUUGGCAAUUCUUUGCUCACUAGAAACUUGAGGAUAGGCUGUGCCCAUGAAGGUGCUGCUAUCUCUUCAACUGCUACCGCAGCGACUUGGACAAGGGUGGCUGGGCUGGGAGGCGGCGGGUUGGAGUUUGCGGCCGUUUGCUGAAUUGACGGAAUCUCUGGGCCGACUGGGGCAGCUCUCGGGCCGACUGGCGCAGUCCCCGGGCCGGGCUCUGAAGUCCCCGGGCCGACUGGCGCAGUCCCCGGGCUGGGCUCCGAAGUCCCCGGGCCGACUGGCGCAGUCCCCGGGCCGGUUUCAACUGUGGUUUUCUUGAGGUCGCCCGCUGGGGCUUUGGAGUCGGAUCCGACUAUUUUUGGCGGAGCCGGCACGAAGAUGGAGUCUGACUCUGGUGAGGGCUUGAUAGACGGCUUGAGGAGGCGCUGAAGGGCGACGCCAGAAGGUAUUGCUUGGCGAGUGGAGGCGACUCGUGCCAAGGCAUCUGCUUGAUCGUUGUCAUUUCUUGGCACGUGAAGGAAUUCGCACCCCUCGAAAUAUCCGCUGAGUUGCUGCACCAGGAAGCGGUAGCUCGCCUUGUUUGCGUCUUUGGCAUCCCAGUCGCCGGAUGAUUGCUGAACCACCAAGUCGGAGUCGCCAUAGCACAGGAUCCGGCGAAUGCCGAGUUCUUUGGCAAGUCGGAGCCCAUGGAUGAGCGCUUCAUAUUCGGCGACGUUGUUGGAGGCGGCGAAGUGGAUUUGCAGCACGUAUUUGAGCUUGUCGCCUUUAGGGGAGGUGAGGACGACGCCGGCUCCAAGGCCGGUGCGCAUCUUGGAGCCGUCGAAAUGCAUCCGCCAAUGAGUGGAGUCGGGCGCUGGCGGCAGGUACUGGGUCUCGGCCCAGUCGACGAGGAAGUCGGCCAGCGCCUGCGACUUGAUGGCGGUGCGGGGCUGGUAGUAGAUGGUGUAAGGGGCUAGAUCUAUAGCCCAUUUGGCCACUCGGCCGGAGGCGUCUCGGCUUCCAAUGAUCUCGGCGAGUGGAGCGGUGCAAACCACGGUGAUUGGAUGCUCUUGAAAGUAGGGCUUCAGCUUCUUGGCGGCAAAAUGCACGCCGUAACACAUCUUCUGAUAGUGAGGGUAGUUUUGCUUGGAGGUCUACAGUACCUCGCUCAGGUAAUAUACCGGUCUCUGGACUGGGAGCGCCUUGCCUUCCUCCUUGCACUCGACUAUGAUGACUGUGCUGACUACUCGGCUGGUGGCGGCGAUGUACAAGAGCAUGGGCUCUUUGGGAGUCGGAGCCGCCAACACGGGGGGAGUAGUCAACAUCUUUUUCAGUUGGAGAAAUGCCUCAUCUGCCUUGUGGUUCCACUCAAAAAAGGUGGUCUUCUUCAUCAGUUGAUACAAGGGCAGAGCUUUCUCGCCCAGCCGACUGAUAAAACGGCUGAUGGACGCCAAGCAGCCGGUGAACUUCUGCACAUCCAACAGUCGGCUGGGUACCUCCAUUCUCUCAAUGGCCUUGAUCUUCACGGGGUUGCACUCUAUGCCGCGUUCGGAGACCAGGAAGCCAAGGAGCUGGCCGGCUGGGACUCUGAAAACACACUUCUCGGGGUUGAGCUUGAUCCGGAAUCGGCGCAGAUUUUCAAAGGUCUCUUUGAGGUCUUCCAGCAGCGUCCCACACUUUUCCGUCUUCACCACCACGUCAUCCACAUAGACGUGGGAGUUUCGGCCGAGUUGCUUGAGGAGGCACUUCUGCAUGCAACGCUGAAAGGUGGCGCCGGCAUUCCUUAAGCCGAACGUCAUCGUCAGGUAACAGAAGGCCCCGAACGGCGUGAUGAAGGCGGUCUUCAGUCUGUCUGCUGGAUUCAGCUUGAUCUGGUGGUAUCCUGAGUAUGCAUCUAGGAAACUCAAUAGCUCGCAUCCGGCUGUGGAAUCUAUCACCUGAUCAAUCCUUGGCAGAGCAAACGGGUCCUUCGGGUAGGCUUUAUUGAGGCUUGUGUAGUCGAUGCACAUCCGCCACUGCUUGUUUUUCUUCAGUACCAACACCAGGUUUGCCAGCCACUCUGGAAAAAAACACUUCCAUGAUAAAACCGGCUGCCAGGAGCCGGGCUAUCUCUUCUCCAACAACUCUUCUUUUCUCUUCUGACAGGCGGCGCAAGGGCUGCCUGACGGGCUUCAUAUGUGGCCUGACGUGUAGCUUGUGCUCGGCGAAUUCCGUCGGUACACCCGGCAUGUCCUUGGGGGACCAUGCAAAGAUGUCCCGAUUCUCACGGAGGAAAUCGACGAGCUCGCCUUCCUAUUUGCUGUCAAGGCCUGUGCCUACGACAACGUAUCUCUCUGGGUGCUCUGGGUCCAAGGGUAUCUUCUUGGUUUCUUUGGCCGGCUUGAAUGAUCCUUCUACCUCCGACUCCUUGGGGUCGGGCGACAUCUCUGGCUGCUUUCCGGCCAUCGCCACGACUCGGUCAAGGAGCCGUUUCUCGGCUGCGAUCACCAAGGACUCGGCCAGCCGACUGCUCUCGGCCGCGCAAGCGGAUGAUUUCUUGUAGUCACCGGCAAUGGUCAGAAUCCCCUUGGAACUCGGCAUCUUCAUUUUAAGGUAGGCGUAGUGUGGAACCGCCAUGAACUUGGCCAAGGCAGGCCGGCCAAGCAAAGCGUGGUACGGGCUCUCCAAGUCCACCACCUCAAACCAGACCGGCUCUCGGCGGAAGUGAUAUUUGUCCCCGAAGAGGACGUCUAUCAGGAUCUUGCCGAUUGGUGAACAGGAGAGGCCGGGUACAAUUCCAUGGAACACGGUGCGGCUGCUCUGCAGCUGCCUUUGCCUGAUUCCUAGCUUCUCCAUGGUGUCUUUGUACAGGAUGUUUAUGCUGUUGCCUCCGUCUAUCAGGACCCGCGAAAAACGGGCGGCCCGCCUAUCAGUGGCCAAGGUCGCACCUAAAACCAGGGCAUAGGAGCCUGGACUCGGCAUCACCUCUGGGUGAUCCGACCGACUCCAACUGAUAGGCCUCUCGGACCAAUGCAUGAACUCUGGAGCAUCCGUUGCUACUGCGUUUACUUCUUGCUGCUGUUGGCGCCUGCCGCGCCGGUCAUCUGCCACGCUGGUGAAUACUACGUAGGCUCCGUGCUCCUCUGGGAACUCGUCUUGUACUGCACCGACUGGCCGAGCCACCGGCUGCUGGGGCGGCGGUGGAGGCGGCGGCCCUGCAGGCGGCGGAGGAGUGAGGCCGUCUCCCUUGGCGAUUCUGGCGAGCCAGUGGCACUUUCUGGUGGUGUGGUUCAACGGCUUCGCGCCGCUGUGGAACUUGCAAGGACCAUCCAAAGUCUGCUCAUAGGAGAAAGCCGGCAACCAAUUAGACUUGCCGCCUUUUUGCCGCUUGGCCGGAGGCUGCCCCUCCGGCUGCUGAUCUUCUACUGCUGCGACCUAUCGACUGUUGGAAGUCGGCUGUGGGGCCUUGCGCUUGUUGUUAUUUUGUUGCUGUCACCGACUAGCAUCUCCAGCCGGAGUUCUGGGAGCCUGGGGAGUCACCUUGCGAGCCGCGUUGACUUGAAUCUCCGUCUUCAUAGAAGAGUCGGCCGUGGCGUACUUAUCCGCUAUGACUAGCAAUUCGUCAAGGGUUUCUGGCUCAUCACAGAGGAGCUUGUGCUUGAGGAGGGUGCCCUCUCGGCACCCGGCGGUGAAGUACUCGAUAGCCUGCACCUCGUGCACGCCCUCGCAGGAGUUUCGAAGUUCGCCCCAGCGUGUGAGGUAGUCGCGCGUUGAUUCUUCAGGGCCUUGCACGCACAGGGAGAGCUGGCGCGGCUUGGGAGGUCGCUUGUACGUGCUGGUGAAGUUGCGAAUGAAGGCUUCGGUGAAGUCGACCCAGCUAUUGUGCUGUGGGGCUUCAGGCUGUUCAGCCAUGUCCGGGCCGUGCCCUGGAGCAUGAGAGGAACAUACUUCACGGCAACUCGCUUGUUGCCGUUUGCUAUGCUGACGGCCGUGGAGUAGUCUAUCAGCCAGUCUUCCGGCUUUACGGAGCCGGUGUACUUGGGCGUGUCUCGGGGGAGCGUGAACCCUUUGGGGAAGGGCUCGUCUCUGAUGCGGGGCCCGAAGCAAGGCGGACCCAACUCAUCUUCUUCUUCCAGCGCCAGGGAUCGGUGGAGUCGGUCGAUCUGAUGGCGGGCAUCAUUCUCUCCGACUCCCUCUCGGCGGCCAAGGCCACCUCCGAGAGUCGGAUGCUCAACAGGUGGCGGAGAAACUCGUCGCUCUCUUCGGGGCGGGGGAGGCAGAUAAUCGUCCCACCGCUCCACUGCUCUCGGGCGGCCGUCUUGGUCGCGCUCGAUGGUGAUAUGAGUCCGACUGCGACUGACAGCCGGCUCCUUCUCUUUCCUUCUGCGGACUCCGCCAGUCGGCGUCCGGGAGGUCGCGCCUUGAUCUCGGCGGGGAGGUAAGUCGUCGUUUGGCUGCUGCAGCGCAUCUGCGCGGCCGCCGGCCGUGUUUUGCGCAGCAACCGCAUCAAGGAGCUGCUGGACUCGCUCCGUCAUCACACGACGCUCUUCGCCCUCAAAGUUCUUCAGCUCGUCAGUCGCCGCUUGGGCGGCGCAGAUAUUCUCCGCUGGGGUGGCGUAAACAGGGCGUUUCGCCCCGAGUAAGUCGACGAUGGCCGCGCCGCGCUGUCGGACCGCACCUAGACGGCUUGGCCCAGUCGGGGCCGGCGAGCCGCCUACGGCGUGAUCCAUCUCGCGCUAGUAUGCCUCUGACAAGCGCCUCAUGCUUGCCAACUUCUUGGCGCCUUCGACGAUCUAAAGGCGGCGUGCCUCCAGCGUCUCGGUGUCCGCGUCCUCUGGAAUGGGCGCGGUCAGGUCUUGCAGGGCCGCGGCUAGCGGGUCCUCGGUUUCUUCACCGGAAUGCUCGCCGUGGCUGAUGACGAGCACCUACGUGACGUCGCUUUUGCCACUCUCCUCGUAUGGAAGCGGCUCGUCGUAGACCACCACGUUGGUGGGGAAGAUGUCAAGCGAUACGGCGUCGGAGUCGACCAGCAUCGGGUCGGAGGAGCCUACGGAUUCCAAGUCUACGGCAGGCUCGCCGGCGACGUGGAGUUGGUCGAGGAGGCCCGCGAGAAGGUUCUCGGGGCCACCCGUGCCUGCGCCGGAUGCAGGCUCGUCGGGGAGGCGCACCUCGCCGAUAAGUUCGGCGAGGCCGCUCGCAGCGCAGGCGGCUUCGGCGCCGUGCAGCGUGUCGAUGCAGACUCCAUCUGGCGAGCCUGGCUGGCUGCGCUCGCCAGGGAGGAAAAGGGUUCUCGUCCAGAACAGAUCUCCGGACGACGGUGCACCUCGCCCCACGGUGGGCGCCAAAUGUCGGGGGUUGGGUGCGACAUAUGCCAAAGGAUGGCCUAUCAUGGUGGGGGCGAGUAGAACAUCGCCGGUGCCUGGAAACGGGAUGAGGCAUAGACAUGCACGCCGGCGAAUCUUACCCAGCUUCGAGGCUCUCCGGGGAGAUAACACCCCUACUGCUGCUCUGCGGGGUCUCCGCAUGGUCACUAUGGCAAAGUGGCUACAAUGGCGCUCCUAGAGCUGUUUCGGGAGGCAAGAGGGAGCUCAACUGGCUCUAUCCUCCCCUGUCUAUGUGUCUAACUCUCUCAAAGGCCGAACCCUUUGCAUGGGCGCCCCGGGGGGUUUAUAUAGGCCUACCCCCCGGGGGUACAAUAGUAAUCUGACUGGGCGUGGCCCCCAGCCGUCUGUCUCUCAUGCCGUCGUCCUUCCUGCCGGUUUCUAGGGCCCGCCGACUGGUGGGUCCCGCGGACAAGCUGAACACUGUGCAGCACUCCUGAUGGCGCAGGCUUGGUCAUUGGGUCGUGGCAACAGUGCCGCCGUCUGUCAGGCGAUCACUGUCGCCACUCCCCAUCCAAUCUGGUUUAUGGCUUGCGGGGCCCUGGCGGGGAGACGGCCGACUCCGUGGAGGCCGACUCCCUUAGGGCCGUCUUCUGGCGCUCUGGCCGUCUCUGAUUCACCCACCGACGGGUGGCCCUGCGAUCUCUGGGCCGUACAGGCCGGCGUCGUGGGCACAGUGCUUCACGCACUGUGGCUGAGGUCAAGGGAGGCAUGGCAACAGUGCCGCGCCUCGCCGGAGAUCUCCCGGCGAUACGGCUCACUGUAGCCAUGCCAACCCCUCAUAGGCAGGAAGGGAAGGCCACGUCGGGGCCGUGCCCUGCAUCAGUCUUUGUGAAAUGUCGCGGGCCGACUCCCAUAGUCGGCACUCCUGGAGGUCGCAAGCCGGGAGUCGGCUUGCUUUAAAGUCGUCAUCUGGGACUCGGCUUUUCGGAGGAACGCCCUCUGGGACUCGGCCUCUCCGAAGAUCGCCGGCUGGGACUCGGCCAGAGGGGCGCGGCCUGCCCCGAUGUCUUGAAAGAUCAUGGAUCCCGGGUCGGCCUACCCGUGGCCCAUUACUCCAACAGCAAGAUUCUUAGAGAACUAAUGUUGAUGCACCUAGUCCUUCUAAGAAAAACAAAAAGGAAAAUGAUAGGACUUUGCAUGCUUCCCAUUGAACCUAUUGUUGACACACCUAAGAAUCCCAAUGAUAUUUCUAUUUCUGAUGUUGAGACCCAAUCUGGUAACGAACAUGAACCUAGUGAUAAUGUUAAUGAUGAUGUUCAUGUUGAUGCUCAACCUAGUAAUAACAAUGAUGUAGAGAUUGAACCUGAUGUUGAUCUUGAUAACCCACAAUCAAAGAAUCAACGUUAUGAUAAGAGAGACUUCAUCGCUAGGAAGCACGAUAAAGAAAGAGAACCAUGGGUUCAGAAACCCAUGCAUUUUCCUCCUAAGCCGUCCAAGAAAAAGGAUGAUGAGGAUUUUGAGGGUUUUGCUGAAAUGAUUUGACCUAUGUUUUUGCGUAUGCGUUUGACUGAUAUGCUUAAAAUGAAUCAUUAUGCUAAGUAUAUGAAAGAUAUUGUUACAAAUAAAAGAAAGAUACCGGAAGCUGAAAUUUCCACCAUGCUUGCUAAUUAUACUUUUAAGGGUGGAGUACCAAAGAAACUUGGAGAUCCAGGAGUACCAACUAUACCAUGCUCCAUUAAAAGAAACUAUGUUAAAACUGCUUUAUGUGAUCUUGGAGCUGGUGUUAGUGUUAUGCCUCUCUCUUUGUAUCGUAUACUUGAUUUGAAAAGGUUGACUCCUACUGAAAUUUCUUUACAAAUGGCCGAUAAAUCAACUGCUAUGCCCGUCGGUAUUUGUGAGGAUGUGCCUGUUGUGGUUGCAAACAUUAAUAUUUUAACGGACUUUGUUAUUCUUGAUAUUCCCGAGGAUGACAGUAUGUCGAUCAUCCUUGGUAGACCUUUUCUAAAUACUGCAGGGGUUGUUAUUGAUUGCAACAAAGGCAAUGUCACUUUUCAUGUUAAUGGUAAUGAGCAUACGGUACACUUUCUGAAGAUACAACCUCAAGUUCAUAGUAUCAAUUCUAUUAAAAAAAUUCAAUGAUUACUAUUGGAGGUUUUGAAUUCCCUAUUCCUACUGUCAACAAGAAAUAUGAUAUUCUUAUUAUUGGGGACAUGCAUAUCCCCGUUGAGGUAACUUAGUGUUAUUCGAAAAUUCUCCAGUUUCAUGUUAUUCGGAAAAAGUUUGUUAACAAGAUUUGAUCAACCUUGUUAGCGGAUUCCUUUUGAUGAGCAUGAGAUGGAUGAAGUUAGAAAGCACAACUCUUUGUACCCUCUGUCGGUGUCAAAACCGGCGGAUCUCGGGUAGGGGGUCCCGAACUGUGCGUCUAGGCGGAUGGUAACAGGAGACAAGGGACACAAUGUUUUACCCAGGUUCGGGCCCUCUCGAUGGAGGUAAAACCCUACGUCCUGCUUGAUUAAUAUUGAUGAUAUGGGUAGUACAAGAGUAGAUCUACCACGAGAUCAAGGAGGCUAAACCCUAGAAGCUAGCCUAUGGUAUGAUUGUUGUAAUGUAUGUUGUCCUACGGACUAAAGCCCUCCGGUUUAUAUAGACACCGGAGAGGGCUAGGGUUACACAGAGUCGGUUACAAUGGUAGGAGAUCUACAUAUCCGUAUUGCCAAGCUUGCCUUCCACGCCAAGGAAAGUCCCAUCCGGACACGGGACGGAGUCUUCCAUCUUGUAUCUUCGUAGUCUUGGAGUCCGGCGGAUAAUGAUAGUCCGGCUGUCCGGACACCCCCUAGUCCAGGACUCCCUCAGUAGCCCCCAAACCAGGCUUCAAUGACGAUAAGUCCAGCGCGUUUAUAGUCUUCGGCGUUGCAAGGCGGGUUCUCCCUUCAAAUUCCAUGUACCUGUCGAACAGUGUCCGGCUUCAUCUUGAAUACUGUGUUCCUCGGCUUCUACGCCAAAUAAUGGCCCUCUUCCACGCGUCACACGAAUGCGAAAAGCCAGGGUGUAUUUUGCAUUUCACCCCCCAAUUGUGCGAGUCGCCCGCCUAUAAAAGAGGCAAGAAUCCAGAUCCAAACCACACCGUCUUCCUCCCGCGAAUACUCCAUCGAAGCGCCUUUGACCUAGAAAUCCAUUCCACCAUGGAUCGUCAACGCGGCUCUUCUUCACGCGCUCCCAGCCCACCGCCGGGGAAUUGGAGGAGGUGCUCUAUUUCGCACAACGAGCUUGUGAAGCUCCAAACGGGGGGAUUCCUCCCUCCGGCCUUCAUGAUCCCAGUCCGGGCCGGACUGGUUACUUAUCAAGGUGGGAGACAGGCGGAGGACACUCCAAGCCCCAAUAAGGGGGAGCGAGUAUGUUUUGUCCCUUAUCUGACAAGGGGACUCGGAUUUCCAAUACAUCCGUUCCUCCGCGGGCUCCUGAAGUUCUACGAACUCCAGCUCCACCACCUCAUGCCCGCCUCUGUCCUGCAUAUCGCAGGCUACAUAGCUCUUUGCGAGCUAUUCCUGGGCAUUGAGCCCCAUUUCGCAUUGUGGAAGAGGCUGUUUUGCCUCGUACCCCGUUCUUACCAGGGGUCCAUAUAUCAAGUGGGCGGCGCCGAAAUAUGGCGCAUCGCCGGGAACGGAUACCUAUCCGGCACUCCCAAGAAGGCGUCCGAAGACUGGCCCUCGGAGUGGUUUUAUAUAGGAGACGCUCCGCUGUCAGACCCAGUUCGGAUCGGCCUCCCGGAGUUUAGUGUUGCUCCCUUGAAGAAACGCCUCAGCUGGCGCCCACGGAGCCCCCGAUUGGAGGAAGACAAGAGCGUCCACUACUUGAUGGGCCGGAUAAGAUUAAUGGCUCAUUCCGGCUUGACCAUGAUCGGAGUCAUGGCGACAUGCAUCAAGCUAGGGGUACAGCCACUGCAAUAUAGAGGCCACCCCAUGUGGGAUUUCAACGGGGAAGACGAUGCUACCCGGCACGGCCGCAAAGGGCCGGAUUCGACCGAGGAUCUGGUGAAGAUCCUGUCCAGCCUGUACAAGGGGGAGAAGGAGGAUUUCCUUCGAACGAACCCUUCGAAUGGGUUUUCCAUGAUCAACCCCAGAGGAUGGGUAAGUGAACACCUUGAAGGGCCCAACCCAUGCUUUCGAAGUUUAAGCUUCUUACAUUAUGUCUUCGGCGCAGGAUCUACGCCGGACUGUGGAGGACAUGGUAAGUCCUGCUCCGCAACCCGAGGAUCCAGAAGGAUCCCUGGAUCCGGCCUCCGAAGAGGACCCGGAUAUCGAGGUGGAGCUGAUCGACGGGGCGUAUCACCAGCUCAGCAUAGACAAUGCUUUGGUCGCCAUUACGGCGGACUACCCCGGGCUAAGUCCGGCUUCCCAGGUGAUCGCGACCGAAGUCCGGACACCAUUAUCUCAUCCCUGCCCAUUUCUGACCUUCGUGAACGAUGGUAUUUUGCAGGAAGCACCUUUACGGCAGGAAGCCGAGCCCGCGGCGGCCGACCAAUAGAGGUCAGUCUGAACCAGCAGGCGGAAAAGGAGCGCAGUGCGGACGGAAACAUCGCCGCAAAGGUAUAGCUCGUAUUUGAAUUUUUAGAGCAACGUUCAGAGGAAACGUCUGAGUGCUCAUGAUCUUUGUAGGAGAAAAAGCGCUCGCCGGACUGCGAGCGCAGGAAUUGCCAAUCCGACCAACACCAGCCAGGCUCCAGCGCCCGGCCUGGAGGGGGAGGCAAGCGCAAGACGCGAGCCGGAUCCUUCUCCAACGGAGGAUACCGACAGACUGUCCGCCACCAAGUCUGAGGUGGAGAGCGCCAUGAACCAUAGGCGCCGCCGGAUAGUAUUUCAAGAAGCGUGCUUUUCCCCGGAGGCAUUGGAUGCUUUUAACACAGGGGACGCACAUCUCCGUGCUGCUCAAAAUGGUUUUACCAGAGCCACGGAGCAGUAUGUGAAAGACAUACGGGUAAGGGAAUUUUAAUGGUUAUAUAUACCAGUAGCCCCCGAGACUUAAAGUAGUUAUGCUAACUGAUUUAAGGAUCAUUGGAAAUUUCAGGCACUUAACGAGAAGAACGCCCAGCUGUCUCAGGAGCUGCAAGAUUGCAAGGCCCAACUUGAGGCCGCACUUGCUGCCGCAGGAGGAGACGGAAAGACCCCUCCUGGUAACACAUUUUUAUUAAUAAAUAUAAGCGUUGUGCGGCGUGCACGCGAGUCUAAUAAUGACAUUUGCAGGUACCGCCGGACAAGAUCCAGACAGGCAAGCAUUGCUACGCCAGCUAAAGGCCGGCGAGAGUGUGCUGAAUAGGGUUCAGCAGGAAAGGAACAAGCUCCAGGAUGCCAACGCCAAGCUCGGAGAGAGCUGAAAGGCGCUCAGGCCGAGCUGUCCGGCUCCGUUAAGGAGAAUCAGCGGCUUCGUCGCGGCAUUUAUAGUGAGUGCUUGAGCGAACUCUUUUGAAAAGAAGAGUUCGGCGAGGAAGUAUUUUGACAUGAUAUGUCUUGUAGGUAUACUCACGGGUCGUCCCGCAGAGGAGAUGCCCAUAUCAAUGGGUGAUCAACUUCCCGAACUGUUGCAGCUACUCGAACGAGUUCGGCAGGCAAUGAGCGGCCUUGUUCAGGCUUUAUGGCCAGCCCUCACCCUACCCGAGGGCCUCGGGGAGCUUGCGGAGAAGCUGCAGGGAGUGCGGCAGCGCUUCCGUUUGUGGAAGAUUUCGGCUUGCCGUCAAGGUGCCAGGGAGGCUUGGGCCAUGGUGAAGACGCGGUACAAGAAGGCGGAUCCCAACCACAUGGCCGAAGUUGGACCGGUGGGGCCCGAUGGGAAGGAGAUCCCUGUGAGUUUAGUGUAUAGCCAAGUAGAGUUGGCUGCUAAAUUUUCCCAACGGGACUGUAAACUAGACAGCCUGUUAGACGGGAUUGAGGAGGAAUACAAUCAGUAAAUUUGACAAUGUAUGUUAUCCUUUAAAGUGACAUGUGAAAUGCCUUCUAGCCGGAUUGUAGAUCGUUUGUCUUUGCCGACCUUUUCGCUUCGACCUCGGGACCCUAGAGUCCGGAGUGUGUCCGAAUACCUUUUUGGUUAAGAAACAACCGUGGUAUGCAUGGAGACCAGGCGUAGGGGUCAUUAGUGCUUUAUCAGACAAGUGCCCAACUAGUUAUGUUAUAUUACAUGGUUAGUAAGAAACAUCUUCCAGGGAGAAUAGUUCCGUUAAGGGUUCCUUUCCCUGGGAGGCAUGCCCUAAAGUGCAUGUCCGGACUGCAAAGAAAGCAGUAAAACAUCUGGGGGCAAAUAGAUAAAUAGGUAAAAAGUCAUCUUUUAAGUCACCGACCGAAUAUUCCCUUAAGAACGCUAGCUUUCGGCUUCACCCAGUCUGAGGUACACAUCCGGCUGACCCGGCUGUAACAAUCGCAGAGGUGCUCCCUUUACCUCCUAGCCGAACAAUCGGGAACGUAGGGGUAAGCACAGGAGCCAGGCAACCCAGCUUGGCCAAAACUUAAGUCAUAUCGAUGCAUAUAAUGGCGAGUAAAAGGUACAUGUGGAAGCUUGACACAUGUGCUGGGUAUAAAACCCGUAUAAUUGAGCUUCUGUAAAAGAAGCCCCCAGGAAUAAUGAGUGCGGAUGGCACAUCAUGCGUAUGCAAAGAAUGCAAAAAUAGGCCCGAAAGGGCUUUUAAGUGAAAAGGAUAAAAAGAGAAACAAAAGACAGCCGAAGUGUAAAAGUUUGGACGGGGGAAGGGGACGAACUCUUAGUCCGGCGCUAGGCAUGGAAUCGUCGGAGGCGGGCUGCGUUCCAUGGGUUCGGCUCGAGUCGGUGAUCCGACGCAUUUCGUAGACGGUACGCUCCGCCGGUCAGUACUUGAUCGAUGAUGAAGGGGCCCUCCCAUUUGGGCUUGAGCUUGUCCUUUUUCUUGUCCGGCAGGCAUAGAACUAGUUCACCAACGUUGUAAGUCUUGGCCCGUACUUCUCUGCUUUGAUAUCUUCGGGCCUACUGCUGAUAGAAUGCGGAACGAGCCUUCGCGACAUCACGUUCUUCCUCCAAUGUGUCCAAGCUGUCCUGCCGAUCAAGCUCGGCCUCUCUUUCCUCAUACAUGCGCACUCGAGGUGAGUCAUGAAUAAUGUCACAGGGCAAGACUGCCUCUGCGCCGUAUACCAUAAAAAAUGGUGUGAAUCCGGUAGUACGGUUAGGCGUUGUCCGCAGCCCCCAGAGUACGGAGUCGAGCUCCUCGACCCAUUGUGUGUCGGAUUUAGUGAGUGACCUCACUAGUCUAGGUUUAAUGCCGCUCAUUAUUAGACCAUUUGCUCUUUCCACUUGACCGUUGGUUUGAGGGUGAUAGACUGACGCAUAGUCGAGCUUGAUGCCCAUAUUUUUGCACCAUGACUUAACCUCGUCGGCUGUGAAGUUCGUGCCGUUGUCGGUGAUGAUGCUGUGGGGGACUCCGUAACGGUGUACCACCCCUGAUAUAAAGUCUAUCACUGGUCCGGACUCUACCGUUUUGACCGGUUUGGCCUCUAUCCAUUUGGUGAACUUAUCCACCAUGACCAAUAGGUACUUUUUCUUGUGGGUUCCCCCUUUAAGGGGUCCAACCAUGUCAAGCCCCCAGACCGUGAACGGCCAGGUAAUGGGUAUGGUUUUGAGGGCGGUGGGUGGCAUAUGGCUCUGAUUAGCAAAGAGCUGACAACCAACGCAUCGCUGGACCAAGUCCUGUGCGUCUGCCCGAGCCGUCGGCCAAUAAAAUCCUGUACGGAAUGCCUUUCCUACAAGGGCCCGGGCUGCUGCGUGGUGUCCGCCUAGUCCGGCAUGAAUUUCAGCCAGGAGGUUUCGCCCUUCUUCUUUGGAGAUACACCUUUGAAGGACUCCGAUGGUACUUUUCUUAUAAAGUUCUCCCUCAUGGACCUUGUAGGCCUUCGAUCGCCGGACUAUGCAGCGGGCCUCAUUUUGGUCUUCAUGAAGUUCCUGCCUAAGUAAGUAGGCUAGCAAAGGUUCUGUCCACGCGGCGAUUACUGCCAUUAUGACGUGGGCGGAGGGUGUUAUGUCGUCUGCCGAAUCACCGCUUGGUGCGGUUUUCUCCGGUUUGUCGCUACCGAGCUCCUCUUCCCAUAGUACGGAUGGCUUGAAGAGCCGUUCCAGGAAGAUAUUUGGAGGGACAGCAUCACGUUUUGCACCGAUGCGUGCCAGGACGUCGGUCGCUUGGUUAUUAUCUCGGGCUAUGUGAUGGAAUUCUAGUCCUUCAAAUCGAGCUGACAUUUUUAGGACAGCGUUGCGAUAUGCUGCCAUUUUCGGAUCCUUGGUGUCGAAGUCUCCGUUUAUUUGGGAUAUUGCAAGGUUUGAGUCCCCGCGCACCUCUAGGCGUUGAAUGCCCAUGGAGACCGCCAUCCGGAGACCAUGUAACAGGGCCUCGUAUUCGGCUGCAUUGUUGGAGUCCGUGUACAUUAUUUGAAGUACAUACUAGAUUGUAUCUCCGGUGGGGGACGUCGGUACGACGCCAGCCCCCAGUCCGGCCAACAUUUUGGAGCCGUCGAAAUGCAUAGUCCAAUUGGAGUAUGCGCCGUACUCUUUAGGGAGUUCGGCUUCAGUCCAUUCGGCGACGAAGUCAGCCAAAACUUGUGACUUUAUAGCUCGUCGAGGUUUGUAAGUGAUGUCGAAUGGUAAGAGCUCAAUGGCCCACUUUGCUAUCCUGCCCGUUGCGUCGCGGUUAUUUAUAAUGUCAUUGAGUGGUACUUCAGAGGCCACUGUUAUCGAGCACUCUUGAAAGUAGUGCCGGAGCUUUCGAGACGCCAUGAACACCGCAUAUGCUAUCUUCUGAUAGUGCGGGUAACGGGAUUUGCAGGGGGUUAACACAGUGGAUACAUAAUACACUGGUUUUUGAAGAGGGAGUUUAUGCCCUUCCGUCGCUCGUUCGACGACGAGGACUGCGCUUACAACUUGAUGUGUUGCUGCGAUGUAUAACAACAUUGGUUCGCCCAGAGUGGGCGCAGCCAGGACCGAAUUUGUUGCCAGUAUGGCCUUUAUUUCUUCGAGUCUGGCAGUGGCGGCAUCCGUCCACUCGAAGUGUUCGGUGCGCCUGAGGAGGCGAUAGAGGGGCAACGCCUUUUCUCCUAAACGGGAGAUAAAGCGGCUUAAGGCUGCAACGCAUCCUGUUAAUUUUUGUAUUUGUUUGAGGUCUUUUGGAAUAUCCAACUGUGAUAGAGCUCGGAUUUUGGCCGGAUUUUCUUCAAUUCCUCUACCGGAUACGAUGAAGCCCAGCAGCUUUCCGGCUGGUACGCCGAAAACGCAUUUUUCCGGAUUCAGCUUGAUGUCAUAUGCUCUGAGGUUGUCGAAUGUGAGCCUCAAAUCGUCUACUAAAGUUUCGACAUGUUUUGUUUUGACAACUACGUCGUCUACGUAUGCCUCGACUGUUUUGCCGAUCUGGGUGGCCAGACACGUUUGAAUCAUGCGCUGAUAUGUUGCGCCGGCAUUUUUGAGUCCGAAGGGCAUCGUGUUGAAGCAUAAUGGUCCAUAUGGAGUGAUAAAUGUUGUUGCGGCUUGGUCUUCUUCCGCCAUCUUGAUUUGAUGAUAGCCAGAGUAUGCGUCCAGGAAGCACAACGAAUCGUGCCCUGCUGUGGCUCGAUAAUUUGAUCGAUGCGGGGGAGAGGGAAGGGAUCCUUUGGGUAAGCUUUAUUGAGGUCUUUAAAAUCGACACAGAGGCGCCAGGAUUUAUCCUUCUUUGGUACCAUCACCAGAUUUGCUAGCCAGUCCGGAUGUUUGAUAUCUCUAAUGAAUCCGGCUUCCAAUAGUUUGGCUAGCUCUUCUCCCAUUGCCUGUCUCUUGGGCUCGGAAAAUCGUCGAAGAGCCUGUUUGACUGGCUUGAACCCUUUUAGGAUGUUUAGGCUGUGUUCUGCCAACCUGCGAGGGAUUCCGGGCAUGUCCGAAGGAUGCCAGGCGAAGAUAUCCCAAUUUUCCCGAAGGAAUUCGCGCAGUGCGGCGUCUACUUCGGGGUUCAACUGUGCCCCAAUGGAGGCCGUCUUUGUUGGGUCCGUUGGAUGGACCUGGAAUUUUAUUAUCUCGUCUGCUGGUUUGAAGGAGGUGGACUUGGAUCUUUUAUCGAGUAUCACAUCGUCCCUGUUCACCGUAGAGCGCAGCGCGGUGAGUUCCUCUGCCGCUACGGCUUCGGAUAGUGCCUCGAGGGCUAGUGCGGCUGUCUUGUUUUCGGUGCGGAGUGCUAUGUCCGGAUCACUAGCGAGAGUGAUUAUUCCGCUGGGCCCAGGCAUUUUGAGCUUCAUGUACCCGUAAUGAGGUAUUUCUUGAAAAAUUGUGAAUGCCUCUCGUCCUAAUAUGGCGUGAUACCCACUGCUGAACGAGGCCACCUGGAACACGACUUCUUCGGAUCUGUAAUUGUCCGGAGAGCCGAACACCACAUCGAGUGUGAUUUUUCCGGUGCAGCGCGCUUCUCGGCUAGGGAUUAUUCCUCUAAAGGUUGUGCUGCUUCGCUCAAUACGGCUCCAAUCGAUUUCCAUUUUUCGCAGGGUUUCCUCAUAAAUGAGGUUUAGUCCGCUGCCGCCGUCCAUGAGGACUUUUGUCAGUCGAAAGCCGUCCACUAUGGGACUAAGUACCAGUGCGGCUGGGGCUCUGGUUGUUCGGAAUAUGGGCUCGUCGCUACCAUUGGAGGUAAUAGCUGUGUCGCUCCAUGGAUUUGCUGUUGCUACUUGGUAGACUUCGGCGAGUUCGCGGAUGGAUCGUUUUCGCAUAUUAUUUGAUGCGAAAGUCUCGAAGACUGUUGAUACCGUGCUGGUAUUGUUGGAGUGGUUUCCCGGAGCUAGAAGCUCUUCGCCACUUUUGGCCACCUGCCGUAAUAUCCAACAUGCUCGAAGGCUAUGUGUUGGGACGGCUCCCUCUGUAUUAUGAAGCUUACAGGGUCCAUUGAGCCAUCCCUCCAGUAUGGUUCCGUUUCCCUUAUUGGGUUUUUGUUUUUUCGUUUUUGCAUCUGGGGCCUGAGUGUAAGGCGCCCUUUUACUGCGGACUGGGUUUGGGGCCGGAUUAUCCCAAAAUUGAUUUUCGGUUUUCCGGAAACUCUCCAUCGCACAGUACUUUCGUACAAUGGAUGCCAGAUCGGUGAAGCGCUUAAUUUUGCGACGAUCAAUGGCGUUUAGUAUUCCCUUGUCCGUGCAGUUAUUGCGGAAGAUUGAUAUUGCGUUUUCCUCUCGGCAGUCCUUUAUCCUGUCCAUAACCAGGAGGAAUCUGGCCCAGUAGUGAUGUACUGUUUCUGUAGGCUCUUGCCGUAUUAGAGAUAGAUCGCAUAUGUCUCGGCGGGUGGGUGGAAUAAAAUCCGGAUCCCUGCCCAUCUUGAGGCUCAAAGGCCAAGGGGUUUCCGAAUUCGGAAGUGUGGUUUGCUAGGGACAAUCCAGCGACUCCGGGGCGAUGCAUGAUUUUAAGUUCAAUGCUCGAUCGAAGUACGUCCCCCCGCGGGAAUCCGGCAUGGAGGGUUCGGGAAUCCGGACAUGAAUUGUUUUCAACACUAGCAAAGAGUUGCCGUAUUGCUCCUCUACCACUGCAACGUGGUGGGUGGCCUGGGGAGAGUUAAUCUCUCUCAGAUCGGUUUUAAGCCCAAUCUGGUUGUAGUCCGUAGCGACUCCUAGGGCGGCGAUGCGAUCCAAGAUCUCGUUAACAGACGAGAGCUCUAUUGGAUCUAACUGUUCGGCAGCUUUAGGGCUGACGCGAAGAUCGCUUUCGACGACUUGAGAAGUCAUUGCCGAAGCGGCGGCCGGACAGGCGGUCAUGAGAAAACCACCAAGCCGGAUAGUUUGGCCGGCGGCCAAGGCCCCUCCGGCGAAAACACCGUCUUUGAAGACGGGUGGAGGCAUCCGCUCUAUCGGUGACGACACAGGGGAACUCUCAAUGAAAGCACCAAUGUCGGUGUCAAAACCGGCGGAUCUCGGGUAGGGGGUCUCGAACUGUGCGUCUAGGCGGAUGGUAACAGGAGACAAGGGACACAAUGUUUUACCCAGGUUCAGGCCCUCUCGAUGGAGGUAAAACCCUACGUCCUGCUUGAUUAAUAUUGAUGAUAUGGGUAGUACAAGAGUAGAUCUACCACGAGAUCAAGGAGGCUAAACCCUAGAAGCUAGCCUAUGGUAUGAUUGUUGUAAUGUAUGUUGUCCUACGGACUAAAGCCCUCCGGUUUAUAUAGACACCGGAGAGGGCUAGGGUUACACAGAGUCGGUUACAAUGGUAGGAGAUCUACAUAUCCGUAUUGCCAAGCUUGCCUUCCACGCCAAGGAAAGUCCCAUCCGGACACGGGACGGAGUCUUCAAUCUUGUAUCUUCGUAGUCUUGGAGUCCGGCGGAUAAUGAUAGUCCGGCUGUCCGGACACCCCCUAGUCCAGGACUCCCUCACCCUCCUUUUACAUUAUGUUCUUUAGAUUAAAUAAAGCAAAAACAGUUUUUUGUCUGUUUUCCGAAUUAGCCUUGCAAUAAAAAAAUACCCCAAAAUAAAAGUUCUCCAAAUGCCCUGAAAAUGGAGUAUGAUUUUUUGUAGAAUAUUUAAGAAUUUCUGGCACUUAGAACACACAAGGGGGACCCACCAUUUGGCCACGAGGGUACAGGGCGCGGCCACCCCCCGGGGCACGUCCCUCGCCUUGUGGGCCCCACAUGGCCCCCUCCACUUAUUCCAGCACCCAGACACUUCAUCUUCCUCCAGCAAAAAUCAUCCCGUACCUCAAACCCGUGUUCUAGCUCGUUUUGCUGCCAUUUUCGAUCUCCUUGCUCAAAGCUCCAUUCACAAAACUGCUUUGGGGGAUUUUACUUCGGUAUGUGACUCCUCCAAUGGUCCAAUUAGUUUUUUUCUACUGCUUUAUUUAUUGCAAAUUUUUGCUGUUGAGGUGACCCUGUUCUUGAGCUUGCAUGUCAAAUUUAUAUGGUCCAAAGUAGUUUUAAUACAUAAUAUAGCCUCUAGGCACUUGUGGGAGUAGUUGCUAUCAAUCUUGUUGAGUUUGGUUCACUUUUAUUUUGAGUCACUAAAAAUUUCAGAAAUUUUUCAGAGGAAGAAAAAUGUUUAGAAAAAUGUACCAAGGUGGUUCUUCAAGGAAGCAAGAACCAAGGCUCGCGAUACGUGAGCCGGACCUUGAACCACCAAGGGAAGCUCAAGUGUGGCCUUCUGAAUGGCCGUCGGAAGAGUUUAUGGUCUAAGCAGGCUUCAAGGAUGAAUUUGAUGCGUCUGUACAUAAUGCUGAUCUUGAGGACUUUGUAUCAGAUAAGUGCCAAUACUAUUACCUCACUGAUUCCUUUGUGAGGAGGUUUAAAUUUUCAUCCACGUGCAACGCUCACACUGUUUUAUUUGAUCUCUAUGAUAAAUCAUAUACCAUGGACCUUGAAGAUUUUAACACUGCCUGUAAAAUCCCAUAGUGGGGCAAAUUUAGUGAACCUCGUGAAGGAAAUAUGCCCUAGAGGCAAUAAUAAAGUUAUUAUUUAUUUCCUUAUUUCAUGAUAAAUGUUUAUUAUUCAUGCUAGAAUUGUAUUAACCUGAAACUUAGUACAAGUGUGAAUACAUAGACAAAACAUAUUGUCCCUAGUAUGCCUCUACUAGACUAGCUCGUUAAUCAAAGAUGGUUAUGUUUCAUUUGAUGAACGGGAUCGCAUCAUUAGGAGAAUGAUGUGAUGGACAUGACCCAUCCGUUAGCUUAGCAUUAUGAUCGUUACAGUUUCAUUGCUACUGCUUUCUUCAUGACUUAUACAAGUUCCUCAGACUAUGAGAUUAUGCAACUCCCGAAUACCGGAGGAACACUUUGUGUGCUACCAAACGUCACAACGUAAAAGGGUGAUUAUAAAGGUGCACUACAGGUGUCUCCGAAUGUGUUUGUUGGGUUGGCAUAGAUCGAGAUUAGGAUUUGUCACUCCGUGUUUCGGAGAGGUAUCUCUGGGCCCUCUCAGUAAUGCUCAUCAAUAUAAGCCUUGCAAGCAAUGUGACUAAUGAGUUAGUUGUGGGAUGAAGUAUUAUAGAACGAGUAAAGAGACUUGCCGGUAACGAGAUUGAACUAGGUAUGAUAAUACCGACGAUCGAAUCUCGGGCAAGUAACAUAUCGAUGACAAAGGGAACAACAUAUGUUGUUAUGCGUUUUGACCGAUAAAGAUCUUCAUAGAAUAUGUAGGAGCCAAUAUGAGCAUCCAGGUUCCGCUAUUGGUCAUUGACUGGAGAUGUCUCUCGGUCAUGUCUACAUAGUUCUCGAACCCGUAGGGUCCGCACGCUUAACGUUCGAUGAAGAUAUGUAUUAUGAGUUAUGUGUUUUUGAUGACCGAAGUUUGUUCGGAGUCCUAGAUGAGAUAACGGACGUGACGAGGAGUCUCGAAAUGGUCGAGACAUAAAGAUUGAUAUAUUGGAUAACUAUAUUCGGACAUCAAAAGUGUUCCAGAAAGUUUCGGAUAAAACAGGAGUGGUGGAGGGUUACCGGAACCCCCCGGGGGAACUAAUGGGCCUCGAUGGGCCUUAGUGGGAAGAUAGGAAGGCCAGGAAGGGCUGGCCAUGCUGCUGGGUCCGAAUUGGACUAGAGGAAGGGGCGGCACCCCCCUUUCCUUCCCUUCCCCCUCUUCCUUCCUUCUUCCCCCUCUUCCUUAGGUGGAAACCUACUAGGACUUGGAGUCCUAGUAGGAUUCCCCUUUCCUGGCGCGCCCUAGGAGGGCCGGCCGGACUCCCCGUGCUCCUUUAUAUACGGGGGCGGGGGCACCCUAGAACACACAAGUUUCUCUCCCAACCAUGUGCAGUACCCCCGUCCAUAGUUACACACCCCGAUCGUACCAUCGUAGUGCUUAGGUGAAGCCCUGGACCGGUAGCAUCAUCAUUACCAUCGCCACGCCGUCGUGCUGACGGAACUCACCCUCAUCCUCAACUGGAUCAAGAGUACAAGGGACGUCAUCGAGCUGAACGUGUGCUGAAUGCGGAGGUGUCGUACGUUCGGUACUUGGAUCGAUCGGGUCGCGAAGACGUUCGACUACAUCAACCGUGUUAUUGAAACGCUUACGCUUUCGGUCGAUGAGGGUACAUGGACACACUCUCACCUCUCGUUGCUAUGAAUCACCUAGAUAGAUCUUGCGUGAUUGUAGGAAUAUUUUUGAAAUUACUGUGUUCCCCAACACCUCGCAAAUCUUAAUAUAAAGAUUUCUUGCUAGUAUCACCGUGGGAGAAACUAGAGAGAUCACACAAGCUACCAUAGGGAACAUUGAUUUCCCUUCCAUACAUUACUUUGCGCUCUUUAUAGGUAGAUGCAUUAACGGUAAAGAUGAGUUUUGUCACAUGUGCGUUCUAGAUCUUAGUGUCCUCAAGAGUGCGGUAUUAGGUGAUAAACAAUAUAACUUGGGGGCCAUUGUUGCACGGAGGUUACAUCUUAAUGGUAAAAGUGGAGAUUUGUUUGGUGGAAUUUAUGCAACUCGUUAGCUGAUUAUCUUGGUGUACCCAUGAAUGGAAACGAUAUUGAGUUGCCACCUUCUUAUCUAGAUUAUAAUGUUAUGGUGCGCCAUCAGUUUCUUGAGAGGAACGAACAGUUCCUCCAGUAUCGACUAAUCUUUGACAGACGGCGUACUGUCCAUAUUACUCUCCCUGCUCCUACUUUCUUUAACUUCAGGCAAACAGGAGAUAUUUUAUAACCAGGGAGGAGGCAAAUGAAUAUGAGAGGAGGGCGGAGGCAGCUCGCCUCCAGGCUACAGCUCUCUAGGCAGUACCCGUUGUAUCCUAGUACAACCCCGAUUACGACUUUGGAUAUCCACCAGGCCAGCCAUGGGCAUACACCAACUUAGGCCAAAAGCCUAAGCUUGGGGGAGUACGUAUUUCUCACCGACAUUACAUUCAUGUUCACACACUCAUUCUAGUUGUCGGUGCUCAUACUUUUUCAUUGUAAUGCUAGUUUAUUUUCUUUUCUUGCUUUCUUCUUAUGUGUUUGAAAAACUUUGAGAAAAAUUAGUUCUAGCUUUUAGUUAGUUUACUUUCCAUGCUUGUAGUAGUAGUAUUAAAAGAAAACCCAAAAAGAUUUCCCAUUCUUCUUUUUCUUGUUGGGAGAUUUCCCAUGUAAAUAGUUUUCUUUUUCUUUGAAUUUCUUUUCUUUUCUUUGGGGGUCGAGAGGAGAAGACCACGAUGAAAAUGUUGAGUCGCUCUCAUAUGCAUAAUUGUUGAUCUAACCAAGAGCCCAAGUUACCUUGUCUUCUCAUUUGAAUUAAAUGCUUGCAGAUUCCAGCUUAGUCCAAUGCACGUGCACUAUUAUUAUUAUCCAUACCGUUCGGUCGUGCAAGUGAAAGGCAACAAUGACGAUAUAUGAUGAAAUGAUUGAGAUGGGAGAAGCUGGUAUGAACUCGACCUAUCUUGUUUUUGUAAAUAUGAUUAGUUCAUCGUUCCUGAUUCAGCCUAUUAUGGAUGAAACAUGUUUGCAAUGACAAUUAGAGACUAUAGUUGCUCAUGCCAUGCUUAAUUAGCUAAGAGCUUAUAAUGGUUUACCUUGCAUGCCAACAUGCUAUUAAAAUGGUUGUGAUGUUGUAUGAUAGGGUGGUAUCCUCCUUUGAAUGAUUUGAGUGGCUUGACUUGGCACAUGUUCACGCAUGUAGUUGAAACAAAAUCAACAUAGCCUCCAUGAUAUUUAUGUUCAUGGUGAUUUAUAUCCUACUCAUGCUUGCACUCAUUGUUGGUUAAUCUUAAUGCAUGUUCAUGACUAUUGUCGUGCUCUAGUUGGUCGCUUCCCAGUCUCUUUCUAGCCUUCACUUGUACUAAGUGGGAAUACUGCUUGUGCAUCCACUUCCAUAAACCCCAAAGUUAUUCCAUAUGAGUCCACCAUACCUUCCUAUAUGCGGUAUUUACCUGCCGUUCCAAGUAAAUUUGUAUGUCCCAAACUCUAAACCUUCAAAUGAAAUUCUGUUUUGUAUGGUCUAAUAGCUCAUGUAUCAACUAGGGUUGUCUAUAACUUCCCUGCUAGGUGGGUUAUUCUCACGACGAGUGGACUCCGCUCAUCAUUCACGAGAAAAUGGCCGGUAACCGGGAUGCCCAGUCCCAUGCCUAAAUCAAAUCAAAAUAAUUACAAACAAAACUCCCCUAGGAUUGUUGUUAGUUGGACGGUACCCAUUGUUUCGGGCCAGCCAUGGAAUGUGCUGGUUGGUGGUGGGGGAGUAUAAACUUUACUAUUAUGUUUGCGAACCGCCUAUAAUGUAUGUAGCAUGGAAGAUAUCGAGAUCUCUUGGUUGUUAUGUUGAGAAUGACAGUAUGCUGCUCAAAAUAUUAUUUAUCUCUGUUUCAAAACUCGAGCUCUGGCACCUCUGCAAAUCCCUGCUUCCCUCUACGAAGGGCCUAUCUAUUUACUUUUCUGUUGAGUCAUCAUCCUCUUAUUAAAAAGCACCUGUUGGAGAACACCGCUGUCAUUUGCAUGCAUUGCUAUUAAUUUACAUUUAGUAUGAAUGUGACUGGAUCUCUUUUGCCAUGAAUUACAAUGUCCAGUCAGUCAUUGAUCUUCAGGGGUGCUCUGCAUUUAUGUUUUCCAGUCUUAGAAAGGGCUAGCGAGAUACCAUCUUGUUAUAUCAUAUUAUGAUUAUUUUGAGAAAGUGUUGUCAUCCGAGAUUUAUUAUUAUUGCUCGCUAGUUGACUAUGCCAUUGAUAUGAGUAAAUAUGAGACCUAAGUGUUAUUGUGAAUGUGGUAAGUUCAUAAUUUGCUAAAAAAUUGAAUGCUGGCUUUACAUAUUUUCAACAACAGAUCAAACAGAGUUUGUAAAAGUUUUUCUUUAGCACUUUCAGUUUGUCAACUAAAUUGCUUGAGGACAAGCAAAGGUUUAAGCUUGGGGGAGUUGAUACGUCUCCAACGUAUCUACUUUUCCAAACACUUUUGCCCUUGUUUUGGACUCUAACUUGCAUGAUUUGAAUGGAACUAACUCAGACUAGCGUUGUUUUCAGCAGAAUUGCCAUGGUGUUAUUUUUGUGCAGAAAUAGAAGUUCUCAGAAUGACCUGAAACUCCAUGGAGUCACAUUUUGGAAUUAAUAAAAACUAUUGGAUAAAGAAUCAAUAGAGGGGGGCCCACACCCUGUUCAUGAGGGUGCAGGGCGCGCCCACUCCCCUGGGGCGCGCCCCCUGCCUCGUGGCCCCCUUGGACCUCCACCGACCUCAACUCCAACUCCAUAUAUUCAUGUUGGGGGAGAAAUAAAUCAGAGAGAAGGAUUCAUUGCGUUUAAUGAUACGGAGCUGCCGCCAAGCCCUAAUCUUCCUCAAGAGGGCUGAUCUGGAGUCCGUUCGGGGCUCCGGAGAGGGGAAUCUGUCGCCAUCGUCAUCAUCAACACUACAAAAAAAUACACUUCCGUGAUGAUACGUGUUUGUCACAGUAGGUCGCGUUUUUUGUCAUGCAUGUGCAUCCAUGACAAAUUUAUGACAGAAUCAAGAUAGUCAUACCUGUGCUGUCGUAGAAGUGUUCGAUGACAUUACCAAAAUUAUCAUCACGGAAGUGUCCACUUCCAUGACGAUAAAUCACGCGUCACAGAACUGCUUUCGUCAAGGGUGACCGACACGUGGCAUCCACCGUAACGGAACGCUGUUAAGCUAUCGGGUUGGGUUUUGGAUCCGAUAACCCAUUAACAGCCCCGACCAAUGGGGAUUUUCCACGUGUAAAAUCAUCAUUGGCUAGAGGAAACACGUGUCGGCUCACCGUUGGGACAUAUGUCAUCCACUCAUUGGACAGGAGGCGCCUAUGAUACGUCGACACAUGGCACGGCCCAACAGAGGCACAUUCCAGUGAAAAGGCCGGCCCGGUUGACUUGGUCAAAAGGUGGCGGGCCGGCCCAUGGAAAGCCUGUUAACGGCCUGUUCGCAUAUAGCCCAUUUAUAGCCCGCUAACCCAAGGCCCAUUACGCCCUAUCCGAAUUAGGCCCAGUAACAUCAUCUAGGCCAUCCAAUAUGAUUCCAGCCCGUUUUUACUUCUGGCCCAUGUAUGGCCCAUGACGUCUUUUGGCCCAUAUGAGGCCCUAUGUAACUCUUGGCCUAUUAACGGCCCGUGGUGAAACUAGCCCGCAAUGAACAGUGUAUCACUUUACACCCACUAACGGCCCAUGGUGAAACUGGCCCGUAAUGAACAGUAUAUCACUUUAUACCCAUUAAGGGCCCGUUAUUUAGUUGGGCUGUUUCCAGCAAAUGUUAUCUUUCGGCCUUCUCAGAGCCCAUUUAUUCUUGGGCUCAUUUCCAGCAUUCGUUUACUUACGGCCCGUUACUGUCAUUUUCUGCUUGUGGGCCAAAUUCAGCCCGUGGUUACAUCGGCCCGUUUGUGGUCCGUUAAUACGUUGGGCCGUUUUCAUAGCGUCAUCAAAUACGGCCUAUUAACGAUGGCCCGUUAUGGUUAUACGGCCCAUACAAUGCCCAUUGAUGAUACGGCCCAUAGAAGGCCCAUUGUUUCUACGGCCCGUAGAAGGCCCAUUGUUUCUACAGCCCGUAGAAGGCCCAUUGUUUCUACGGCCCAUAGAAGGCCUACUGUUUCUACGGCCCGUAGAAGGCCCACUGUUUCUACGGCCCAUAGGAGGCCCAGUGUCACUACAGUAAAUAUUAGCCCAUGGUUAUUGUGGCCUAGUUUUAAAAAGAACUACACUGACUACAAGCAAACAAAUAAACAAGACAACAAGGAAAUAAAUAAGCAAGCAACUUAUGCUAGGUUAUCACGGCUGUUACACAUAUUACAUCCACUGGGCAUCAAAGUUCGCCACCAGUGCAAAUAUAGGGAACAAAGCAGCAUAUCAUAUACACUGGUUGUCAAAGUUGGCGACCAGCGCAAAUAAAUGCCGCAGCAAAACAAAUCCAGAACUGAAACCACUUUAGAAGAUCUCAAGAAACAAUAUCCUGGGUACCCAUAAUGCUGGCAAGAUGCUUAGCAAGCUUAUUAACUUUCUCUUGUUUGGCGCUUAAAUCCUCCAACGCUUGCUGUUGCACCAGAAAAUAUGCAUCUGAAUUCUGCAGGGACUUCCUCAGUCCUUCAGCUUCCUGUCGCAGCGCAUCUGAUCGAUGUCUUUCAACUUGAAGUUGAGACUCAAGAAGACGAACUGAUUCAGGCAGCAAGUUCGAAGAGCUUGUGCCAGCAGUAGUGGCCAGUAACUCGAACACUACAUCAAGACAGGACUUUUGGGUUCCCUCACUAUCGUCAAGAUAGUUUUUAUCAGCUUUCUUGGAGACCAACAAGGAUGUCUCACUAUCUUGAACCUUAUCUGCAUUACUUCCUUUACCAUUGGAUAACGCGGUACUGUUCUCCAAUAUUUUGUCCGCAUUCUAAAAGAGAAACAAGCAGACACAUCACAUGUUUACCAUGUUGUAUAUGAAACUCAUUUUGGUAAAUGAGUUUAGUAGUAAAGUGGACAUGAUAACAGCAUGAAACAAACAUAUAUCUAUGUGCCACGGUCACUUUAUGGUCUAUAUCAUUCUAGUUUUUGUUGCCAAAUCAAGAUAGAGACAUAGUUCAAAUAAUAUUUGUUCAAGACAAAGCAGAAUAGACAGAAUAUAAGUGUGGGUAACUAUAGGGCAAUAACAACACUUGUAAUGUGCAUGACAUGAGAACAUAACUGUUUAUUCAAUUGAAACUGAAAUCAACAUAGAGCAGGUUACAACAGCAAACCAGUUAAAGAAACAGGUUUAAAACAUACCUGUUGCGCCAUUGGAGUUUCAAUUCCAUCCUUCAAAUUUGAAAAUAGUUGGUAUGAGUAAAUACAGUAAUGCAAGAGCAAAGGAGUAUGAACCAUAGCUACAAAACCUGACCUGAGAACAAAUCUUCUUCUCCUUUAAGCGUUGAGUUGGGAUUCAGAGUGGUGGUCCUCAUGCUUUGGGCACUGCAGUUCCCUUACUAACCACUCGUGUUUGGGUGCUCUGUGGUGGAGACGGUGCUGUGUCAACUGGAACUGGGUUACUAUCUGCCGGGGUUGGGGUUAAAAGGGGUGUAGCUGGUUCUCUGUCCAACUGGGUAGGGGUACAAUCGGCGAGAGUCUGGGUUAUGUGUGGUGGAUCUGGUCCUUGGGCAAGUACAACCGUGGUUCUAUCUGCAUCAACUAAUAGCACUAUCUUUUCUGAAGACCGUGUUGUUACUCCCUUAGAUACUGCCAUCACGCUCUCCAACUCAAAUCGCUGAUAAACAAGAAAAGUAAUUGAAAGUAUAGACAUUGUAUGAUAGACAGGUGCAAUGGAUAGUGGGGAAUAAAAGAGGGCAUGAAAUAAUUCAUAUUUAUGUUGUCUAACCAAACAGGAUAGCAUGACACAAUUUCACAUAUAUGAUGGCUAACUAAACAGGAUAGCAUGACACAAUUUCACAUUAUGAUGGCUAACUAAAAAAGGUGGAAAGACAUAGUUUAAAAUAUGAGACUAUGUAAACAGGAUGACAUGACAUAACUAUGUAAUGUUUUUAUUAAAUAGGUUGGCAUGCCAUAAUUCACAUACAUUCAUGGAUAGAAUGCCAUAAUUCUAAAUAUGAUGACUGUAAACACUAAACAGGAUGAGAUGAUAUAACUAUAUGAUGUCUUUAUUAAAUGGGUUGCCAUGCCAUAAUUCAGAUAGAUGAUGUGUAUGUACUAUGUAAACAUGAUGGCAUGAUAUAAUUCAUAUAUAUGAUUUAUAUAGUAAGCAAGUAAGCAGAUGGCAAUCUAUAUAUGAUGUAAAAACUAAGCAAUGCAAGACAACAUGCAUGACAUGGGUAAUAUAACCCUGCCAAGUUUGAGCAUAGACCUCAGGGGGGAAAUAGGACUGGUCAUCAGUCUCUGAAUCCUCCUCUAAGGAGCUCUCUGUAGCCAGCAAGAUGUCUGCUUCAGCAGGUAGCAUUGUCUGCUCUGAAUACCUUAUUUUCACUCCAGAUACUUCCAUCACCGCUUCAAUCACAUACAUGAUGAUUGGCUAAACAACAUGGCAUUGCAUAAUUCACAUAUAUAAUGCCUUUGCAACAAGAUAGCAUUGUAUAAUUCACAUAUAUAAUGUCUUGCAACAAGAUGGCAAUGCAUAAUUCACAUAUAUGGUAAUUAGACACUAAACAGGUGGCAUUCACACAAAGCAUGUCUAAACUAAUCAAAUGGGAUAGCAAUGCGAGACACCAUACGCACGAUAUGAGCAACAUAACCCUGCCAAGUUAGAGCAUACACCUCGGGGGGGGGGAUAGGACUGGUCAUCUGUCUCUGAAUCCUCCUCUGAGGAGCUAUCCGUAACCAGCGAGAUAUGCGCUUCGUCAGAUAGCAUAGUCUGCUCAGAAGACCUUGUUUUCACUCUAGAAUUUGCCAUCACCGUGUCAAAUGGCUUAUGCACACGAAGAGCAGUUGAAUGUACUAACAUUGUUGACGAAUGUAAUAUGUAACGAAAAAAAGAUGGCCUGAUAUAAUUUACAUAUAAGAUGACUGGCUAAGUAGGAUGGCAUUGCAAAAUUCACAUAUAUGAUGCCUGGCUAAACAAGGUGGCGUUGCAUAAUUCACAUAAAUGAUGAAUAAACUAAACAGAUGGCAUUCACACAAAGGAUGUCUAAACUAAUCAGAUGACAUAUUUAAUGUAUAAAAUAAGCAAUGAAAGACACCAUAUGCAUGAUAUAACCAACAUCAGCAUGCCAAGUUAGAGCGAAGACCUCAGGGGGUAAAUAGGAGUUAUCUUCUCCUUCUAAAUCCCCCUCAGAACAGAUAUCUUCCUCUCGAUUACAAUCCUAAAUGCAUGGAGGGGGGCUGCCUUUGCGCCUACCAUGGAGCGACGUCUGCAUGAAAUUAUAUUGCCAUGCAAGGCUCGUCUCUUUUGCUCUACAUGUUCAGUUCCAUUGUUUACAAUAACUGUCAUGCAUAGGAAUAAAACAUAGUGAGAUUAUGUAAGGAGUGCAUGCAGAAAUCCAGAGUGAUGGUAGCAACCUGUGGAUAGACCCAAAACCAAUAAUAGCAGGCAGAUAAUGGCUUCAGUUAAUAAAUACAGAUAAUGGCUUCUUUACUGUUUGUUUCCCACCCAACAUGAAACUCAUAGUAGACACCGGAGAUUAACCAGAUAGUAGAUAGAUACUAUCGAUAGCGGCCCCGAUAUGUACCCCACAACCAUUUAAAAACUCAAGUUUGACCAUUAGUUUGGAGCUGACUCAGAGUCUAAUCGGUGAACAGGACGAUAAAGUAGCAUGUAAUAUUAAGCGAUGCAUAACGUAAGCAUACACGAAAGAGUGCGACCUCUCUUGCGGACCCGUGUAGUCCUCGAGGUCAUCUACUCGGUUGAUGAUGGUAAUGCAGUUUUCAUGGCUGCCAGCGGCGGGGAAGAAGAUCUAAGGCGGCGAAAGACAGUCUGGAGGCCGGAUCCCUGCUCUGUUGGACCCUUUUGUCGUUGGAGCAGCUGAGCUGGGGUGGACGACGGCGCAGCAGGACCAGGACAAACCACGCAAGGUUUUCUUUGACAACUAUCUGUAAGAGAAGUAAUUCUGUAAGGGCUCGUUUGAAUUGGAGGAUUCCAACAAUGCAGGGAUAGGAAAUAGACAUGAAUAGGAUAGGAAUGCACGUGCAAAACAGAGAAUUUAAAAACACAGGAUUUCUGCCAAUCUGGGUGUUUGAUUCACAACAAUUGGAAGAUCACAGGAUGCAAAGAAGCAUGGUGAGAUUAAGUCAAAUCACAAAAAAAUGUACGGUUAUAAUGCUAUUAUGCUACUAUCUCUUAGUCUUGUGCUUCAUGAAUAGGAAUUUGAAAAGGAGGACAAGUGAAAAUUAAAAUUCCUAUGUUUUUUCUUUCAAGGAGACACUAAAGGAACAAAUCCGUGUGCUCAGUGGACAAUAUAUAUAACAUGUAGUGGAAAAUAUAUAUAUAACAUGUAGAGUAAAAAAGAGAUGCAACAAGUGUACAACCUCUUUGGCGAAGCCAUGUCGAUCUCGGCAUGAUUGGGUUGGCCGGUGAGGAUGCUCCGGCUGACUUUGCUGUUGGAGGAGGGGAAGAAGAUCUUAGGCGUCUGGAGAUGGAGCCCGAGGUACUGCUCCGCUGUGAUGGAGGGUUUCGUCGUUGGAGCAGCUCCGAUGAGUUGUACGAAGCCGAGGCUGAAGCAGGACAAGAGAGACAACAAACAAUGUUAACCUGAGUGGAAUUCUAAUAGCAUCUACAAUACAUGACGUAAAAUAAAUGACCACAAAGUUCUAGAUGUAAAAUACAUCAGCCGCUCAUCUCUGACCUUAACUGUCGAAACUGAACUUAACUGUCAAAACUGAACCUAACUGUCCAAACUGAAUUUUGCUGUCGAAACUGAAUUUUGCUGUCGAAACUGAACGCACUAGCAAGGUGAGGCUACACGUCGGUCGACUGACUUUUUCAUCUCUGGUCAGUCGAUUUUGCAGCCGUUGGAUACGAAAUCAAGGGCCUGCGGUUCAUCUUCAACCUCCACCCCCUCUGAGCCGCCAGCCACCACUGGCCAAACAGCAGCCCCCCGCCGCCCGCGGCCGGUGGUGCGCCACCCCGCCCGCCCCGAAAACACUCCCCACCGCCGGUCCGCCGCCGCCCCGGCCAUCCCUCUAGGCCCCCUCGUGCCGAGCUUUUUCUCCGGUGAUCCCCACGCCACCGCCCCGCCAAUGCCCCGCCACCGCCAGCGACCACCGCCCCCAUCCUGAACCCUAAGAUAGAUAGUGGGGUACCUCUCCGGCGAGCCCCCUCCCCGCUGCGGCUGGUUCUUCCUUCACCCCGACGAGCCCACCCCUUGGAAAUCGACUCACCCAAAAGUCGAUUCAGUCGACUGAAGUGUAGCAAAAUAGGAGCAGCAUCGCAAGCAAGAGCAAGAGCGAGAGCAGCAGCGCGAGCAAGAGCAAUAGCAAGAGCAGACCAGGCAGGGGACCAAGAGCAAGAGCAGAGCAGCAGCGCGAGCGAGAGCUAAAGCAGCAGCAGCUCCUACUGAUGUGGACGUAGCCACCGAGCGAGCGAUGCCGUGGAGGAAGUGGCCGGCGACGCCGCCGUGGAUGGAGUCGCGCCGUGUCGGCUCGGGACCGAGCGCUGACAGCACCGUGAGAUCGAAUCAAGAAGAAAAUGCGGCGAUUAGUGUACAACCUCUUUGGUGGCGCCAAUUAGGCCACAGCUUCAUCCGAGGAAACGGUGAUGAUGAUGCUCUUCCGGUGGUGCAGGUGAAGACGGCGGUGUGGGAAUGGAGGUGGCGCGAAAGACGAGGGGAACGUCAGGGCAGCUCCUUGGAGGUGGAGGACGGGGUGGCUGAACCGGGACGAUAAGAUCGAUGACGGAUCCUCAUCCGGUACGGUGGAUGAGGGACGUCGAGGUGUUGCUGUGGACAACGUCGUCGGGGAAGAAGCUCCGGCUGGGUGGCGGACGGAGCAGGGUGUGGGGUUUCGUCGCGGGUUUUCGCGGCCUCGGUGUACGAAUGGGUGGGCGGAUGGGAUGGCAGUGGGGAACCAUGGCUUAGAGACGCGCUUGUCCGAAAUGUGGGGUAAGUUACGAAAGUACCCCCCCCCUCCCCACCGAUUUGAGGCGGUUCUUUCGGUUCAGGGGUACCACGGGCAUUUCGCGUGUCGGGAUUUCACAGGAGGUGGGAGUUUUCGCGCGCGUUGUAAUUUCGGAAUAGCAAGGCGCGGGUUGAGAUGGAGGGAGUUGUCGGAGCACAACGAGACAAAGAUAUAUCUUAAAUAUUUCGGGCUAACAAGGCGCGGGUUGAAAUUUCCGGACAAGCCUAACGUGUACUGUACCAAAUCAAUGCGCACUACAAAUGUCAUUCAAAACUUUGAAUUCAUGUUAUGUUCAAUUAAAACUAGCAGGGUGACCCGCGCAUUUGCGUGGCUAGAUUUAUUGAGUAUUGUCAUAGUUGUCGUUUCAGAUUUCUAUGUGAUAUAUAGUGCAUGGCUUUGGUUAUUACUAUUGUAUAGACUCGCACUUAUGUAAAUCAACUAAUGAUUUUUUAAUAAGAGGUUGGUGAUGAAUUAUUGUUAUUACUAUUAUUAUUAUUUUCAUAUAGAUACAUAAUAUGUGAGCACUUUGGUUAGAUGUAUUACAGGAUAAACUCAUAUAUCUAUGUUUGGAGAUAGUUCUAGGCUUUUUUUUCUUCUGUUAGUGACAUGUGUGUUUGCUCACCUUACAUCUUGUUAACGUCGUAUUAGAUUUUGAGAAUUUAUGGUACAUAACUCUGACCAUUAUUUUCUAUAUGAGUGUUUGUACAAAAGCGAUAUGACGAUAAGAUUACAUAAAAUGAAAAUAAUAUUAUAAUAAUUUUAUUUGACUAAUCUAAAUACCACAUUCUUCUCAAUAUAUACCUUUAUGAUUUAACAUAGAUAUAUCUAAUUUUAUUAAAUAUCUUCUAGAUAAUUUGGAACAAAGAACGUGAUCUAAACAUUCAUUUCCUUCCUCACCAACCUCAUCAGCAGUGCGACAUUGCAUUUAAUCGUGUUUUUAUGGGGGCCCACUCAUCCAAAUUUUCUAAAUCAUUCCAGCUCCAUAAUUCUCAACACAAUGUUUAUACCUUAUGGUGGUGUCGAUGCAUGGUGUUUGCAUCAAGUUUUAUUACUUGGCACACUAAGAAUAUUAUCACAUAGUUGACAUAAUAUCUGCAUCCAACUAUUUGGCAUGACACAAUGUUACAUUCUUUUCAUGAUACUCUACCUCGUAGAGAUGACACAACAAUGGUCAGUCGAUUCUUCUUUCCUAAUGCUAUAUUUGUCCUUCAUAUUAUAUGUUAAUCCUUACCAAUCUACCAAAUCUCACUUGCUUCACAUCACCAUGAAUUCAAUCUACCAAUGAUGAUCAAUUUAUAUAGCUUCCGUGCAUCUCUAGUAUUCGUGUUGAACUACUUUUAUAUACUACCAAAACCAUUAAUGUUGAUACAUUUCCUACACUUCUCAUAUUUUUCUGUUUGCCGAAGUAACAUAUACAUGCCCAAUCAACUUUGGCAUGUUACAUUGAAUAACAUUUCUUCCAUUACUACAUAUUACAUGAUGUCGACUGGACGCAAUUGCUAUUUUUUAAUUCCAUGUGUAGUUUGUAGGUUGAAUUGUAUAUAUAAUCUCUAGCUAUUUCUUAUACUUUGUGUACGCAGUGUCUAAAAAUAAGGAAAAUUGCUACCCGUUUUUCUUAUUAUAAAUUAUUAUGUAGUAAACAGUUGUUGUUUUUAUCCAUAUGAUAUGAAAUUUGUAUGUCAUCAGACUAUAUAUCUAAAGAAAAUUUCCAACUAAUAAGAAUUUUCCGAGUCACCAUGAUCAUCACUAUAAAGUUAAUGGUAAUAAACAAAUUAUCAAAUAUGUCUUAUCCAAUCCAACUUCCCCUGGGAUACAAACAGAAAAGCAAGUCCUCUAGUUAUGGAUGCAGUACUCACCACACUAAACAUAGGAAGAACUAAUUCAAGUAGAAUUACAAAUAGCGAGAAGUGGAUGAAAAAGGGAUUGAGCCGGUUAAGACUCGCAAAACAUCAUCUCUUAGCCUGAUCAUCGUAGCUUGUGUAUCCAUGUCGAUAUAUCCAAGGGGUGUACAGUGACUUAUUACAAUACUUUGUUUUACUCUCAACCACUUAAUUGAUACAUAAAUCAACAAUUGUAUAUGGUGAUAUAUUAGGAUUUCUUUUUCCAAAUGUAUAUUAAGUGAGAUGUCAUUGCAUGCAUGGAAUAUGUGUGCCAACUAUGACAGAGCCUUGCGGCCAAUGCAUUUAUUGUGCUAUCUUAUAAAAUGUUUAAGUUUGUUGUCAGCUACAACUUAUGGAGCCGGUCGAACAAACAAACACAGUCGAUCCCUAUUUACCUUUUAGAUGAACACACAGAUCUUUGAUAUAUGUAUAUAUAAGUACACCAUGGAAGAAAAAGCGUAUAAUAUGUUUCUUGCUGAUGCUGCCCAUGAUGUCAUCAGUGUUUUUUAUCUUUUCCAGAAUCGUAGUUUUUGACACGAAAAUGUUCUGCCAGGUUCUCUUUAAAUCAGCAUCAUUAUAAUUAGGGUCCAUGAUAUAACCGAUGAAUGAGAUUAUACAGUCUAUCUGCAUAAGUAAGCCAAAGUGAGUGCUUAAUUUUUGUUAAAGGCCCACAAAAAAGAGUUAAGGUACAUGCAUAUUUUUGUAGCAUCUUGUAAGACUUUUUCGUCGCACAUGUGUAUUUACCCUCUAAGUUUUUUUAGUAUGUAUCAGCACCUAUUAAUAGUGGAAUAUAACCUUUUUGGGUUAAGAUCUAGCGUGAUAUUGAUAGGUUUUGUCUACCAACUUUUUGUUCUAAUUUCUGGGCUUUAUUAAGAGAGUGGGAUAUAUUAGUGGGCUACAACAAAGACAGAGAAACGGAAUUACAUGCAAUCCAAAUGAGGCUUCGGUUAAAACGGGGUACUUUCUUAUUUUAAUUUAUUUUCUAUUUCUCGUGUCAGAGAACCCGUUGGAUUCCGGUAAAAAAACGGAAGGAUGGUUUUCUCAAGUAUUUUUAAUGAUGGAUGGCUUGCAAAAUUAAUCUUUUAGAACACUUGCUAUAUUAAGUGAAACAUAAAAAAGAAAAGUAGCACAUUUGCUCGCUGGAUUUAUUAAACGUAUUGGCUAUGACAUCAUCCAUUAUACCAUACCUUGCAAUUUUUGUGCAGGUCGGAUGCAAAAAGAACGUCUUAUGGUCCUCCGAUUUGCAUGUAAAUAGGGACCCUAGCUGACCACGUGACAUGACCAGCUCCCGCCGUGCUGUAACAAAACGUAUACAUAUGUAUCUCUUUCCUUCUCUGCGUGGUCAAACUAUUCCUUCUUUCUUUUGACAGAUCGAGCUGGACUCUUCUUAAUCCUUGAUCGGCUCAUGUGUUGCAAUACCAACGUAAGCCUAUGUGUCUGAUUGUGCCCGAUUCUUUUUUUUCUAGAAAGGCAUAUGAGUUAGACCAAAGACGUGUUGGACUAUUUCUAUGUGACGUGCCAAAUUGUUUGUACUUGAUAUAUUUGUAUGUAACAUUACAUCUUCUAAAUCUCAACCGUCUAUAUCUAAAAUUAACGGUUGAGGUAAUUUAAUCUGUGUGGACGAACGUGGUGGCUUAUUUGUCUUCUAUAUUAUGUAUAUAAUAGAUAUUUCGCUACGUAUAUAAUGCAUGCAACCUACUACUCAAAUGAACGUUUUAGUGCAUUCCAAACGUAUAUACUACCGCUUCAAUAUGAACUAAAUUUGAAUAAGAUCUACAGUAAUGAUUGUUGUGAAGUCAAAGCAUUUGAAUUCGUUUCUCUGUUUUAAUAAGAUCUACAAUCAUCAUUAUUGUCAAGUUAAACCAUCGUUUGUGUAUUAUCUUCACAGCACACCACAUGAUCAGUAUCGAGUUACAUAUGAACUAUGUGUACUAUAUGAACUCGAACUAGAUUUUUUGAAUCCACUUUAUUUUGAUUUCAAAUCACAUUACAUUUCUAGCUCUAGCUAGAUCUUCAUAAUCUAAACCAUGUCUCAUAUGUAUAAUGUGUUUAUCACAUUAUGUAUGGUGCCCCGCCCCCUACGCCUACAAGUAUUUAGAUGUGAGUUGCAAACACCACACAUUACCACAAAUUCAAAUAAAAUGUGAGAAUGUUCGAUAUAUAGUAUUGUUUAGAUUGCUCGAUAUUUAGUUGUAAGCUGCAAACACCGCACAUUAUCACAAAUUCAAAUAAAAUGUGAGAUUGUUUGAUGUAUAGUAUGGUUUAGAUUGUUCGGCAUUUAGCUGUGAGUUGCAAACGCCAUGCAUUAUCACAUUAUGAUAUAACAUGUGCACAGCACGUGUAUCACCGCUAUAUUCAUGCAUGCAAUGUUUAAAACACUAUGAUCUCCUAUUCAAAUAUAUGAAUCCGCUUUCAUAUCAAAUUAUGAUCUUUGUUAGUCUCUUACACCCACACAGUCCUCNNNNNNNNNNNNNNNNNNNNNNNNNNNNNNNNNNNNNNNNNNNNNNNNNNNNNNNNNNNNNNNNNNNNNNNNNNNNNNNNNNNNNNNNNNNNNNNNNNNNNNNNNNNNNNNNNNNNNNNNNNNNNNNNNNNNNNNNNNNNNNNNNNNNNNNNNNNNNNNNNNNNNNNNNNNNNNNNNNNNCCGGGCACAUUCAUUUUUUCCUUUAGGUCGUUCUCCCAGAGUCUCCACAACUCCUUUCCGACACACACGAUCGAUAAACCUCUCCAGCGAUGCCUGCCUACAGCAUACACACACAACUUCAAUCUCCUCCUUUAUGUGUCCUUGCCUCGUGUCUCUCAUAUGGUCAAACACAUGUGUAAACUCUCACCCCUCUUUUAAUCGAUCUCACAACCGCACACUCCUCCCCCUAUCCAACUAGUAGUUGGGCCUCUCGCACCACCUCCUAGCUCCAUUCUCUCUGUCUAUCCGUCUCGCUGGGCCUUAUUUGCCUCUAACAAAUGGAUGUACACCGAUCGAUCUCUCACUAUACAUAUAACCAGCUAGGUCCUUAUAACUUGUUUUUACCCACACAUCGAUCGAUCUACCUCAUUAGUUGUGUCUCUCCCUUCCUCCGACAAACAACAAUUGAUUCUACCGAUCUAGUUAGGUUUGCUUACCAAACACAUGGUUCCCCUUCAUCAUCCAUGGAUGCGUCCCGACAGAUCUAUCACGCACAGGCACACACAGAAACACAUCCCCACUCUUAUUGAUAACAUUGCAGUUCCACCCACGGUUUGUCUAGUAGGCCUCUCCCAACAUCUCCGAGAAGCAACUCCAUGACCCAUCCAGCACUCUACCCCUCUCCCUCCCUCUCCCUCCCUCUCUCUCUCCUCUCUCUCUCCCCUCUCUCUCUCUCUCUCUCUGUCCCAUUAUAUUUCCCGUCCUUCAGUUAUGUAUGGAUGUCGACCGAUCUCCCUCAUGACAUAGUUGGGUCUCUCCUUCUCAACACAUAUACGAGUCGUUCUACCUCUAUAGUUNNNNNNNNNNNNNNNNNNNNNNNNNNNNNNNNNNNNNNNNNNNNNNNNNNNNNNNNNNNNNNNNNNNNNNNNNNNNNNNNNNNNNNNNNNNNNNNNNNNNNNNNNNNNNNNNNNNNNNNNNNNNNNNNNNNNNNNNNNNNNNNNNNNNNNNNNNNNNNNNNNNNNNNNNNNNNNNNNNNNNNNNNNNNNNNNNNNNNNNNNNNNNNNNNNNNNNNNNNNNNNNNNNNUCUAGUCAUGUCUUCCUGCCACACACAAACUUGACAUGUGCCCUCUAAUGUUCCGGUAGGCCAGUCGCCCUAUAUCUCUGACUUGCACACACACACGCAAUUUCGAUGGCUCUCUUCAUCGAUCUCGCACCCAUACUUGAUCCUCUCUUCGACUCUAUCGAUAGCUAUGACCCCUUCCUCUCUUCUCGUGGAUUGCCCGACCCUCUAUGUAUGAUAUGGAUAGGCCUCCAUUUCAGACACAUUGCAUGCAAAAUUUUGUUUGAGAUGUCAUCGACACAUAUUCCCACAAAUAAUUCACGAAAUGAACCCCCCACCCCACCCCCAGCCCCCACCACAAAACAAAAAACACUCAUGAACGCGGUUUGUAUCUCUCACACACACCCACGUAGGUGGGGGACGUGCACGAAGAGAAGAGGUGCAUGCACGGCGCACGUACUCCCGUCUUUUUCCCAACCACACUCGCGCGGGUACACGGUGGAGCUCAUUUCUGUACGAAAAAGGCAGCCCACGUGGUAAUUUGGCACGUGUACUAGUUGUCCACUUGGUGGAGGGAGGAUCGUCUACCACGGGUGAACAAACAAAUUGCGACUUGACGCGUUAUGUUAAAUUAAAAAAAAGAGGCAAACCAUGUGGGGCCUACCUUAGAGGCAAGGCUCUAUACACUGGAGUACUUUUGAUGUGUCCCGUCAACUCGCAGAAUGAGGAGAAGCUUGCUUAGUACGCCGUCUCCCCCGCCCAUGGGCGCGGUGUCUCACAGGAUGAGGUGAAGCUUGCUCCUCCCUCGCCCAUGCGCGCGGUGGCUCGCAGGACGAGGAGAAAAAUUUACUACUCCCUUCGUUUACUCCUCCCCUACUACCUUGGUUAUAGAGAUUAUAUCAUAUUGUUUGGAAUAUAUAUGUCCUUAGUAGAUUUCAAUAUGAACUACUAGUACAUACUCCAAACACUGAUGUAUAUAGACGUAUUGUGUACAUUCACUCAUUUUCCUCCGUAUGUAGUAGCACUCUCCCUCGCCCCUCGACCCUCGCCCACGUGGUGGACGUGCAGCAAUUCAUUAAGUCUCAUAUAGCCAGAACGAUGUAUACUGCACUACCAUUAUUGCUCGACUUACCGAAGAGGCGAAGAGCCAAUCGCAAGGUUAAUAUUUUGGAGAUGCCAAGCGCAAGGUUAUAGGAGAACGAGUAGUAGGUGCCGCGACAUUUAUAAAUAUUUUUUUUCAGUGGCACGUAUGCAAUAUGAUAGGUUCAUAUGGAGAGAAAAGGAAACCGCUCCACUAUAUACAUAGUCAGGACGGGCCAGCCUACACGGUUGCUUGCUGGGGUUGCUCUCUUCACACUUUCUCGCACAAAACGACUGUGGCCACAUCUCUAACAUCCUGGCGGAUCACGUCCGCUUGGGGAAGGGGUGGAUGCUUAGUGUAGAUGCGGUGUCCGUCGCCGACGGUGAAAACCCACUGUCGGCAUGUCCUGAUCAGGGGUCCCCGCCCUUCUCUCUCACAAAGCCGGUGAGGUUGCCUUCGUCCCUUGCUCACUGCCGCGACGUGGGCAGUUGCCGCCUCCCGCCGCCCUCCUCAAGGUCGAGCUACGUCCCUCAGGUACAACUUCCUUUACAGCCGGCUUGCACCACUGCUCCAGCUGCCCACAUCACCCCCUGUGGAUAUUUCUCUACUUCUUUGCCCCGCACAUACCUGAUACCUCUACUAGCUUCUACGUACUGUAUUUGUGAUGAGUUUAUGUCUCAUCAACUAGUCCUAGUAAUCUUAUUCUAAUCACGCUUAUUCAAUUUCUUUGCCACAGGGAUGCUCAUCUCGAUUUUGGUGAAACUGCACAAAAUGAUCCAAUGGUCAAAAGGUUGCAAACUUCAUUUAUUAGGAAGCUCGAACGUUGCCAGCAAAUUGAAGCCUAGUCAGGGUUCACGGUUCAAGGGCUAGGGACUGCAUGGAUCCUUUUUUUCUUUAGCUGCCUCUGUUCCAAAAUAAGUGUCAACUUUAGUAGUAGUACAACUUUGUACUAAAGUUUGCACAAAGUUGAGACACUUAUUUUGGAACGGAGGGAGUACAUAUUUGCUAUGAUCUGUCAAUCAUUGAGAUGCAAUAGCAUGCAUGUUAGUCUCCUUUGUAUUUGAUGAAAUGUUGCAACGGGCAACCUUGGACGCAAGAUACAUGUAACAGGAGCUGGAAGCUUCAUAGCAUUGUACAAAUUUAUCUCGCUGAUAAAUUACAGUACGUACUAGUACUAUACUAGUACUUCCUCCUUUCCUAAAUAUAAGUCUUUGUAGAGAUUUCACCAUUAACCACAUGCGGAUGUAUAUAGAUGCAUUUUAAGUGUAGAUUCAUUCAUUUUGUUCCGUAUGUAGUUCACCUAGUGGAAUCUCUACAAAGACUUAUAGAAGUGCCAUGCAUGGUUAUACUUAUGUUAUCUCGCAAUUGAUUCUUCACAGGAAACUACCAUGCCAUGCAUGUUAUGUAAUCAUGUUCUGUCCUCACAAACAAAUUCUUCAAGGUAACAGACAGACCAUGCAUUGUUAUAUACUCGUGUUCUAUGGGCAAAAUUUUUGUGAGGAUAUUAUUCUAGCCAUUGAUUGCUGAAGGGAGAAUAUAGGUAAGUACACAUGGUAAGCAUUAGAGGAUUUCACUACUUCCAAAUAUAGAGUUCUCCAUAUGCACAUUUACUUCCCUAAUGUAUGGUUAGAUGAAACCAACAGUGUGGUGCAUGCUUCUACAUCAUGAAAAUGAGGAAACUAACAUGGUCAUUGAUACACACUCAUAUUUAGUAGUAGUAUAUAUAUUACUAUAAAACAAGGAGGAUAUCCAUAUAUUCCUAACCGUUUGAUUAUUUGGGGUACAAAUUGGCUGUAAUGACAUGGUCACAAUCGCAUGAAUUAACUCAUUCCAAAUAUAGCUGAUUUACGGCGUCUCUAAUACAUUGCCAUAGUUCUACUCAAAUUCUGCUCAAACAAGGAUAUGCCAAUCAUCACAAAAAGUUCAAACAGUGUCAUGGCGUCAUCAUUAACAUGAGACAGAAACAACUUACACGCGCCGUCCCAGCAAUACGUGGUGCCAUCUGCUUUGUCGAUCGCGUAGAUGAUGCCAUUGUGUUCAAUAGCAUCAUAGAAGUGUGUAUCAGCUUUGACGAUGAUCCACUACGAACUGAGUUGUCUCCAGCUAAAGAAGGCACCGGCGCCGUGGUCGAACAAGGCAAUUAGCUUGAAGUCUACGUAAUUCGCAUGUCGUGUGGGCACUUGGCAGAUUACACUCUUCUGCAAAACAAGGUCUAUCCAACUGACGUGGUAAUCUAGAUGACUUGGACCGCAAUGGUAAAACUCUAUAUAAUCCAACAGAGGAAGGAUAAUCUCAUGGGAGGUCUAGAAGUUCAUGAGAACCAACUUUUUACCGUCUUCUCUGAAGGCAGGCAUCCAGUGGGAGUUCACGCCGACCCAGUACAUACCUGCCAAGAAGUUUCGGGCGAUGGUGAUCGGAUCGAAGUCGAGGGAAAUGAUGUACGGCGACCCACUACAUACCUGCAAAGAAGUUUCGGCUAAUGGAGAUCGGAUUGAAAUCGAGGGGCAUCGUAUAUGCCUCCGUAUCAUGGUGAGCAAAUCUCACAAGACUAGAUAGCAGCAAGCAGGGUUGUAACACCCCGAAUGUAUCUUUCCAUAUUUGUAACUCCAACUCUUGCCAUUUUCGGCUAUGUGUUGUGGUAUUCCCUCCGUGGUUGGGUUUUUGUAUUUUGUUUUGCAUUUUGUUCAUGUCAUGCAUCUCAUAUCAUCUCAUCAUGUGCAUCUCAUUGGCAUACGUGUUCGUCUCAUGCAUCCGAGCAUUUUCUCCGUUGCCCGUUUUGCAAUCCGACACUCCCACAUGCACCGGCGCACCCCUCUUGUCUCUUUUCGUGAGCGGGUGUUAAACAUUCUCGAAAUGGACCGAGGCUUGCCAAGUGGCCUUGGUAUAGCACCGGUAGACCGCCUGUCAAGUUUCGUGCCAUUUGGAGGUCAUUUGAUACUCCAACGGUUAACCGAGUAUCCACAAAGGCCUCUUUUGGGUUGCAGCCCAACACCCCUCCAAAACAGCCCAAUAACCCAUGUAAGUCACUCCCAUGCUCUCCGUCGUUAGAUCACGGUCGUGUGGGCGAAAACUACACCCCAUUUGGAGUCUCCUAGCUCCCUUUACAUAUAAAUAUGUCCUCCCCUCCGAAUUUCCGGGACCCGAAACCCUAGCCCCGCUCCCUCCGUGCGCUGGAAGUGUCCGUCCCGGGACGAACAUCCGCGCCGCCGCCGCCCGGUGAACCAGGGCGCGCCACGUGGCACCCGGCCACCGCGCGCCNNNNNNNNNNNNNNNNNNNNNNNNNNNNNNNNNNNNNNNNNNNNNNNNNNNNNNNNNNNNNNNNNNNNNNNNNNNNNNNNNNNNNNNNNNNNNNNNNNNNNNNNNNNNNNNNNNNNNNNNNNNNNNNNNNNNNNNNNNNNNNNNNNNNNNNNNNNNNNNNNNNNNNNNNNNNNNNNNNNNNNNNNNNNNNNNNNNNNNNNNNNNNNNNNNNNNNNNNNNNNNNNNNNNNNNNNNNNNNNNNNNNNNNNNNNNNNNNNNNNNNNNNNNNNNNNNNNNNNNNNNNNNNNNNNNNNNNNNNNNNNNNNNNNNNNNNNNNNNNNNNNNNNNNNNNNNNNNNNNNNNNNNNNNNNNNNNNNNNNNNNNNNNNNNNNNNNNNNNNNNNNNNNNNNNNNNNNNNNNNNNNNNNNNNNNNNNNNNNNNNNNNNNNNNNNNNNNNNNNNNNNNNNNNNNNNNNNNNNNNNNNNNNNNNNNNNNNNCGCCGCCGCCCCGCGCCUUCGGCCCCGCCGGAGUUCCGCCCUCCGCCGCCCGGCGCCGGAUCCGGCCGGCCCAUCUCCUCUCCGGUUGUCUCCGACCCAACUCCGGCGAGCUCUGGCCCCACCUCGGUUCGCGUGCCGGACGAACCCUAGAUCUGGAAGAGGUUGACCUUGUUUUUCUCCAAGUCUGCAGUAUUUGUAUGCCAUAUUCAUCGCAUCAUAUCUCUGCAUCCGUAGCUCUGUUUCAUGCGCACGAUAUAUCAAAAUGUUCACCACGAUGUGCUCUUCAUUUUGUUCCAUUGGGCCAUGUUCAUUUGAGGUCAUCUCGAUGCCCAAAACUCUGAUGCAAGAGUGCUAUAUAAUGUUAGUUUCUGAUUCUUAACAGAUUAUGGGCAUUUGUCAUUUUUGCUACAUUUAAUGUGUGUAUCUUAUGGGCAUGAGCUCUACAUGUGUUUUGGACUAUGCCAUGUCUUCUUUACAGAUGUGCUUGCCAUGUAUUUUUGUGAUUGAUGUGGUGACUAGAACAAGCAUGCAAACUAGGCUUUGUGAUGUUGCCGAUUUCAGUCCCUGUUCUGCUGUUAUUUUUAUGCCAUGUAAACUUGAUGCUACAGAGAGAUCCAUGCAUAUUUUGAGAUACUUCGGUAAGGAUGUUUUGAAUAUAUGGUUAUGUUCUAUCCAUUAAUGCCCCUUUUUGCAAUUAUGGAGUAGCCUAGCAUGUAAUUUUCUUGAUCUACUUUUGCUAUAAAAUGUUUCCUGGCAGAUUGUUUACAUGUUAUUCAAUUUUGCCAAGGUUGUUGUAGUCGAUCCUUGCAUGCUAUAAACUUGUUCUUGCCAUGUUUAGUUUCAUAAACAUGUAUUCUUGCUGGUGCUAUGCUUAUCUUGUCAUGCAAUGACAUGUGGUGAGUAAAUAGAGCUCGCAAAGAUGCCUUCAUAAUGUUGUUAAUGCCAUGCUCUGUUUCCUGAAUCUGUUAACGAAACUUCUAUGUUUACAUGGGUGCCAUCAUAUCUUCUGGUCCUUUUUGGCUCAUGGUCAGUAAAGGACUUUUGUUCUAUGCUUCUAGAAGUAUCAUGCCAUGCCUUAAGUUUCUAUGAUAAGUUCCUAUAGCAUGUCUAUUGCUUGCUCUGAACAUUGCUUCCUGAUGUUGUUUGUGCCGUGUUAAUAUUUUUUUCACCGUGUCUGUGCUGCUGUUAUCUUUUGCACUUUUGCCAUGGUUGUUUGAACCUGUUAAUGUGUGAAUUAGCCGUAGCUUAGUGUACAUAUUUUGUCAAGCAUCUCUUGUAGAUCACUGGCAUGUGCUUUGUUGAUAUGUUCGGGUGUUGUAGCAUAGUUUCUUGAUGUAUUCUAAGUGCUAUAAUGCUGUUAAUCGCAGAAUUGCGUCAUUCUUGUUUUGCUUGCCAUUUGCAAACCGUGCAUCCGAUUCCAGUGAUAUUUAUAUCGAUUUCAACCGAAAUCAUCUCAUAUUUCCAGUGGCAUACUUGGUUUGUUAAGUUGAUGCCUUGUUCAUCAUUUUCCUUCUGGAGCACACAUACGCAUUACAUAUCACAUCUCGCAUAUCAUGCCAUGUAUUGCAUCAUGUUGCUUGUGCAUUGCACCGUGAUUUAUUGUGGUUCCAUUGCUUGUGUUGUUGCUUUGGGUAGAGCCGGGAGACGAGUAUGUGAACGAGGAACCUGUUGAGUACGCUAACGAGGAUCAAGCUUUCGACAACUCUGAGAACCUUGCAAGCAAGAUGACCAUACCCUCGAUAUCACUUCUAUCUUUGCUUUGCUAGUUGCUCGCUCUAUCGCUAUGUUAGCUCUACCUACCACUUGUUUAUCAUGCCUCCCAUAUUGCCAUGUCAAGCCUCUAACCAUCCUUUCCUAGCAAACCGUUGUUUGGCUAUGUCACCGCUUUUGCUCAGCCCCUCUUAUAGCGUUGCUAGUUGCAGGUGAAGAUGAAGAUUGUUCCUUGUUGGAACAUGGAUAUUUUGGGAUAUCACAAUAUCUCUUGUUUAUUUAAUGCACCUAUAUACUUGGUAAAGGGUGGAAGGCUCGGCCUUAUGCCUGGUGUUUUGUUCCACUCUUGCCACCCUAGUUUCUGUCAUACCGGUGUUAUGUUCCUUGAUUUUGUGUUCCUUACGCGGUUGGGUGAUUUAUGGGACCCCCUUGACAGUUUGCUUUGAAUAAAACUCCUUCAGCAAGGCCCAACCUUGGUUUUACCAUUUGUCACCUAAGCCUUUUUUCCCUUGGGUUUUCGCGAGCCCGAGGGUCAUCUUUAUUUACCCCCCCCCCCCGGGCCAGUGCUCCUCUGAGUGCUGGUCCAAACUAGAGCCCUUUGCAGCGCCCCCUCAAGGAAACUUGAGGUCUGGUUUUAGUUGUACGGAUUGCUCAUCCGUUGUGCCCUGAGAACGAGAUAUGUGCAGCUCCUAUCGGGAUUUGUCGGCACAGUCGGGUGGUCUUGCUGGUCUUGUUUUACCAUUGUCGAAAUGUCUUGCAAACCGGGAUUCCGAGACUGAUCGGUCUUCUCGGGAGAAGGUAUAUCCUUCGUUGACCGUGAGAGCUUGUGAUGGGCUAAGUUGGGACACCCCUGCAGGGUUUUAUCUUUCGAAAGCCGUGCCCACGGUUAUGAGGCAGAUGGGAAUUUGUUAACGUCCGGUUGUAGAGAACUUGACACUUGACUUAAUUAAAAUGCAUCAACCGUGUGUGUAGCCGUGAUGGUCUCUUCUCGGCGGAGUCCGGGAAGUGAACACGGUUUGGGUUAUGUAUGAACGUAAGUAGUUUCAGAAUCACUUCUUGAUCACUUCUAGCUUCUCGACCGUUGCGUUGCUUCUCUUCUCGCUCUUACUUGCGUAGGUUAGCCACCAUAUAUGCUUAGUGCUUGCUGCAGCUCCACCAUAUUACCCCUUUCCUACCUACAAGCUUAAAUAGUCUUGAUCUCGCGGGUGUGAGAUUGCUGAGUCCCCGUGACUCACAGAUUCUACCAAAACAGAUGCAAGUGCCGAGGAUACCAGUGCAAGUGGCGCAAUCGAGCUCAAGUGGGAGUUUUACGAGGACCUUGGUCUUUACUAUGUUUCGUUUCCAGAUGAUCAGUAGUGGAGCCCAGUUGGGACGAUCGGGGAUCUAGCUUUUGGGGUUAUCUUCUUUUCAUUUGAAUUUGACCAUAGCCGAUCUAUGAGUGUAUCUUAAAUGAUGUAUGGAUUAAUUUAUGUAUUGUGUGAAGUGGUGAUUGUAAGCCAACUCUCUUUAUCCCAUUCUUGUUCAUUACAUGGGAUGGUGCAAAGAUGACCCUUCUUGCGACAAAACCACCAUGCGGUUAUGCCUCUAAGUCGUGCUUCGACACGUGGGAGAUAUAGCCGCAUCGUGGGCGUUACAAGGGUGUCUUGAAAAGCUUAGGCCUCGCCUUUGACGAUGGAUGUGUGCAUGUCCCUCCAGCAUGCAGCCAGCUGCAGGGCGCUCAACAUAUCCAUACACGAACAAUAGAGGUCGAGGAUGUCACUGGGGAGAUUGCUCCAAUCGCGGCUCAUAUGGAUGCUAUGCGGUUCGCGUUCGGCCAUGGUGGAGUUUGGAGGGUGGGGGUUUUGGGGGACUUGAUUGAAGGGGGAGAAGGCUGUCGGUGCUGGAGCGGCUAGCGAGGGAAUAGUGGUACUGGAGGAGGCGAGCGAGGUGAAGUACACGGGGGCAUAGUGAGAUGGGGACGGAGAUGGAGAUGGAGUGGUGCUAUGGGAGAGAAGAGGGAGAUGAGGCGACGCAUGCUAAUGUGCUAUACAGCGGUGGUGACAAGCUGCACAGUGCACAGGGUGAGGCUAACUUUGGUAACCAAACACGCCGCCCGGACUAGUGUCAGGCGCAGGGUGUUGUCACUUCACUGUGAGGACCGGAUGAAUAGUAUUUUGACCAUCAAGUGUACCACAAUUGUACUACUACUAGUAGUUGGAACAUGAGUACUCCAGUAUUGUAUAGCGGAAAUAGGUCUCCCGUGCUAGCAUGCCUGUUCACUUCAUCCUCCAGGUAUCAUCCAUAUUGCGAGCAAAACCAAAUUGUCGUGCAUGCGGAAGCGCGAAGAUGGGACUUUUCUUUUUUGAGGAUAACCGUGUAUUCCUUAACCAGAGAAUGUUGUGUCUCCCACGCAUGCUCCAAUAUCCAUCUGAACCAGCUACGACAUAUUUUUUUUAUCUGUUUGCAUAGGUCCCACCUAUCAGGAAGGAUGGUCACAUACACGAACAGGUACGACUCCUCAGUCUACCCGCAUAACCUUUUCGUUUAGUCUACCUAGACGGCUAAUCAACUGCCUGCACGCCACUUCUCCCAUUUACUUCUCCAUCGGGAACCGAUUUUCCUCGGCUUCUUCACCUCCCCUUUGUCUUCAUUUGCAUCCAAACCCCACUGAGUUCACAUUGUUUUAACCUCUUCACAUACUCCUGGAGUAAUUCCUAAGCCCCUUUAAAUAAUCAUCUACUUCAGUUAGACUAGCCAUCUAAUCCUAAUUCUCCAAACCUUAUCCCUCCGUUCCAGUGGUUCCAAAUGGCGAAAGAGAUCGAGAUGCAGGUUUUUAGCAUCCAACAUGUCCUCGUGGAAGGCUCGUUGAGCAUAUUUGCCGCCGUCACCAUCCACCCAAGGGUUGUUCCGAAGUGGAUCAACAAUGUAUCCAACUCCCUCAAAAAGGUAGAGAUGAGGGUCAUCGGUCUCGACGUAGAGUAUACGGAGUGUGCCACUGGGAAGAUCCAACGCGCCGCCGUCCUUCAGCUGUGCCUCGAAGAUGAUGUUUUGGUGUACCACAUCAUACACGUGCCCUCCAUACCAGGUGAGCUUCAUGAUUUCUUGUCUCGGGAGGACAUAUACUUCUGUGGGGAAGCCUUCGAAGGGGACAAACAGAAGCUGGCGCCGUACAACCUUGAUUUGAAAAGCAUCGCUAACCUACAAACCAGAAUCAAAAUUCAUGUAGAAGAUUGUGAUAAACAGACACCAUCCCUAUUCGACGUAGCAAAUUUUGUGCUCGGUACAAAUGUUCAGAAGGGUGACGAGACGCUGGCAUUAAGGUCGUCUGGAUAUGAGAAUUAUCCCUUGACAUACGAGCAGAUAAAAUAUGCUGCCCUCGAUGCCCGUGUGAGUUUUGAGAUAGCUGCAGGGUCCAAAGAGCUUGUUGCGAAGCCGUCUCCCAUAGAAAAUGAGAAGAAGAAGAAGAAGAAGAAGAAGAAGAAGAAGAAGAAGAAGAAGAAGAAGAAGAAGAAGAAGAAGAAGAAGAAGAAGAAGAAGAAGAAGAAGAAGAAGAAGAAGAAGAAGAAGAAGAAGAAGAAGAAGAAGAAGAAGAAGCUACACCUUCCCUCUCGGUGUAUAUUGAUAUAGAUGGACUAUUUUGAUGGUGUGCAUGUCUUUCGAACAAGUAGUAGUGUGGGUCCGCUUGACUAUAAGGAACUAUUUAUCCGCCUAGCUUUCUCUACUACUCCUUCCAGUGAUCGGUAUGCAAUGCAUGUGUCCGUAGACAAGACAACUUGUCCAUGUAAGUUCAACUACGACGACCAUCACAUUUCGUCCACUGCCACUCGCGAUUCCCACAAUGCCGCUCCAACCCACGGCACCAUGUCCCCCGACGUACGCCUCACCCCUAUCGGUCGCACUGCCCCUCUGUCUUUGUGUGCAUGACAUGUGGGCCACCUUAAAUGCGGCUAGCAUCAAGUUUCUACCAUAGCCACACGCGAUUCCCACGAUGCUGCUCGAACCCAUGACACCACACGUCCCCCGACCUGCGGCUCACCCCUCUCGGCCCCACUACCCCUCUGCCUUCGGGAGCAUUACAUGUGGACCAGCCACCUACCGGAUCCACAUGUUAUUGACUCAAAGGCAGGUGUAGUAAGGCACUGAAGCUCAGUCCCGAGGGCCCUGAGAGGGAAAUGUAACUCCUACACCAGGCCUUUUGGUGCUACCGCUGCAUGAACUCAUGCCAAACUCGAGAUUUGUUUCUUUACUAUACAUGCACACAACGAUUUAAUGGACAUUGUAAUCUCAACAUGUGAUGGGGAGCUCUAAAUUGGAAUUUGAAACUUAUAAAACAAAAGGAUCAGAUAAACUGGGAGAGAGGGAUUAUACUGUAGGAUGUGUCCCAUACGAAACAAGUCCCCUGGUUUCUCACCGUAAAGAUGCGGUUAGAAAGGAGCACAACAUCUUUGUACUCGUACGGCAACAAAUCGGCCGCAGACAGCAUGGUCCACCUUUGACCGCCAUGUGCAAGGUUCAUGUUAUCUUCUUCAAUCUCACCGUGGUUCCAUCGUACCAAGUCAUGCAGUGGCCUGUUGCAUGGAUGAUCCCAAUGUUGGACAAAUGUUCUACGGGAACGAUGUCACCGUUGUAAAUGUUGUGCAAAUUGAUGUUGGUACCCUCCCAUACAUAUGCAAGCCAAUCUCCACUCGCACCGAGCCUAACCUGUGAAACAGUGGGCAGGGGGAGAAUUAGGAAAUGGACACGGAAGUAGUCUUUAAAAUGCAUUUACUAUGUAAUCAAACUCAUCUAACCCUCGCUUCUUGCCUUCCGUGCUAUAGCUAGAUCUUCCCCUCAUUUCUGUUUUCCAACCCGGCGGCGGGCGGGGUGCGGCUUGCCAAUAGUCGGUUUGCUCAACGGCGGUCCCACAUGAAAGUGAAAAUGGUAGGCAACACGCCUUCCCUAAGCUAUGUGUCGUGCCGGACGGGCCGUGGAGUACUCCCGAUUCUCGGGCGUGUGGGGGUGCUACGCAAAUGCGGCAAGCCUUUUCCUUUUACUAGCAAUGUGCCCGUGCAUUGCGACGGAUCCAAAGUAGUAGAAUAGUAGUACUUGUUCACAAACUUGAAAGAAAUCACUCUUGUUUUGAUAUACUCCUAAUAUAUUACUUUUCACUCAAAAUAUAUUUCUCAAGCUGUUUUGAUGAGGUGAGGGGGGGAUGUGGUUGCUUUCAAGAUAAUAAGGGGUUUUCUGCAAAUUGGAGCAUAGAAGUGGGCUAUUGUUGAAAAAAUUCCACAACUUACCUCACAGCUGUUAGAUGCAGAUCUAAUGGUCAGAAACUACGGAUGGCAGACACACCACCAUCACCAACUGAGUCUUUUAUAGGAGUAGGAGUAGAGAAACAUGUAUAAAUUGUAACAUUUGAUUCUGCUCCUUGGCAUGAUCUAUAGAUAGAAAUAACGAUUGGAAAUGGUAGGGCGGGGCUAUUUCCGCCAGAUAAGCAGGGUACGUAGUAGCUAGGUUGGUGCAUCGUCGGUUUGGUCACAUGCGGUCCGACAUGUUCUAGUGUUUCUAGCAAGAUGCCCGCGCGUUGCACGAAGUUGAUGGAAAAGGUAAGCACAACUUAUAAAUUGACGGAUGGAGUACUAACUAAAGUGAUGCAUAUAAUUAAGAAAAGGGAUCGCACAUGUCGGUAUUGACUGGAACGAGAAUGCAACAAUACAAUAAUAAUUAAGGCCACGAUGAUGCGAUUGCAGUGGUGGUUACAGGAGGCAAGAAGAAAGAUGCAUCCAUCAACGUACGACCUCCUCCUCCCCAACUUAGUGCGCCAGGCCACCAACCGGCGGCUAAGGAGUGGCGGCUUUUGUGGCGAGGUCAAGGUGCUUCUCAGCAAAGGCAUCCAAGGCUUCUAGCCGGUUGAGGAAGGCCAACAUCGUAGCGUCCUCACUGGCCUUGUAGAUACAUAUGUACAUGGUUUGCUCAUACACGUGGAUGUGUAGGUCGAUGAAUUCUUGUAGGGCGAGGCGCCUCGCAGCGAGCACGACCUCCAGGUGGACAUUCUUCGUGGCAUCGGCGGGUAGUCGUAGGGCCACCAGUGUUUGAAAGAGGUUCUGACCAUGGAGACCGAUUAGGGUGGCAUGCAAUGAGGAGCCCAGACACGCGAGCUGGAGGAGUACGAUGAUGUCGUCCGCGAGCUUCUUGAGGACAGUGAACUUGUUGGUGGUGGCAAAGAUCAUCUGGUCCAACUGAGAGUCGUAGUUGGCGUCGACAGCGGCCAUCCACCAGCCGGUCUCCAACACCGUCUAGAGACGAUCCUCGGCGCCAUACCGCAGGCCGGCGUCGUCGACCAUCUGGCACAGCCGCUGGCCGCUCGCACACAUCGCCGCCAUGGGUCUGGAGUGAGCACUUUUGCGCUUAGUGUAGGUGCUUAGGCAAAUGCUUAGGUGCGUACGAUGUGGUAGAUGCACUGGAAUGGAGGGGCACCUUUAUAUGAGGGCAAACCGCGUUGCAUUCACAUCAUGCAGCCUCUUUUCCCGGUCCUCCUCCCAUUACUUCCCUCAUGUAUUAAUUGAAGGAGGAUGCAUUGGCCGUUCAACAUUUUGGGAACCGCUACUCCCUCCCUUGUCUGCAUUAAAGCCGUAUCGGGAACUGCACCGCCCGCUAUCAAAUCGAAUAGUACUGCCCCGCCCGCUGCACACCCAGUUGAACACGCCUCCUCGCCUAUAUCAAACCCCUUCGUUAAACUCGCAUGCAAACUGAGAAACCUACUCCGGCCACACGUCCGUUCAUGAGCGGGCCAAAAUUAAACGCAACACUGGCCGAGCUCCUCUCGUCCGCCCUCAGUUUAAAUGAGGCCAGACGCUGGCCAAGCUCCUACCGUCCGCCCUCUAUUUAAACGAGGCCAGACAGACAGCGGGCAAGAAUCGCACCCCUCCGCCGCUCCCCCAUCUCCUCCUUCACCAUUUUCUCCAAUCUUUUAAUGGCUUCCGAGGAGCCGUUCUCCGGCAUACUACCUGGCUGGGUGGCCCGCUGAGCCCUCCGGAUAUGGGCGAGGCCGCUCGGUGAUUCACCAACCUUGCUUGGCCCGAUGAAGCCAGUUGCCGCCCCAUGCAGGCGCGUGGUUCAGCAACUCGCCGCUCCAGUUCAGCUCGAUGAGGAGUGGAAGUUGCUCCACGCCGGCACAGCGGCAAGCACGCAGGUACAGGCGUCGUUGCUGCCGCAUCAUACCGCACCACCAGUGUCUGCGGUGGCCGCGCCUCCCAUGUCUAUGGGCGCACCUCCCGUGCCUGCAGCAGCGCCAUGCAGGCAGAGAUAGAAGCCGGGUGCGUGGAUAGCGACGAGCCAGUGGACAGCUUCUUCGUGUCUGCCGCCAUCAUCGAGGAGAAGUAGAACACGGGAGGCCGCCGACACUUGGGUCCCAUGAGGGCCAGCACCAAGGCGACGACUGCGCAUUCAGGUGGUUUCUUUGCUGCUUCGUCUCUUCUGAGGACCUUCGUCGACCCUGCAAGUGUCUGCCGGACAUGAGGAAGAUAAAGGGAUCCGCGAGCGGCCAUUUAGAUUAUGUACUCCCUCUCCAGCUGGCGGGAAAUAUUUGUUCUAAGAAUGGAUAAAUUGUAUGUAUCUAUAACUAAAAUAAGUCUAGAUACAUCCAUUUCUAGGACAAGUAUUUCCGGAAGGAGGGAGUAUUAGUUAUACCAAGAGAGUCGGAUUAGCACCACUUAGUUCAUGUAAACGUAAUGAAAUCCAUCAUGUUUAUAUGAAGAUCCAGCUUUUUAUACGAAAUCCUUCAUACUUAUAUGAAAUCAGUCCGUGUUUGCACGAAUUUCAUCUGGUUGGUUAGAGUUGUGAAAAUGUAUGCCGCUGGCGUUUGAUGUCGUCCUCCGCGGAAGGAAGCGGGAGGAAAUUUGUUGGCUGCCGUUGGAGAUGCUCUUAUGCUGGAAAUAAUAGAGUGACAUCCAAUCCAUUUGAGUUAAUUGCGUGUAUGAUUGUCCCUCUAUAAAAAGUUAAUUGCAUGUACAGUUUACACGUGACUUGCAGGGUGGCUACAGAAAGUUAAAAAGAAACAAGUCCAUCCUUAAUCUUGUAUUUUAAGUACUCUGUGGGUUCCACCAGCAGUACAAUAGUGAAAUAAGUAUAUAUUAAAUAAGUAAUAUAUAGUAUAAAAAUCUAAAGUAAAAGACAGAAUUCGAACUCAUCUCAUCGCGUUGCGAGCAUCCGACGCUAUCCAGUCCAACACAUUUUUGUUGUAGACCAUGUUUGAGAUAUAUGUCCAUGUCUACUCUUAUACUCCAUCCGUUCCUAAAUAUUUGUCUUUUUCAGAUUUCAAAUGGACUACUACAUACGGAUGUGUAUCCAGACAUAUUUUAGAGUGCAGAUUCACUCAUUUUGCUUCUUAUGUAGUCAUUUGUUGAAAUAUCUAAAAAGACAAAUAUUUAUGAACGGAGGGGGUAGAAAACAGAGUUGGUGAUGUUGGUGUGUGUGCCAUCCAGCAAUAUAGGCCGUCGGAUUUAUAUCUAACGGAUAGGAAGGAAACUAUGGCAAUUUUGCAAAAAAUAUACCCACACCCCUCUCCACGUUCGCAAAUAAGGCCUUCCCUCGUUCAUCCUUUUCUCUCACAAGAUAAACUACUCAUACAAAUGCAUCUUGAUGUUCCAUGCAACGCACGGGCAUCUAGCUAGUUUCUUUUAAAAUAGUUACUGCGAUAAUUGGGCUGAAGUGAUAUAUUUUAUGUCUGCCCCGAAUGAUUUCAGAUUCACUAGUGGUAACAAAGAAAAGGUUGCCUUGUUAAUUAACAGAAAACAGGGUGAAAACUAUCACAUGAGGCCGAUAAAAACGAGGCACACUGGGUUCAGCAUCAUCGUCACUACAGAUGUGCGCGUGCGAGAAGUCUACAUAUCGAGGGGCUACUGAGCGAGGCACAGAGACACAAUGUUUGAGAGAGAAACCAAUUGAGAGAUUAUGAUAAUAUCGAGUUGUCACCCUUCUGCUAUCAUUGUUGGGGUGGGGGAGGGGGAGGAGAGAAAGACGUAUCGAGUGUGCGCGGUAGGCAUAGAGGCACAACUAGCGAGUGUGUGUAGUGUGUGUGUUUGAAAGAGGACUAGAUAUAUUACUAUCAAGAUCAAGGUGCCACCCUACUCCUUUGGUAUCCGGUAGUGUGUGUGUGUGUGUGUGUGUGUUUGAGAGAGAAGCCAGUCGAUAGAUUGGUAUCGAGAUCAAGGUGUCACCCUACUCCUUCGGUGUUGGGAAGUGUGUGUGGGGGGGGGCAGUGACACUUACAUAUCUCUACUCUUAUAAAAAACAGAGUUGGUGAUGAUGGUGUUCCUGCCAUCCUGCAAUAUAGGCCAUCCGUUUAUAUCUGACGGAUAGGAAGGAAACUAUGGCAAUUUUGCAAAAAAGAUACCCACACCCCUCUCCACAUUUCCAAAUAAGGCAUUCCCUCGUUCAUCCUUUUCUCCCACAAGAUAAACUACUCAUACAAAUGCAUCUUGAUGUUCCGUGCAAUGCAUGGGCAUCUUGCUAGUAGGGAGAAGGAGUUUGUGUGACACACAUCUAGCUAUAUCAAGGGAUAGGUAGAUAGCAUGUGUGCGAGGCAUACUUAAAGCAUCACGAAGAUAAACAAAUGGUGUGCAUGCAAGUGCUGGAAAAAAUGAAGCGAGAAACAAUGUGUACGCGCGCGCACGCUUGUGUGUGUGUGUGUGUGUGUGUGUGUGUGUGAGAGAGAGAGAGAGAGAGAAAUCUCAAAACAAAAGGUGCUCUGUUGGAAUCCCAUUAUAUGUAUUCAUAUGGUUCCGGAAGUCGAGUUAACCUUAGGCAUAUGUGUGAGAGACAUAAUUAUACUUUGAGACAUUAGUGGCUGUGGGUGGGCGGAAUUAAAGGGGUGGGCGUGUUCGACAGAGAGAGCAUGUGUGUUUCUGUGUGAGAGACUUGUAGGACGGGGUAGAAAGACGAAUUCUAACCUUGACGGAGGGAGAGAAAUACAUGAAGUGUGCGCGUGUGAUUCCGAUACCCACAGGGAAAUGAGAUAUGUAUGGGGUGAGAGAGAUUGCACAAUUCAUUCAUGUAUCACUAUCUAGCGAUCAUGGACGUGCAUCGCUUGAUCAUAAAUCAAUAUCUUCUUCAUACCGUGGCCAAAGGUACAAUAUCGAUUCAAUGCUAUAAAGAUUGGACACUCACAUAUCACAUUUUUUCUAUCUAAAUAAACCUUUUCAGUUGUGCAUACCAAAGUUACAGUGAUGUUUCUUCAAAUAACCAAUUUAGCUAUCAUGUACAUGCACCAUUGUUACUCUUGCAUUCAAAUUCAUUAGUCUUGGAUGAUUUAAGGUUCUAUUAUGAAGUAAUAUAUGUAAUAUUCAUAUAUGAAUUCAACGGGUAUGCAAUUUAUGAAAUGGAGGCUAUGUAAUCAUAUGAGGUAACACUUUUAAGGAGUGGACUACAAUAUACAUUUCUUUUUGUGCGCCUCUACACUAACACGUCAAUGCAUUAUGUUUAAAGUAAAUAACUAAUGGCACUAAAUUAUCUAUUUACACGAGAAUACAUAGGCUGAGUGUUUGAUCCCUUUUUUUGUGAAAGCGCCUCUACACCCGCUCGAUUGGCCGCGCCCGUGUGAACGUCCAAGUUACCGGCGCAUCAUCCUGAGUUAUUGUCUUUUUUCUGGGGUGGACUACACACCAGUUAUUAACUGCUGACGCGUGCCCCGUGAACAUAGUCUCACAUGACCUUCCCGCUAGCACGGUCCAAAAUUAGUUGAAACCAGAUACGAAUGAUCCCGCGGGCGGCAAAAUCUCCUGCCUCCUUCUAAAAUGUCCGCCACCAAGUCUUUAGCAUGCGAAAUUCCCCUUUUGUCCUUGGUACACGGAGACCAACAGUUACAAUACCGCCCUCAUCUACAUAAUAGGUAGGGGCUGCUUUGGUAACUUCUGGUUCCCCCCACCACACGGCACCCCCAUUUCCUCUCCCGAUCCCUCGAAAACAACUAACUCCACAGCACCAGAGCAUCUUACAUCACGCCGUCUGUACUUCAUCGGCCUUUCUACCCCUCCCCUCUCGAAACCCUAGACUGCUCAUCCACCGGCAUACAGAGCCCAUUCACUGCCAGCAACGUCCACCUCGCUGGAUCUGCUUCUGCGGCUGCAUCUACCCCUUCCACCUCCCCUAGAAACAAGUAGACUACUCAUCCACCAUUGUACCACAGCCCAUUCAGUGUCGGCCUUGUCUGUGGCGCCGGAUGUGCUUCGCCAGUACUCUCGUCAACCGCAACACAUCUGCAGCGGCUCAUUCGUACUCCCCACCGGAGACGCUUCGUCCACACCCCCCGGAGCUGCCCCACCGAUGCCCCUGUCGACGGCCUCUGAUCCUCUUUGCCAACACCUUCCUCAAUCCUACCGAAGCCGCUUCGCCGAUACCAUCGUCAACCCUACUAGAGUAGCUUCUCCUAUACCAUUCUCAACCCUACCGGGGCCGCUUUGCCAACUCACAAGUCCACGGCCUCAGAUCCGCUUCCUUGCACCCUCAUCCAACCUACCAGAGCAGCUUUUGACGCCCCAUCCAUGGCCGCAGAUCCGCAUUAUCGACACCAUCCUUAACCCAACCACUGAAGUAGCUUCACCUACGCCCUCAUCCACGGCCACAGAUCCGCUUCGCCCACACCGUAGUCCACCCUACCGGAGCCGCUCCACAAACACCCUACUCGACGAUUCUAGAUCUCCUUACCAGACCCCGACAGCCAGCACAUCAUCAUCACCCUGAUUCCCACCGUCUGGCAAGAUGCCAAGCCCCCGCCACGGCCUAUGUACUUGUCACGUUUAAACCCGUCCAGCAUCACCUGCCCGAUGUACUUCAAAUAUACUAACAGGUCACUGUUACCUGUUAUGCAGCUGGCAAAAACUACAAGGAUGAUGUUUCUUCUGGAUCUAAUAGCUUGGCCAACCAAGAUCCUGGACUGAGGCAUUGCUAUGAUCUUGUAAGUGCGUCUCUCUCUCUUGUAUUGUUCUGUGCCUGCCAGCUUGCUUUGCUAGGAUUUUCGACCAGUAAUUCCUUUGUGCAGACAAUGAUUUCUACUACUGGCUGCUAAAUUAGAUAUGUAGAUGUCAUACAUUAUACUACCUCGUACCUCCGUUCCUAAAUAUAAGUCUUUCUAGAGAUUCCACUAUAGGCUACAUACAGAGCAAAAUGAGUGAAUCUACACUCAAAAAUGCAUCUAUAUACAUCUGUAUGUCGUCCAUACUGGAAUCUCUACAAAGACAUAUAUUUAAGAACAGAGGCAGUACAUUACACAAAAUCGUAGGAGGCAUGUAGGAAUUCCAGUGCACUACAUUAGGCUCCCUUAGAGUGCCUGCUAGUCCAGCACACAGAGUCAUGGCUAGUUUAUGCUACGCACACAAUCAUUAAUUGGUGGUUUAAAUAUGCGCAAGGGAUAUGCAAUGUAUUAUUAUGUAGAGAUGUCAGAAAUUAGCCGUGUCAACUUGUAGAUGGGGUUACACAAUGAAAAAGUACAAGAUGUAUAUGGCAAUUUCAUGGAACAUCGCAAAAAAGGAGAGGCGGCGGUGAGCCUAUACAGUGUGCUAUGGUACGUCACACCUCCAUUGCAAUCAUCGUGACAUGUUAUUUGUAUGUCAGUUCUAUUGGCCAAGUUUCUUAGGGACAGUUAUUAUGAGUUAUCCUAAGAAAAUAAGCACAUGUGAAUAUAAGCUCCAUGUAAUAAGCCAACCAGUUCUUUUCAUUGCCUUCCUUUUGAGCUUAUCUUUGGUAUGAUCAGUGAAAAGUCUAGAUUGCAUUAUAUUUUUUCAUUUUGCUGCCCGUAUGAAAAUUAAUUUGACUUGCAAACAUCACAAAUUGAACCCAGUGCAGUAAUUAAUAUGAUAGGAAAACAAACCAUCACUAUUUGUUCAAAAUCCAAAUACAAAGAUAACAUCUACUUGGCACAAUCUACUUUGGUCAAUGUCUUCCAUAGAAAUCCCAUUGCCUAAUUUAAACGAAGAACGCAUGACCCACAUUUAAAUGAAGAACAAUUAUUUAUUGAAAUUUGAUGGUCCAAGUGGCUGGUUAUUAUCAUAUAGCGGCACCACCUGAAAGCAUCAUAUAGCAGUAGCAGCUCAUAGCAACUCAUCAUACAGCAGCAGCAGCAGUGUGCAAUUCAUCAUAUACCAGCAGCAGCUCAUAGCAAUUCAUCAUAUAGCAGCAACAGGAGCAGCUAAUAGCAAUUCAUCAUAUAGCAGCAGCAGGAGCAGCUCAUAACAAUUCAUCAUAUAGCAGCAGCACGAGCAGCUCAUAGCAAUUCAUCAUAGAGCAGCAGCAGGAGCAGCUCAUAGCAAUUCAUCAUACAGCAGCAGCAGGAGCAGCUUAUAGCAACUCAUCAUAUAGCAGCAGCAGCAUCUCAUAGCAAUUCAUCAUACAGCAGCAGCAGCUCAUAGCAAUUCAUCAUAUAGCAGAACCAGGAGCAGCUCAUAGCAAUGCAUCAUAUAGCAGCAGCAAAAGUAGCUCAUAGCAAUUCAUUGUAUAGUGGAUCAGAAUGGAAAUUUGGCAAAAAAUCAGAGGAGAUCCUCACCUUGUUGGAUGAUCUCAUCCUUCAACAGCACCUCAAGGCCACGUCCUGGGAGGAGGGGAGGGGGAAUAAGGUGCCUUCUACCGCAGUGUGGCAUCAACCGUAGUUGUGCAGCGCCCGCUGGAGUAAUGUGUUGGACGGACCACAGUGGAGCAGCUCCUGGAGACCAUGAGAAUGAGGGGCGGCGCCAGAGGGAGGAGCAGCCAGGGAGAUUUGCCCCUACCCACCGGCCAUGUAGCCUAGCUGGACAGAGCAUCGUCGAGGACCAGGCCAGAUGGGACCAGUGGCGAUGGCUCGCUGGAGGAGCCCUAGUGUUGCAGGCAGGGGAUCGAGGUAGAGGGAAAGUGAAGAGGAGAUGCAAGCGGGCGGGGCAAUGAACGCUUGCGUGUUUGUUUUUACUUGAGGGUCAGGUGUGACGCGGGCGUCAACAGUUGCAUUUUGAGUGUAAUAUAGGCAGACAACAGAGUCAUUUCACUAUUCCCCUUCCCUUCAAUUUUAGUGAGGUUCUACCCGAAACACCCCCUCCAAAGCGAAAGAAGUGAAACCCAAGCCCAUAACUCAAAAAUGACUUCUUUACAUUUUUAUGGCUUAUUUUGACAAUAAGCCCUGAAAAGGCAGAAUCGAACUGCCCCUUAACCUGCAAUCCAAUUAUGCGUGCAAUGAUGAAUCACUCCUGCCUGCUAUAGUGUACAUUUAGGCAUCAUCAUACAUGGCAUAACCUAAUACAUGUGCAUUCCAUUGUAGAAUCUGGAAUAUGCAAUGUUUAUGUUAGUUCAUACGUUGCACAUGAUGUUUAAAUGCCCCUUAAAUGUGGUCAGUCAAGUGAUGGUCUUUAAGCCUCCUUCUUUUCUUGAUAUGUAAGAUUUGCUCACACAUCUGUUCAACUGCUUGUUUGCAUCAGCCAACCAUACUAGGACUGUUUUCUUUGAUUACUUGAUGUUCUUGACCUAACACUCUAACAGAGCUUGUCAAUGAUUUAAACACUAAGGGCUGCUAUAGUGGGGCCUUGUCUAACUCAUAGGUGACAUAAAAGGUUUGGCUGUACACUAAAGUAGGCUCUCCAAGAGUACCUGGAGAUCCAGUUCGAAGGUAUGCCUAGUUUUUACAUAGUGCAGACAUAGUAACUGCUCAUUUCAUUAUGUGCAAGUGCAAGAGAUGCGGCAUGUUUCAUUAUGUGGUGUUGUUUUGUUAUAAUCUCAUCCUUUUGUGUUCACAGACUGGAAAGUAUGCAUAUUUAUCUUCCAAGGAGACGAGUAACUAGUUUGUUUCACCUUGCAGAGGGGGUGCAAUGAAGAUAAGAUUGAGGAUUUCCAAGUACAAGAUGUUAGGAAGGAGCCUUGCAAGAAAAGUAGGAGCUGCGUUGAGCCUCUUCAACCAGUUAAGGUAAGUCACUGUAUCCAACUCAACACUUCAAUUCCUUGUUUGUUUCAGGCAUAGUUAAUUUGCGCUUUUCAAUUGCUUUAUUUGUCCUCGGUUAAUGAGAUGCCCAAACAAUGAUGCCUGAUGUUGGGUACUUGUAUAACUAUGAGUUAGACAUAAUUAAAGGCCAUACCAUUUAAUUACUCUACCAAAGUGUGCCUGAAGCUUUGAAGUAUAUUAACCAACUAUUAUUGCAUGAGGCUCACAAUCUAGUAUAUACUAGGCUAAUGAUUGCAUAGUUUUGCUUGUUGUAGUAGGUUUGUAUGAAUCCCUCUGCCGUUCAUUAUGCUCCCUAAGACUUUAAUUGAGCUACAGAAUGGCCAACUACUUGCUUACUUAUACGCAACGUGCUUUCUAAAUUUGUAACUUGUCUGUGUUUUGGAUUGGGCCCCAACAUGAUGCUCCUCUGGUGAUCUAAGAGACAUUUCUGUAUGCAGGCUGCACAGACUAUCUUUUUAUAAUUUUCAAAAUAUCAUUUGCUUAUGCUUCAUGACGUGCAACAUUAUUGUUAGUCCUGUUUUGCCAUCUACAAAAUAGUCUGUCUUGUUCGCUUCACUGUUGUAACUAUAUUUUUGCCCUAGUCAUGUGUACUUACAGAAACAUUUCAGGAUGAAGUGACAUCAACACAAAGAUCUGCGAGCAGUGCGACAUGGCUGUUACCGAAUGAUUAUGGAUUGAAAUUGGAAUGUGCUGAUGUUCUCGAGCAUCAACUAGAGGUGGCAAGACAACGUGUACAUGAUUCUCAACGUACAAUCAACAAGUUGAGAUUGGACAUGCAAGUAUUAGAUGCAGGAGUAAAAAAAAUGAAAUAAGACACUGAGGUAACCAUGAAGGAAUUGGAGAUUUUGCAGACUAAAAUUUGUGCUAUCUGAAUCCGGUCAAUCCUAUUUUCUGAAGAGAUUAUAGUUCCAAUGGUAAGUUCUGUUGAUGCGUGUCCAUGAUGUAUGAGCUUUAUUUCUCCAAUGUAUGAAAUUUGCUGUUUGUGUAUGCUUUAUUAUCAUUGGUGCCGAACUAUAAUGCCCAGUGGGUAUAUUUGGCUGUAAUUUCUUUAUUUAUAGUGUAGGAUUAUUCUACGUUUCUAUGUCGUCUUUUUGUUGUAUAGUGUAUGUUUUUAGAGGCGAUAGUAUAGAGUAGGAUAUUUCUUGAAUAUGCUAUAUUGUUGAAACGGGGGCCAACACGCCCAAACAUUUCCUGGACGCCAUACAAACGAACAAACAUGUGUUGUCAAAGCGGGCCUUAAUUGGGCUGGUCAAAAUAAUAUUAAGUGGAUCCCAAAUGAUGUGGCCCACCAUAACAACGGCUCUUAGCAGGCCGUCAACAGCCCUAAAGCUUGAUAUGGCCGUACAAAUGGAAAUGGCCCACGGGCCUUUAGUAGGCUAAAAUAAAUGUCAAUUGUGCCUCGGCCCUUUUACUUUACGGGCCAGUAAGAGGCCGAAAGUGUUAUGGGCCAGAGGAGGCCCAAUUUGCAAACUAGGCUUUUAACAGGCUGAAAGUCGCUUUGGGCUGAAAUGAUGCCCUGCAGAACAUGGCCCCCUAAUGGACCUUUGCCCUGCGGAACAUGGGCCCCUAAUGGGCCUAAAGUCAAAGGCCCAACUGUUGUGCGGGCCGUUAACAGGUCGAGGGACAAAAUGAGCUAAAAGUUGGCCCAUUUACCGAAUAGGCCGAGGACGGGCCUAAAGUCACAAUAGGCUAGAAUUGGCCCAACUGCAGAAUGGGCGAGAAAAGGCCGAAAGAUGUUCCGGGCCGUUAACAGGCUGGAACUGACGAUGGGCUGCUAACAGGCCGAAAGAAGCUAGGGCCGCAAUUGGGCCCAAAAACGUAGCGCACCGUUAACGGGCUUAAAGUGACGAUGGGCUGGAAAUUGUAGAAUCUAGAAUGGGCCUUUAAUGGGCCGAUUCUGUGUAACUUGUAUAGGCCGUACUUGUAAAUGGGCCUGACUCAAAUAGGCCGCUAAUGGGCCGGCCCACUUAUUUUGAUAGGCCCGGCCUUUUCACCGGAAUGGGCCUAUGUUGGGCAGUGCCAUGUCUCAACGUAUCAUAGGCGGCUCCUGUCCAAUGAGUGGAUGACAUCUGUCCCAACGGUGAGGCAACACGUGUUUCCUCCGGCCAAUGAGAAUUUUACACGCGGAAAAUCCCCAUUGGUCGUGGCUGUUAGCGGGUUAUCUGAUCCAAAAUCGGACCCGAUAGCUUAACGACGUUCCAUUACGGUGGAUGCCACGUGUCGGUCACCCUUGAUGAAAGCACUUCUAUGACGCGCGAUUUAUCGUCAUGGAAGUUGACACUUCCGUGAUGAUAAUUUUGGUAAUGUCAUGGAACACUUCUACGACAGCCCAUGUAUGACUAUCUUGAUUCUGUCAUAAAAUCGUCAUGGAUGUACAUGCAUGACAAAAAACGUGACCUACUGUGACAAACACGUAUCAUCACAGAAGUGUGUUUUUUUAGUGCAUGCCUACAUUACAUUGAUGAACUGGAGCUAGUUCUGUGUCACCCUAUGUUAUAACUGUUGCAUGAUGAAUUGCAUCCGACAUAAUUAUUCAUCAUUGAUCCAUUGCCUACAAGCUUUUCACAUAUUGAUCUUUGCUUAGUUACUUCUCCAUUGCCACUGUUACGAUUGCCACAAAACUACUAUUGUUACUUUUGCCACCGUUACCGUUACUUCCAUACUACUUUGCUACUAAAUACUUUGCUGCAGAUAUUAAGUCUUUCAGGUGUGGUUGAAUUGACAACUCAUCUGCUAAUACUUGAGAAUAUUCUUUGGCUCCCUUGUGUCGAAUCAAUAAAUUUGGGUUGAAUACUCUACCCUCGAAAACUGUUGCGAUCCCCUAUACUUGUGGGUUAUCAGGCAUCAUUUCCCUUCACGAGCCAUCAUUUUGGCGACGACUCGUCAGGUCUUGUGUUGUACUCCCUCCGUUCCGAAAUAAUUGUCGCUCGGCAAUCCUAGUACAAAUUUCGCAACGCUAUAAUUUUUUCUCACUUUCCAGAUUUACCCUUCCACCUUAUCCGCUCGCUUGCUCGCACCGCUCGCUUGCUCUCGCUCGCUCUCCCUCUCCUCUCCCUCGCCGGCCACCUUAUCCCCUUCCCUCGUCGCCUCCCCCUCGCCGGCCUCUCCUCUCGGUGGCCGGCCACUCCCUUUCCUCGUUGCCGCCUUCCCCCUCUCCUCGUCACCGGACUCUUCCUAUUCCCAUCGCCGGCCUCUUCCACCGCCCCUUUCUCCCCACCACCCAGCCUUCACUCACACCCCGUAGGCAAAAUUGAUUCUUUUUGCGUCGGCGACGAGCUUCUCUGUGACGGAGGCAUGGAUGUGUAGCAGCGCCAGAGCUGGAUAUGGGAUAGGGGGCGUGGAUGUGGAGCGGCGCCCGAGGGGACCUAGAGCGACGGAUCUCACGAGUCGGAGCAACGCCCGAGCGGACCUAGAGUGGCGGCGGAGCAGCAGAGCGGCGGAUCUGACGAGUCGGAGCAGCGCCUGAGCGGACCUAGAGUGGCAGCGGAGCCUCCACGUUGUCGUCGUGCACACGUCGUCGUACAGACCAUUGACUAGGUACGCACACUGCAGAGCUACUCAUACUGUAGAUUCUUCUUACUCAUCACAAGAAAACACUCCCGGGACCUCCUUUCGGUAUUUGCAUCUCAGAGUCCAGACUUGAAAACCAUUCAGAAAUUGCAAAUCAUUCAGUGAGCGGGGGCAUAAUUCAAACACACAUCCACCACUAAAGGUCCUCCUCUUUUCACUUCACCAAUUUGAAUAAAUUCAGUUACCAGCUCCAUCCAGUCCAUCCAGGGGCGGAGCUACAGGGUGGCCAGGGUGGGCCGCGGCCCACCCUGGGAUUUUAGGCCGGCCUGUAUACUAUAUGUUACGAGGAGAUGGGCCACUGGGGAAAAAAGCCCAACAACAGCCUAAUGCACGUCCCGACCCACACGCGGCCACGCCCACGAGCAAACCAGACCUAGUGCCUCUCCCGACUGGCCGUCUCCACUGAUUUCGAUCAGCCGUCAGCUGCCUGCCUCGCUGUCGCGGCUUCGCUGGCCCCUCCCGGCCGCCCGGAGCCACCGCCCUGGUCUGACGCCAACGGGCUGCGGCCUGCCCCGCCCGGCUAGCUGCUGUUCGCGCAGGGGCUCCCAGCUGCCGCAGCUAGUGCCUAGUCUCGGCCGCUCAACCCGUUGCCUUUUUCUGAGAGAGGUAAUCCAUCCGGCCAUUCCCCUGCCCCCAUUGUUGCUCUGAUUUAGACGAAUUUACAUGGAGAUUGACUAGAUAUUUUGUACGAAUUCUGAACUUUUCAGCUGUGGCGCGUGUAGAGCAAACUGCAUUCAGUAGUGGUAUGCUCCUUGGCUCUUCACAUCCAUCCCGCUCCUUGGCAGGUUGGCUUCACUGGAGGCGUGUAGCAGCCACGGUUUCAACCCAAUUUCAAACAAAGAGGCAUAUAUAUCAUAAUUUGGUGUGCUUGCUUCUAGACUUAUUAUUGCUUCAGCCGGCGGCGACGAUAAGUGUUGAUUUUCUACCAUGAGUUUACUCAAGAGCAAGUUUAGAAAAAGACAUAAUUAAGAAUUGCAGUAUGUUUGUAAAACCACAUUCGACCAUAUUGAUCUAUUUAUAAUUCUACAUGGUAUUGGUAAACUAAUUAGAAUGUACACAUGUCAUAUUUGUUCUAUUUUUUUAGGUGGACCACCCUGGUCUAAAAUCCUAGAUCCGCCACUGAGUCCAUCCACCAGUGGAAAAAAGGUUGAUCCACCAUCCUCCAGACUUGUUGGAGGCAAAGUUCCUCUUCCUGAUUUUCUUCUUUAAAAUCUGCUGCAUCAUCAAUUGGCAAAGAAGCAUGGAAAAGAAACUGUUAACAUUAAUUAUCUCUCUUGGAGUAGUUCUUGUGCUACUGAAAGCAGUAGUAGCUACUGUUAUUUUUUUGCACAUGAAGCCUCAGUAAUGCAGUAGCUUAAUUUCGGAAGAAAAUGAAGUAUAGUAUUGUUUUGGUUGCAGUAGUUUUUCAGUAUACCAAAUUUGGUGGUAUUCAGUGCAAUUCUAAUGGGUCUUCUCUUCUUGCUGCUGAAUUCUAAAUUCUGAAUUGUGAAUUCCGUUGACCAGCUCCGCUGGUCGCCGGGCUUCUGGUGAAGAUCUUCAUGUGGGUCCUGGAGAUGCCGGUGGUGGGCUGGGUCCUGCUCUACAUCCUAAAGAAGGACAAUCUCAUCAACAAGGUGCAUGCACUUCACUUGUGAUGAACGCUUCUCUUUUUUUUUUAUGCCCGAGCCUCACAAUUCUAGUAAUUCUCACCUCCACAUGCAUGUGGAUGAUGUUGUUGUUCAGCCGUAAGCACCGAUCAGUACAGUUUCACCAAAACAAUAUCUGGGCACAGUUAUUUUUGACUCUGCUAUGGUGUUUUUACUUUCUGCUGAAUUGCUCUGCUUCUUCUUCUCUGACGCUCUGCUCUGCUCUGUUUGCAGCUUGUCUCCGAAGCUGAGAUCCCCGAGCCGCCACUGUUUACCUCGACCCACCGCUGGGAAGGUUCUCCCUGCUGCACUGCACUCUGACAAACACCAAAUUACUUCCUUAAUCUUGAUUGAUUCUGAUUCAGAAAAACCGUUUGCCGCUGUUGCCGCAAUGCAGACACCCCGGAGCAGAACGUCAGCCUGACGAAGCCCGGCCUGUCGACGGCCGAGCGUGUCCGGGAGGCCAUCGACUGCCUCCCCGCGCGCCAAAUCAGAUUCAGUACUGUUUUAGGCGCAGUAGUUUUUCAGUACUGUUUUGGAGUAGUGGUUGCAAGAUUUAGAGUACAUUUAAGACAAGUAAUCUUGCAUUUUCUUGAUUUGUUUUGCUUCAUGUUCCAGCUGAAAACUGAAUGUACAAUGUUUCUGUAGAUAAUUUGGUUGAAAAGGGACGGCAUGCUGAGGUGUACAAAGGACAGCUUGCUGAUGGACAGUUUGUGGCAGUGAAGGGGUUAACAAAAAUACUUAACCAAGCAUGCUGAGGUGAGAGACCUGAUAUUAUUGAUUAGCGCUUGUACUCCAACUUGUAUUCCAACAUGUUUGGUUUCCUUUUUGUAUUCCAACAUGCAGCAGAAACUGCACAAGAAUGUGCAUACAAACAUGGCAGCAUUUGUAGCCCAGGACCUGUAAUUUUAGUUAGUUAGCUACAGUGUUACCAAUGUUCAGUUUAGUGAGCACAUUUAGUCAAUGGCUGAUGUCAAAGAUUUUAUGCUGUAUUUAGUGAGCACAUUUGUUAACACUAGAUCAGUGUUAACUGAAUUACUCCAUUUAGUGAGCACAGGAGCAUCAAUAGCAAGUGUAGCAAGUGUGCUCCUGCUUGAGUAAACGAACUAAAACUUUUUUAGUUAAUUUUAAUUAACUGAAACUUGUUUUUUAAUUUAAAACUAAAUGAUUUUUCAGUACAUGAACUUGAGUUAACUAACAUUAAAUGAAUUGUAGCAGGAGUACCCUCCUUCUCUUGACUUCUCUUCUCUUAAAAUGAACUUGAGUUAACUAAAAUCAAAUGAAUUGUAGUAGAAGUAGAAGAUAUUAAAAUUCAGCAAAGUGCUUUCAAAAGCACUUAACUGAAUUUUUAUGCACCUAUGUGCAUUAAUAUUCAGCAAAGUGCUUUUGGAAUCACUUAACUGAAUUUUUAUGCCAAGUGCUUUCAAAAGCACUUAACUGACAACAACAAUAACAAAGUUAAAGGAAAGGAAGAUGGUUGUACUCACAACAGUACACCACUGCUCUACACUACAGCUUGCUGCAUCACAGCCCUCUCACACAAUGCCAGAAGAUACAAAGUUAAAAAAAGGUACUCCGGGAUAAUAAUCCAGUAAGUUUCUUCUAGUGUUGAUCUUGCUUUGUCAAUGUUUAUUCCAAUGCUAUGACCACUGUGUUUAUUCCAAUACUGUUAAAAAAAGGUACACCAGAAGAUACAAAGUUAAAAAAAGGUACUCCAAUGCUAUGUUUAUCUGUUGACCACUGUAUUAAAACCUGUAGGAUAUCUAGCCUCAAAUGUUAUGACCAAGACCAACUAACAAAAGCCUGAAACUGAAUCUUGAUACUCCUGCUACGAAUACAAUCAAGCCGAGAAAAUAAAUGUGUUGUCCAUAUGACAUUUCACUAUUUUCAGUUCCAGAAAUACACAUUGAUGGACUAUGUCUAGUGUUUUUGUUUACUGAAUUUCAUUUUGUUGUUUUAUUGUGUCUCCCAUUCUCUUUACCGUGCCUAAUUGGACAUGCUUACUCUUGAUUAUGCUCCGGUUUAGGUCCUGGUUGGUACUGCCAGCAGUCUUGCCGGUCCAAGCAAUCAAGAUCAUCAGCAAGUCAAUAACGGAGACGGUCGAGCACUGUCAUCACACUGAACCUGCAACACCAGUGAGAUGACUGAAGAUUGGGUUGUGGUUGGAAUGAGAGGAGAAGCAAAUCACUUGACCAGUUGAAUCCUUGUGAGUGCAACCCUCUAUUUCAUUCCCACUUUGUUGUUGGCAAAGUGAUUUGUUACUGUAUGAUCAUCUGCUUCUUCAGUGCAACAUUCUUCAAAGUAUGCCAUGAAAACUUCCAAAAGAAAAAAAGUAUGCCAUGAGAAUUUGGUUAUCUGAUUUUUUUCUUCUGUAGGGGUGUACAAGACGGCCGAGCUGUGGCAGGUGAAGGAGCCGCUGCCGCUGCCCGCGCCGAAGAAGCGCAACUACUCCAUGGUGUUCACCCUCAAGGAGAUGGAGGAGGCCACCGGCAUGUUCAGCGACAAGAACCUCAUCGGCAAGGGCGGCUUCGUCCGGGUUUACAGGGGCGUGCUCAAAGAUGGGCAGGUACGUUCAACUUCAGAUGAUGUUGUUGUUUUGUCUCUUGGUACAGUUUUCAGAUUACUGAGUAUGGGCAGAGUCUGAACACUUCGAAAGCAAAUACGUCCCUUAAUUUCAGAAGAUUGUGGUGUUUUUGUCAUUUAGCUUUGUGUUAGCACCAAUGAUUCUGUUUGGAAGAGAACUUCCUCUUUGGUUUGAUACACAUACAUUAUUUAACUGUGAUUUAGAGUUAUGAUUAUUUGAUGUGGCGAACAUAGAAUCCUGCCUGCGCAUUUUGAAGCAAGACUCCUGUGAUUAUUUUGUACCCUGAAUUCAAGUAAAUUAAGUUACCUGUACCAAGUUGAUUAUUUAGUUCGAUGAGUAAUUUUCUGUCCGGAUAUGAUGAGCAGAGCAUAAAAAUGAUUGCUUAUCUGUAUACUGUUGCUGCUGUAGUUUAAAAGGCUCAAGAUCUUCUUCAGUUAAUUAGGAGUGGCAGCACUACUUUCCCUGGUUUUUGAGUCGCUGAUUAGUCGCCGACUAAUCGCCAAGUCGUUUUCCAAAAAUCAGCGCGACUCGCGACUAUACAGCGACUUAGGGCGACUAUACAGCGAUUCGUCAACUAUACAGCGACUUUCGUCGACUAAUCAGUUUUACCAAUGUUCAAUUUUGAGAGGGAGUACUCCAUUUAUUUUGUUUCGCUCAAAUGUUUAUUUUGUUUUCGUGGUACCCCUUUUGUGCCAAUGAAAGAUCUUCCUGUCAGAGAGGGCUUAAGGAUCUUCCUGUCAGAGGAGUACAUUAUUUUGUUUGACAGGAGUAUUUCAAGAUCAGUACAUUAUUUUAUUUGACAGGAGGGCUUAAGGACCUACAGUAUCAUGGUGAUUUCAUAUCAAAAUUGAGGAGUACUCAUGUUCAUUUGGAGAACUCAAACAGCAAUUGAUAUGCAUCAAAAUUGGGAUCAACAGUAGCAUGGGGCCUUAUCAUUCUGGUUUUUGGAUGACUUAGUUAAUCAAAUUCCUCAAUUGAGGAACACCUGAACUUGUCAUUCCGGUCUUGGGAUCAACAGUAGCAUAUGGACUUAUCAUUCUGGUUUUUGGAUGAUUUAGUUAAUCAAAUUGACAUCAAUUGACCUAUUUUUUUGAAUCAAUUGCAGAUUCUCUUGAUUGGAGUGGAGAGGAGCAGAGACGAGAGGAGCAGCAGAAGUGGACAGCGCAGCGGCUGACCUUGAGCUCUUGAUUGGAGUGGGGGGAGGCGGCCGCCGAAGGAUCUGUAGCCAGCAGCGAAGGAUCCGAAGUUGUGGCAGAGCAGGCAGCCGGUGAGAAGGGCGGCCGGCGAGGGAGCUGCGGAUCUUGGCGCGGAAGGGCGGCCGAUGAGGGAGCUGCGGACCACGGCGGGGAAGGGCGGCCGGCCGGCGAGGGAGCUGCGGACCGCGGCAGGGAAGGACGCUGGAGAUGCGGAUGACGGAGGAGCCCGGCGAAAGGGAGCAGCGACGGCGGAGAAGCCUGGCGGAGUGGAGGAGCGACGGAGGAAGACGCCUCCCGAUGGAUUUCAAAUCGGGGGUAGUAUUGUACUUUCACACUAUUUCACCUAGUCGGAAUGAUGCCCCCAACGACAAUUAUUUCGGAACGGAGGGAGUAGCUUUUAUUUGGACCAAGCAUCUCAUGUCUCUUUGCUCAUCGUCUUGUGGUUAUGCCNNNNNNNNNNNNNNNNNNNNNNNNNNNNNNNNNNNNNNNNNNNNNNNNNNNNNNNNNNNNNNNNNNNNNNNNNNNNNNNNNNNNNNNNNNNNNNNNNNNNNNNNNNNNNNNNNNNNNNNNNNNNNNNNNNNNNNNNNNNNNNNNNNNNNNNNNNNNNNNNNNNNNNNNNNNNNNNNNNNNNNNNNNNNNNNNNNNNNNNNNNNNNNNNNNNNNNNNNNNNNNNNNNNNNNNNNNNNNNNNNNNNNNNNNNNNNNNNNNNNNNNNNNNNNNNNNNNNNNNNNNNNNNNNNNNNNNNNNNNNNNNNNNNNNNNNNNNNNNNNNNNNNNNNNNNNNNNNNNNNNNNNNNNNNNNNNNNNNNNNNNNNNNNNNNNNNNNNNNNNNNNNNNNNNNNNNNNNNNNNNNNNNNNNNNNNNNNNNNNNNNNNNNNNNNNNNNNNNNNNNNNNNNNNNNNNNNNNNNNNNNNNNNNNNNNNNNNNNNNNNNNNNNNNNNNNNNNNNNNNNNNNNNNNNNNNNNNNNNNNNNNNNNNNNNNNNNNNNNNNNNNNNNNNNNNNNNNNNNNNNNNNNNNNNNNNNNNNNNNNNNNNNNNNNNNNNNNNNNNNNNNNNNNNNNNNNNNNNNNNNNNNNNNNNNNNNNNNNNNNNNNNNNNNNNNNNNNNNNNNNNNNNNNNNNNNNNNNNNNNNNNNNNNNNNNNNNNNNNNNNNNNNNNNNNNNNNNNNNNNNNNNNNNNNNNNNNNNNNNNNNNNNNNNNNNNNNNNNNNNAAGGUAACCACCUAUUUUUACUCAAUAUAUGGUGAUUUGGUCAGUUGAAAUAGUAAUUUCCCAAUUAUCCUAGUGGGGUUGAGAUCUCUCUGAGUCCCGGUAGUGAAUGCUAAAAUUUAUCACACAUAUAUUCUAGAAUAAUACAUAGAGAACUUGCAUAUUGAAUUACCUGCGAAAAAAUCAUGCAUAUUGAAUGUAGGAUGAACUAGGAGUAUACCGGUGCCUUUUUUAUUCGUUCAGAGUUCAAACGCAAACUGAGCACUCUCAAGGAUGGUCAUGCAACCCUAAAACGAAGCGAGAAAACAUAAGAAGUGUAAAAGUGCAUUCAACUCAUGUGCCCUAGCGACAAAACUUAAUAAGAAGUAAAAAAAAACGCUUUCAACUUAUGUGUAAUACAACCCCUAGAUGAAGAAACCAGAAACAAUGGAUUUUAAGUCUUCAAUUCAAAGAUAAAAUACGUGUAAUAUGCCAUAAAAAUAUGCUCCCUCCAUUUCUUUUAUUUUACUCACAUAUAAGAUUAGUCUCAAGUCAAAUUUCGUAAGGUGUGACCAAGGGUAAGUUCCGACCGCACGAAAGGCGUAACGAUCUGGGCAAUGUCUCGGAGAGAGGCUCGGUGAAAUAGACAUGUCUGUGAAGAUGCGGACUACCUGUUCCUAUGAAGCUUUAUUGUUUCCUGGGAUUGGCUUUGGGCCUUUCCUGUGCAACUUAGGUGGAAGGCGAACAAAGCCCCCUUGGGGGGGGGGGUUGGAGCCAUCAGUGAGAUACCACUCUCGAAGAGUUCAGAUUCUAACCUUGUGUCAGACCCGCGGGCCAUUAAGCCGGAUAGCUUCUCACUUGCUAUGACUUGGACCUUUUAUGGCGGAUCUCGGCGCACAGACUCCUUUUUUCUAUAUUGUUAGAGAGAGAAUUAAUAUAUGAUCUAUUUGAAGCUGCUACAGGCAUGCGAAUGAUGCGCAAUUUCGCAUCGGAGGAGUAGCCAUCGAUCUAUAUUAAAAAAUAUCAACAUGUGCAAUACCACCGUCAUAAAAAUAAAUUUCAUGAUGCACUGAAUGUCGUAUCAUGAAUGUUGAUAUUUUUCUAUAAAGUUGAUUAAACUCUAUGAAGUUUGACUUCAGAUAAAUCUUAUUUGAAGAGUAGAAAGAAACCGAGGAAGUAUGUUUAGAAACUUCAUCUUGACGACAAACCAACUAUUUUUAUGGCGUACAUAACAUAUUUCACUAGUCAAAUUAAAGAUCUAUAAGAACUCAUGUCCGACUUACAAACCUGCGUACAAGUAGUAGAGACGAUUAAAGCUACUCCUCUGACCUGAUUACUACACUACAAGCGCCGAGCGGCGAGCCUGGCCUCCCGGCGUUCUUCAAUGCGGCGAAUGUGUUUGCGGGUGCAAGUCUCGGAGCAGAACGGGAAGAACUCGCGUGGAAUCCGAUGGGCGCCGAUGCCACACCCCACGCACGGACCCCGUACCCGCGUCAGCACUGGGAGAAGCUCGUACCGCCCCUGCUCGUCCACGUGCACCGGAUCUCCGAGCGCUAUGCCGAUGUGGGGCACCCACCACUCGUUGCCCACGCACCUGAUGCAGAUCCUCCAGCCGCGCUUCUCGAUGCGGAGCACGCAGUCCCGGAGGCGCGCGUGGUCGCCGUGGUGGGCGCAGACGUCGGCGCGGAAGGACUUGGAACAGUGAAUGCAGAAGGCAUCCCUUGGUAACGGCGAGGUGUAGUCCUGCGCCCUCAUGAACUUGGCUACAUCCGGCGGUAUCGGGUACCCGUCCGGCGCCGGCGCCGUCCGGGUUGGGAAUAUGGGCCGGCCUUCGGUGUCAAGGUCGAUGGGGAGGACCCGGAGGUCCGGCCACUCCGGGUGAAAGUGGUGAUUGCCGCAGCAGUGGGAGCAGUAAGCCACGUUGCAGCGCAGGCAGAAGCGGUCCCGGCGGCACGUAUCGGAGAAGUGGUUGUCCAAUUGCAGAUGUUGCCUUCCGAGGCGCACCAGACCCAUGGGUAUCUCAUCUGCGGGCAGAGCAGCCGGCGAAGACAUCGAUCGGUUCGAUUUCUAUCUAGUUGAUCGCAGGGCCAUCCAUGUCAUGGCUAUAUAUAGACCCAUGGCACGUCACGCGCCCAAUACGAGGUAGGGUUCCGAGUCGGCGACUGCAUCUGCGGCCAUUACGCCGGGGCGAUCGCUCACAAUUCGGAAGGCGUAGAUUAAUACUAGACUAGAAGGGUUGGCGCGCUGCCGCGCGGUUGGUGUUGUUGAAUUUUCAUAAAAAAGUUCAAAGCCUGUUGAGCCGGCGAGGCCAACUCAUUCAUAAAAAAGUUACUGUGUCUGUGCAAAAUAUAAGACGUACUCCCUCCGUCCCAUAAUGUAAGACGUUUUUUUAUACUAGUGUAGUGUCAAAAAACGUCAUACAUUAUGAGACGGAGGGAGUAGAAUAUAAUUUUUUACUUUUUGGAGAAGUAAAACCUCAAUAAGUUUGACCAAAUUUAUAGAGAAAUAUGCCAAUAUUCAUAAUAUCAAAUCACUAUCGUUAGAUUCACCAUGAAAUGAUUUUUUUUCUUAUCGUCGAUGUUGAUUUUUUUUGCUUUGACCUUGGUCAGACUUAAAGAAAUUUGAUUUUCAAAAAACAGAUACACAUUAUAUUUUGGAACGAGUAUUUGGGUCGGCGAGUGAGGGAGAUGAUGGAGUGUGUAUUCUUUUUAUUUUACAAUACAAUUUUUAAUGGGCCUUUCACGAUGUGAUUAUGUAUUAUCUGCUAACGAACCCAUACUUAUAUGAGGAAUUUUCUACAUCGGUGGAUGCAUAUACUCUAUUGAUGCUACAUAUCAUAUGUUGGCGUUUCUUUUUUUUCUAGGUGGUGAGAGAGUGCGCGUGACUUAUAUCUUUUUAUAGGCUGGUUGUUGCCUAUUGAUUCAAAAAAUCGUUGACUUUGUCAAAAUCAUGAACCAAAUACAAAAUUGUAUACCUCAAUUGGGUGAAAAAGCUCCAAGACUAAAGAGCAUAAUUGAUUAAAAGAACUCAUUGAGAAAUUAUUGACCCGGUCAAAAUUGAAUGAUCCAAUUCUAAAUUGGAGACCUCGGUGGAUUGUGAGGCUGUAAAAAUUAGGAAGCAUAGUGUACUGAACUAAAGAGCUGCUUGAUAAAUUGUUGACCAGAUCAAAAUUGGGUAACCCAAUACUAAAUUAAAGACCUUAAUUGAUUGUGAGACCUUAAAAUUAUGAAGCAUAGUGUAUUAGGCAUCUCCAAUAAACCUUAAAUUCAUCCAUCGACCAGUACUCAGGCACUAAUGUGGAAGCCGUCCAUCCAAAGUCGGGCGUGGCUCCCGUCUGUCUAUAAUGAAGAAUAUUUCAUCGAGGCCGGGCGUUUAUUGACUCCAUGGCUAAUCCAGUGAAGGCGAACAACAACUACAAUGGUCCAGGCCGCUUGUCGGCUUAGGUCAUGGCCGACUGUCUUUUCGUCCGACUUUUGGGUAUCGCGGGAUCUAAAGGUCGGGCAACUGUGCGCAAUACAACAUGGCCGAGUAGACCAUGUGCCCCAUUGGGCAUUGGCGCCGUUAUGAGGCGGUCCUGUCUAGGGCCGAGCAGGUGGGCACAUCCGAAAACGUUCAAGCUCAAAUUGCAUUCAGAAGUGGUCAAGGAAAAAAAGAGUAUAAUGUAAUGCCUCUAAAUGUUUUCCUUUUGUGUUUCUUUGGCCUUGGGCCAUGUACAUAGUGUACCUUGUUCAUUGCAAUAAAAUGAAGAGCUCCGUGACAGGUUAAAAAAAUUGAGCAAAUAUUUGAUGCAUAAGGUUAGAUGGCCGAUUGGCCGCCCCGUGUCUAUAGACGUUUUGGGUGUCUGAUUUGAUGAACAGCAUUGAGGAUAUCCUACUUGGGAAUUUUUUAAAGCGAGCGAUUGCCUAUCAAAACGCACUUUGCGCUUACAAAUUGGCCAACUGUGCAUAUGCCAAAGUUUCAAUGGCAGCAUCAUCAACCACCGGAUGAUGUAUCAAAAUUAGAAUGAAAAUAUUACAUAUUACAAGUCAAAAACAAAACAGCAACAAGCAAAGAAUAUGCAUCCAUAGAACUUAGAGCAUGGUCAUGUUUACAACUGUUAAAACUACUACUCCUCUUCCGCCUCAAAAUGUAAGAUUAUUUUUUGCACUAUCAUAGUGUCAAAAAUGUUAUUAUAUUUUGGGUCAGAGGUAGUAUAAUACUGCUGAGUAGAAGGCUAGAACAGCAUAGGACACCUUCAGCCUUCACUUUGCCUGCCUCAUACCAACAUCAAAACACACUUUGUGCUGACCAAAUUGGCAAAUUGUGCAUGCCAAGGUUUCAACGACAGCAUCACAACCACUGGAUGAUACAAGUCAAAAACACAAUAGCAGGCAGGCAGAGAAUAUGCACGCAUUGAGCAUGUUCCAGGUUUACAGCGGUUCAACUUAACACACUGGACUAUAUUGCUAUACUAAGUAGAAGGCACAGGACACCUUCAGCCCUUCACUUAAACCGCAGUUUGUCAGGAUGCCGGCGAUGGUCUUCAUGUGGAGUUCUUUGGAGCAGCCUCACAAAAAACUGGCCAAACUGAAGGAUCGAGUCUUCACUUAAAUCGCGGUUUGUCAGGAGGCCGGCGGUGGGCUUCAUGCAGAGUUCUUUGGAGCAAAAAGCACCCUCACAAAAAACUGGCCAUACUGAAGGAUCGAGUCAUCGGGAGAACUGACGGGUCCAACAUACUCAUCAUGAAAAGUCCCCAAAUUUUCAUUUCUCUUAACCGCGACAAUAUGUUGGAACAGUUUCACACUCCCAGAUAUCUUGUCAUCAAACAGCACAAUCUCAUCGUCAUAGCCAGUGCUUGAAGCAGUGAACUUCACGUGAUGAGGAUGGUCAACCUCUGCAUAGACUUGUACUACCGCCUCAAUACUUCGUGCAAUGAUCAUGUAUUUCAGGUCCAAGUUGCAAUCAACACCAGGAAUCCGACCACCCAGCAUAAUAUCAAAAUUUGCACGGACUUCAAUCUCAGCAUAUGCAGAAAGUAUAUGCUUGUCAGCUGAUCCAUUCCCUUCCUUCUUUACCCAGAGAUCAACUUCUAGUAGUGCCUCGUCCAGUACAUAUAUUCCUCGACACGGGCUACAAAGAGGCAAGUCAAAGGAUUCC